UGCGGGCACACGGCCGGAUCGGAGGAGGACAUAUCAGCCGGGUUCCUGUUGGUUGUGUACUUGUGUUCCUGCCAGCGGAGAAGCAACCAUGGCCGAGUUAGUGAUCGGGCCACUGAUCUCCAUGGUGAAGGAGAAGGCAUCCAGCUACCUGCUGGACCAAUACAAGGUGAUGGAAGGCAUGGAGGAGCAGCGCAAGACCCUGGAGCGCAUGCUGCCAGCAAUCCUGCAAAUCAUCCAGGAUGCGGAGGAGAAAGGAGCCUCCCGACGAGGAGUAGCAGCUUGGCUCAAACACCUCAAGACAGCAGCCUAUGAGGCCAACGACGUCUUUGAUGAGUUCAAGUACGAGGCGCUUCGGCGAGAAGCCAAGAAGAAGGGCCACCACAGCAAGCUUGGAGUGGAGGUAGCAAGACUCCUAGUCCCCACUCGUAAUCCCAUUGUAUUCCGUUACAGGAUGGGCAAGAAGCUACGCAAGAUUGUGCAGACCAUCGAGGCCUUGGUCACCGAGAUGAAUACAUUUGGUUUCAGGCACUUGCAGCAAGCAAAGCCAUCAAGGCAGUGGCGACAGACAGAUUCCAUAAUCAUUGACUCCGACAGAGAUAUUCUUAGCAGAUCUAGAGAUCGGGAGAAGAAGAAAAUCGUGGGGAUGCUCCUUGAUCAAGCUAGCAACAUGGAUCUCAUGGUUCUUCCAAUUGUUGGGAUGGGUGGGAUGGGCAAGACCACCUUUGUGCAACUCAUUUACAAUGACCCUGCAAUCGAGAAGCACUUUGAGUUUCGGAGGUGGUGCUGCGUAUCAGAUGAUUUCGAUGCAAGUACCAUUGCAAGCAACAUCUGCCAGACCAACGAGAAAGGACGUGAAAAAUCAUUGCAGGAGCUCCAGAGUAUAAUAAUUGGAAAAAGGUACCUCAUUGCGCUAGCUGAUGUAUGGAAUCGGGAUGCUGCUAAGUGGGGAAAACUAAAGACCUGCCUUAAGCAAGGUGGCAAGGGCAGUGCAGUACUAACAACAACUUGUGAUGCAGAAGUGGCUUGCAUUAUGACCAUGGGUGUAGCUGAAGCCCAUAAUAUCGAGAAUCUGAGUGACAAGCAUUUAAAGGAAAUUGUCCAAAGCAGAGCAUUCAGCUUGCAAAAUCCAAAUAUUGAAGAGCAAGAUGGCAUUCUCAGUGGAUUUGUUCGUCGAUGCGUUGGAUCUCCCUUGGCUGCCAAAGCCUUUGGCUCUAUGUUGAGUAACAGGACUAGUAUAAAUGAAUGGAAGGAUGUAUUAGCUAAAAGUAACAUUUACCGAUCCUCAAGCUCAGCUUUGAUGACCUAUCCUCAGAUAUGAAGCAAUGCUUUGCAUUUUGUGCUUUAUUUCCUAAAGAUUAUGAGAUCGAUGUGGACCUCUUGAUUCAACUGUGGAUGGCACAUGACUUCAUACCUGUGCAGGAGGAUGACAAUCCAGAAACCGUAGGAAAAUAUAUUUUCGAGGAGCUAACUCAGAGGUCAUUCUUUCAAGAGGUCAGGCAAACACAUCCAAAGUGCUAUUAUGGAAGUCUUCGUAAGUCAACCAUAUGCAAGAUACAUGAUCUCAUGCAUGACAUUGCUCUAUCUGUUCUGGGGAAAGAAUGUGUCACUAUAGUUGGUAAGCCGAGCAUCAACAAGGUGUUGCUAAAUCCGACCCGCCACGUCUUCUUAUCAACAAGGUGUUCUCAUUUCUGGAAAGAACAGGUUACAAGUCUACUGGAUCAUCUAUUGAAGAAACAAACUGCAAUGGUCCACACGUUGUUUUUUACAGAUUAUUCUGACCCCCUUGAUAUAUCAAAGUACACUUCACUGCGAGCAUUACACCUUCCAGCAUAUAUAUUCUCAUGUGUAGGACAGGAGCAGCUUACAAGACACAUACAACACCUAAGGUAUCUUAAUCUGUCGUCACAUGAGUUCGAGAAACUUCCUGAAGGUAUAAGCAUUAUGUAUAAUCUACAAACGUCGUCACAUGUUCAGGACAGGAACAACUUACAAGACACAUACAACACCUAAGGUAUCUUAAUCUCCCACCUUCCCUCAAACAAUUAGGCAUCUGCAGCUGUGAGAAGCUCUGCUCUGUGUCAGGAGACCUGCGUGCACUCGAGGACCUACAUAUUUCUGACUGCAAUAAGUUACAGUCAGUCAAUUCCUUGGGAGACCACCCAUCAUUAGAAACACUGAUUCUUUCUCGCUGCCGAUGCCUUGCAUCUUUAGGAUGUGAUGGUGGUCGUGGGAGUUACUCUGCUCUUCAGAGCCGUAAGAUUGUAGACUGCCCAGCCUUAGACAUGAAGCAGUUUUACUAACGCCAUCAAACAGCUGCUUGACAGCUUUGAAAAUGAAGACGUAUCACACGUUCAUUCAAGCAGCUCUGAUGAAGGUAUACGACCUUUCACUUUCCUCUUAUUCAAUUUGUUUCCUUCAAAUUUCCCUGCUUUGCAUGCCCUCCUAUUUUGUUGACGAACUGGUUGAUAGAUGGGUUUGCGGGGUGGGAUUUUGGGGUUUCAUCUUCAUUCCGGCUUUUAGACGGUCCUUUCUCACUGAUGUAAACCCACAUAUUGUUGGUUUAUACGGCUAUUAAUUGGUUUUCAGUCUUGGAUGCAGUUGACGUGCAUAGAGAAAUUCUGGAAAUAUGUGCUACCCCUUGGUGUUGAGAUCAGCUGAUGCGGAAUCAUUGAAGUACUACUGAAACGACAUCCUGAUCGGUCUCAGUUUUGGAGAGCAAUUUGUGGUGAAUGGAAGCAGUCCCAAGGCUUGAAGAACUCAUGGAGUCGUGCUUCAAGAACUCAUGGAGUCGUGCUGUACCAUUCUCCACUGCUAGGGCCUAAACUAGGUACGUGGAAGGCGCACUGUGUUUUGUCAACAACACAAUUCCUUUAUAUAAGUUGGGAUAGUAAAAAACCAUGCCUUCGUCUGUGUUAAUCAAAUCUCAUUUAGCACAUAUAUGGGGGACGUGUUGUUAACUUGUUACCCCCAUGCUUUUCAUUUUUUCUGUGCAGACAUCACCCAUUUGUCCUUAAAUUAAAGCAUAAAGGAGGGGCACUCACUUGUACACAUGUUCUUAAGCACUGCAACGACUGCCAUUUGUAUACUCAGCUUCAUUGCAAGCCUUUGCUAAUGACGACAGGCCUUCAGUGGAUGACAAAAACGACCAAGUUUGUUUUCACGGCACUACUAGCUGCUGGUAUUCUCUCGUCACUAAUGUACAGAACUCCAUUCUGUCAUCCAUCAAAGCUGUGGACAAUAUGAUGUCACUCUUGUUUUAAACGAAACCGGCAGGAGAGCUGCCCCGCUAUAUUAAAAAGAAGGGAUGCCCGAAGGGCCAGAGAAGUGUACAUGAAAAAGAGUGUUAAAACCCCUUGACAAGGAAGAAAAAACUAUACACACUAAAAAGAGAAACGGUGCACAAAAACACCCUCAAGAAAGCUGCAAUAAACAUGCCAGGUGCUUAGCCCUGACCGCCACCCAAGAAGCGGCCUCCCCUUUUAUCUUUGAGAAAACUUGUAAUGAAGAGGAUUCUUUGUGGUCGAAAAUUCUUGCAUUCCUUUCAAUCCAAAGUUCCUAACAGACCAAAAUGAUUAGGCUCCUCAGCCCACUCCUAUCGACGCUUGGUGUCCUUACCCGCGCUGUCCACCACUCAUGCACCAAAGUGCACGGCUCCUAGUUUUAAGACCUUCAUUUGCUACCCAUGCAGCGAUCGCAUCCCAAAUGCGCCUGGUAAACCGGCAGUCAGUUAGGAGAUGCAUUUCAGACUCUUGAACCGUGCAACACAAAGCGCAUGUGUCAUUGUGAGGCCAAUUUCAUUUUGCUAACCUAUCUGACGACGUCCAUAUCCAAUUUUGGAUUACCAACCACCUGGAAAAUUUGCACUUCGGGAGCACCCACGGCUUCCACAUGAUCGCUUUGAAGUUUGUGAAGGUGGAGCCGACACGGUGUAUUGAUUAUUCUCUGUUAUUUUCCAUACAAUGUUGUCUGGGUUGUCUGGUAUGAGUUGAACCUAGACUACCACUGUCCACAAAUUGCAGAACUCCAUAAAAUACCCCAAUGCUAAAUUUACACUCGAUCGGACGUUCAUAUCGUCGUGGUCGACGUGCACCAGUCCUCCCAUCAGCCCAUCACGUGGGCUCCACUCCACUUUUCCCCUCGCGCUCUCUCCCCCCUCUCCAUUCCACUUCUCAUCCUUCUCUUUCUCGAUUUCUCCACGAGAUCCACCUAAGCAACUCUGCGCAUGGAGCUGUUUCGCCUAGCGUUGAGCACAACGGUGGCAGGCCUAGUGGCGGGCGGGGAAAGCAGCGAGGCUCCGCCUUGCAGCACACGGUGGCGCUCGAGAUCAUCCGACGAGGCACGGAUGUGGGCCUGUCGGUGCGCGGGGGAAGGAUCACUAGGACCAUCGAGGGCACCUCCGCGCCCCGACGGUGAGUAGCCGACGGAUCCUGGCGAGCUCUGCGGGGGUCGCGGUCGACAGCGAUCUGUUCAUUUUUUCCCUUCCUUUUUUCUCUUCUACUUUUUGUCUCAAAAUCUUUUGUCUGUAUAAAGUUUUUGUUUCCAUUUUUUUAUUUCUUUGCAUCGUGAAUUUUUUCUCCAUUAUUUUGCUUCAAAACUUUGUGGACAAAAUUUCUUUUUCAAAACUUUUCCAAAAAUUUUGUCUCAAUUUUUAUUUUCUGAGUUUUGUUCCCAAAAUCUUGCAAAAUUUUUCCUCCAAAUUUUUGUUCGCAAACUUUUGUUUCCAAGUUUUUCAAAAAAAUUAUCCUCAAACUUUUGUUUUCCAACUUUUUUUAAAAAAAAAUUCUCAUUUUUGUUUAAUGAGACGGGAAUCGCACGUGGGAAGCCGUUCCGACGUGUGGUCGGAAAUCGAUCGCACGGAAGGCUCCCACUAGUCGCGUGUAAACUUGCGUCCCCCAUAAAAUAAAUCUGUGUGAGGCUCGAGGCUGGAGGCCUAAUAAGGCCAGCUACAAGACUAUGCUUGAUAGUAGAGAGAAGUUUUGGUUGCUAGCAGUCGAUGCUGAGUUAGAGCCCCAAUGCUUGGUUAGUAAAAUAUUGCUCCAUAGCAGGAAACAGGCGUCGCUGGGCAAAGAGAAGUGCAGGAGAACCAAAAGGAAAUAGGUACAACUAGCUAAAGAAGCCAGCAGAGAGUAUUUAUGUAAGGUUUCUUAAUUUAUAGGAACCAAAGCACACUCAAACCAUAUUCCAGAAUCUUAUUACAUGCAGAACCUGAAGUAAGGGAGAUUGAAACAUAGGGCACGCAUGCAUGCCUUUAAUUACACUACUACCAGAAAUUAAAAUACGCUGCUGCCAGAAGUGCUAUAUAUUGAGAGGUAGCUGGUGCAGUGUCACGCCAACAUAUGACGCAUGGUAAUGACGGGGAGGACCUGGACGUAGUACUCGAUCCUGUAGGCAACCUUGAGUAUGAGAUCGGGUUGCUGCCAAUCGUAGCCGCCGUCGACGCCGCAGAGGAAGGUCUGCGCGAUCCUGUAGUCGAUCUUGUGCUGCUGGUUGUGCAACACGAUCUUGUACGCAUCUCGGAGAUGUUCUUUCAGACUGCUCACCAUCGACCUGGUGUUCUGGUCCCGCGACAGCUUCCAGGACUGGGGCUGCUGCAUCAGGUCGGCUAUCUGCUGUACGAAUUGUACCAGCUGCUGGAUCUCCCCCCUGUUCUGCCUCAGCGCCUUCGCCUCCUGCACGAUAGAAAGUGCGAGGCGCACGACCUCAUCAUGGUCGCCGGUUCGAGCCCCCUGCUGGUCUCCACGUUCUCCUGGACCUACCGACAACGUGCUGCUCCUCACUGCAUUCACGUCCCUGCGCAUGCAUGCCGAUCAUCUCUGGUUAAAUUUUUCGUUAUUUACGUACUCCAUAUAGGAAGUACUAUAUGAAUGUUUUAUAUAUCAGCACACGAUGAAUACCCGUCCGUGAUGUCCCUGAUUAUCAACUCAAUCACACUUUUAGCGUCGGAUGACAUAUUGUCCAUGUUAGUCAAGUUCCUGAUAGAUGACUUCAGCUCCUCUUUUUCAGUCUGAGAGUGGUCAGAGUACAAAAAAUCCAAAGCUUCCAUGCAUGUUAAAUAUUCAAUAAGACAUGCAUAUAGUAUGAAUAUAGUCAUAAUGAUCAUGUCAUGCAUAAGCUUGGUCAAAAACUAUUAAUAUAUCGCAAAAUCAGGCAACAAUGUUAAUCUACCGCUCCCUCCAUUCUCUUUAGAUAUUAAUCCUUUUCGAACACUAGUACAGUCUAGUAUUGUGCACCUAAAAUAGUCCAACGUGAUGUAACAUGGUGCUGUCUAUAAAUCGUCAGUUUAUGUUUUGAACUUUACUACCUUUUAUUUUUUUAGAUAAUGGAUAAAUAUCCGGCUUCACCCUCCUCUUUCGACCAGGCGGAUCAGUCCACAAUUAUUACAAAAGAAAUGAAUUCACACUAUGGUUUCGACCAAUCAAACCGACUCAAAGAAAUCAAUUCUGGAAUCAAAAGGUAGCUUGUCACUACCUUUUAUUUAUGUUGCAUUGUUCAUUGCCACAAAUUAUUUGCAAAUAUGAAUCUUAUAAUGCUAAACUUUUAUGGUACAAUCUACGUACAGUUUCUUUCUCAAGUUUGCUGUAGUUGUUUGCCGUUGAGUAAUAUGUAAUUCCGAUGGAUUCAAGAGUCUAGCUAGCUAGAUUUUGGUACCUGUGGAAGGCGCUUGCAAGCACCAUUUCGAAGCAGCUUCUCAAGCACGUUCAUGAAGAAGCGCUCCUUAUUGAUGCUUACAAUGAGGAUCAUGUUGGCAAUGUGGAACGACUCCAGGAUUUUGGAUAUCCGUGCAUCAACGGCGACGAUCUUGUUGGCUUUCUUUUUGGUUUUGAAGACAAGCGACCAAGUCCUCUUCUCCCUGCAGGACUCAACGAGCGCCUUCCCGUCGUUGAGCGCAUCUUCAAGAUGUUUCAGCAUGCUGUAGGUCACUGGGUCCGGCAUCCACUGGCUUUUCAGCUCCGUCAGGAGGAGGUUAAUCAUUUGCACGUGGUCUUUUAGCAUAGUACAUUUCUCCCUGUUGCGCUGAGCCGCCUCCGCCAGCCGAUUGAUCUGUUCCACGAUGCUCAUCAACGACGAAAUAAGCCCAAUUGCUUCGGCCACCCCAACCAUCUCGAUCGAUUGCGCUGCGCCUGUAUGCUUGCAACGUCAGAUUUGCACGUAUAUGAGUAUACAUGUCUACCCUCCGCCAUCCAAAAACAAUUGGAUGCCGACAAGUGGUAUUGACAAGUCUAUGCACAACACGCGAUGUCAUGUCAAAUUUUAGCUAAUUUUAGCUUUUCUAGAUUCAUAGAUAGUAUUAUGUAUCUAGACAUCCACUAUAUCUAGGUGCGUAACAAAAGCUAUGCAUCUAGAAAAUUCAAAAUGACCUACAAUUUGGGAGGGAGUACACCCUAAUAAAAAGAUUAAUGGUGGAGCCUGAAGCACAAUUUAUCGUAUAAAAAUAAUACUUGUAAAUAUAUAAAUUUAUUAUAAAAUAUAGAAACUCGAUUGACUAUCUUCUUAAUUAAUGGAGAAAUAUAGGCUGUGAAUUUUCAAAAGGAAAAGGAAAAAGUGUAUUUUUCAUCCUUCAAGUAUUGCAAAAGUGUAACAUUCCUCCUUCAUGUUUCAUUUGGUGCAAAUCAAGCCCUUAACUAACUAAAUCGGUUGCAUUUAUCAUCCCCACCUUAGUUUAAUAAUUGUUUAGUGUCAUAUAACAUCGCUUUAGGCCAUGUAAUCAUCUUACUAAUCAGUAUUUAGCCAUGUAUAAUAUUUAGUCAAUUGAUUUAAUAGUUUGGUGUGAAUCGGUUCCGUUAAUUUUUCCGAUAAAAUAGUUAUAUGGUAGUCAAUUUAGAGGAUUUACUUUUUUUGUGGGCUUUAUAUCUUUGACUUAACAUAUUACAUCACUAAGCAGUGAUUUAGAUGAAUACAUGGCAUAAACCUUCAUUAGAUGUUACUAAACCAAUUGAACUAACGUGAGGAUGAUACAUGCACUGAUAUAAUUAGUUAAGGGGUUAAUUUGCACCAAAUGAAACAUGAGGGAUGAAUGUCACACUUUUGCGGUACUUGAGGGAUGAAAAAUAAACUUUUUCCAAAGAAAUAACUUGAUCGAUCCUGGUCCCAACUAUUUUAUAAAUCUCUUUUAACAUGAAUUUUGUUGAGCUCGCAUGAACACAAAUUGUGGCAAAAUUAAAGAACAUCUACACCGUUCAAUAUACCUACAAUCCCAUACUGCAUGCAGCCAUUUUAUAAAUUUCUUUUGAUGUGAUUUUUUUAGUUCCUAACGCAGACUAUCCUUCAAGAGAAAAAAAUGGGCUAUGGAAUAUAUGAUUAUAUAGUACGAUAUCUCCUGUACAAUGUUAGUAUAUGAGUUGAACCGGUCUUGUACGACAAGAUGAUCCAAGCAAAUGGACUCAGUAGGUAAGGUACAGUUUUGUAGCCACACAACUUUGGUGUGCAAGGAUAAACAAACACUUCAAAUGGAUUCCGUUAAAAUAACUUGUAGGGGAUGCAAUAUGGCAGAUCUGCUGGAGAUGAUCUAAACUUACAUUCACAUAUAUAGGAUAAACGAACACUUCAAGUGUUAACCCUAGCUAAUGCUUGCAAACAGAAACAAUGGAGGUUCCUUGACAUUUGACUGGAUAGUAGUGUAUUGUAGAAAAAAGGGAAAUCAAUAACCUGCCAUACCUUCUCAAAGCUCCAACCAAGAAAUAGCGCUACCUCACCCAAUAGGCUGUGUCGCCUUGCUUCAGCACAAGGUAGCGAGCACACGGCUAUUUAUACAAAUAACAUUGUAUAAAUGAACGCAUGCAGAAAAGUAUACUUUGCCUAGGUACGCAUGGAGACUUGCUUAGAUUGACCUGGUUACCUGUACUGUACUCACUUCAUACUCUUGACAACGCAAUUCAGCUACCAAGGAGUACGACCUGCGUCGACGAGACGAAGACUUGUUUAUACUCAGGGCAACGCAAUUCAGCUACCAAGGAGUGCGACUUGCGUUGACGAGACGAAGACUUGGACCUCGUCUUCGACUGCAUGCAUGCAUUGGACUAAUCUAACCACGCGGCGACUCGCCCCGGCCCGUGAUGACCCUGUAUAUGGAAUAGUGUGCAUGGAGGAUUAUUCACUCACGCUGCGCUGCCGACAAUGAAAGUACCGCAUGCCCAAACAGUACGUUGCUCAUGGUUGAGUAAAUGUAACUAAGUACACCCAACGUCCUGAAAUAUACUUACGGUAUAUUUAAGAACGGAGCUGUACUUACGGUAAAAAAUCAUUGCUCAUGGUUGAAACUUCAAAACAGACGGUUUUUGCCCACCAGCAGCGAUAGCCGGGACCGUUUCCGCGCUCAUCGGUGCAAAUUGCGCAACUAGCAGGACGAGACAUGCACGCAAACAGCUGGUGAAACAUGCAUGCACCUAGCAUGGCUAGUCGUCGGGCAGCAACUAGCACGAGACUAUAUGUUCAUGCAAGUGUCUCAUUAAUCAUAGCGCGACCUAACACCAAAACACAUCAACCAGCAGCGUAUCUAGAUUUUCGACCUAAUGUUACUAAUACAGACUAGGCUAUCACCGUCAGCUUAUCACCACUGGUUUUCGGUGAAUCUGCGGUGAUAGAGUGUCACCGCCGGUCCAAUAUUUAGUCGUACUCAAUGUUCAUUGGUCAUUAUGUCUUUACUAGAGAACCGGGCUUCAAUCCCGACCCAUCAAUCCUGAAUGCCAAUGCUCCCGGUUCAGUGGCUACAUAUCACGUCCGGUUUCUAAACAAAACCGGUAGAUGAUCCGUGGGGCUAACAUCUCUCCUAAUCAGUGGCUCAAACCUGCUGUCAAGUCCGCUACUGCUUGCUCAUCCUCCCAUGAAGUUAAAGUGAAAUCCAGUUUGGCUUAAAUAAGAUUUAUAUUUUUUUGGCCUGUUAGCUUGAGCUUCUUCCAGCGGUUGCGGCUGUUGCUCAUCUUCAGAGUUACCAUCCUCGCUCUUCAUGUUCACCCUUCCCAGCCAUUCUCAAGUCACCCAGAGGGGGGGUACAAAGGCUCUCCGCUAGAGUUCGGAGGCCGGACAAUGCCCGUCACAUCCGCCUUCCAUGAAGGUUUUUGCUGGCAGCCAGGCAUUUCGAGGGUAACAGAUCAAGUGGUGGAAACCUUUAGUAGAAUGCUUAUCACUCAAUUGACUCACAUCUCUUUUGUUUAAGGAAACCAAGCCCACUACUACAAAAUUAAUAUCAAGAUAAUAUGUUAUAAAACUUAUUUGUGAAAACUCAAGAUAAGCAUGCACAGGAAUUUCAGGAAAGUGCCGGGUGCCUCACAACCAAGCUCAUUAAUACCAAAGAAAGAUCAACAAACAAAACAAAUGGACACAACGUUCAGAACCCAAUCAUUUGCCCACCAAGAAUGCCAUACCCACACCAGAACAAAUAAGAACAGAAGUUUAAAAGGGUAAAAAUUGGUUGAUGAUGCAUGGAACGAAACGUAUAGAAUGCUUAUUACUCAAUCGACCCACAUCUCUUUUUUUUUCUAGGAAACCAAGCUCUCAUUACUACGUUGGAACAUCUAACCAACCAAAUGGACGAAAUUGUUUAUUUGGCCUCCAAGAAUGCCAUACGACCUGAAUAACUGAAAGCGCUAACAAAGCCACUUAUUGUUGUGCAUAGCAGCUAAGCUUGACUUAUUUGCAAACGGGUGCGAAAUGCGAUACAAUAAUUCAUAGUUCUAGACGUCAUGAGCCACGCGUGGGAUAAGAAGAAGCUUCUCCUUACGGUGCACAUCAACCCCAUAUGACUCUGUCAUAUCGAUGCUUGUCGACCCUGGUGGAAGCUCGGCUUGCAGCUUGCAGCUUGUUCAUUGAUUGGGGAUUCUGCAUCAGCUCAGCCAUGGCGUAGUCGAGCGCUAUGUACGUUGUGUCUGUCCCAGCUUCGAACGUGUCCUACACGCAUGUAUCAACAAAAUUCAAUCAAACUUUAGCAAACUAGUCCAUGAAACAUGUCCUAUGUACGUCUUGUAAGGAUUAGCUUGGAAGCUUCAAAAGAAACCUUCAAUUAGUAAAAGUUUGAUUUUUUAAAAAAAUUUGAAGUUUAGUUGCAUACAUGCGGUCGGUAGAAAUGGAACUCUGCAUAUACAUACCAUCAGUAUUGCCUUGAUAUUAUCUCUGGUCAGGCCGUACUCUUGUUGAACGGAGAGCAACACGUCGAUAAAGUCCCCCUCGUCCUCACCAUCCAGCGUCUUGCUCUUGUGCUUGUCGAUGAGGCUGUCCAAAAGGUCAUCCCAUCUCUUCAUGUGCUUCACGGCCUUGGCCGACACCAAAUCAAACCUUGCCAAGCUCGGGAAGUAGUCAUCCAGGUUGAAUCCUCCCAGGAGCUUGGUGUUCGUCUCUAGCAGCUCCCGGAAGAGCUGGUUCCGGCCUUGUUCCCUGGGGAGCCUGCCCGUCAUGGCCUGGCACACAAUGUCAUUGGCGAAGAAGCCCAAGAUUUCGCUGACGUCGAUCGCCGUGCCCGCGGCGGCGGCGGCCCUCACCCUGGCUAAGACCAGCCGGACCUCCUGCUCGCGGGCGGCGCGGUAUGACCGGACCUUCGCUGCGGUGAGGAGGUGGGUGGUGAUGACCUUCCUGGCUCGGCGCCAAUACUCGCCGUAAGGCGUGAAGCUAACGUCAGUGGAGCCGUAGAAGAGGAUGUCAGCGACCACGGAGUGCGGUCGGGAGGCGAUGACGUGGUCGUGCGUGCGCAGGACAGCCUUGGCGGCGCGGGGGGAGGAGACGACGAGCGUUGGCACGGCGCCGAGGCGGAGGAGCAUCACGUCGGGCCCGUGCUUCUUGGCGAGGUCGCGGAGGGAGUGGUGGGGAAGGGAUCCGAUGAGGUGGAGGUGGCCGAUGAUCGGGAGCUUGAACGGAGGCGACGGUAGCUUCCGGAGCAGGUUCUCUGUUCUGGACCUUGGUGUUGCCAAGUGCACGGCGACGAGGAAGAGGAAGAAGAGGAGGGCUAGGGACUCUGGAGAUGCGUGUUCGUAUAGAGGUGCGCUAGCGCUGGAGCCGCCAUGGCUGAUCAACCUGCUCGUUGCAGUUUUUGUAGAGCUCGGAAGUCGUGAUCCGUCAGACAGCAAGAAGAGUAUGCUACCAUUUUUUUUCUUUUCUGCAUCACCGCCAGAUCAGAUCAGACAGGAUUUUAUGAGAGAAUCCUAUGGAAUCAUCAUCCUUUUUAGUAAACUUCACCAGACGCAGGAACGCGAGCCGAUUAAUUGGCAAGCUUUUCUCUCAGAAUAUGUGUUUGGUGCUGGAUUAAUUGGCGUGCAGGUUGAAGAAAGGCUGCUUUAUAGAUUAGCCCCCGAAGAAAAAGGAAAUUCCGACGGAAAGUUUGUGUCUUGUGGUUUUGCAAAAAGGACCCUGGAAAGGCUAGAUUCUCAAGUUCCAGUCCUACCCGAGAUCUUUUGCAAAUAUAACCCUAUAAAUUCUGUUAUUUGCAAGUACUUUUACGUGUGUCUUGCAAAUCUUUCUUGCUAGCCCCUGCCGUCUAUGGCUAAUUGCAUCUGGGUCCCUGCCACCUUGUUUGUCUCAUAACUUCUUCCUUCUAGCUCCAUUUUGAGUGAUUCUUUCGCUCACACGUUCGUCUUAACGAGUAGAUUAGUUUGGUACUGCUUUUAUGGUACUGCUUUUAAGUAAUAUUUUUGAUGAUUGGUGUACUGUUUUUAAUUAAAUGCAUUUGUUUGCUUGUAUGUGCUUGUGUGACGCGUAUAGAAGAAGCGUAGUUCGAGGAAUCCAAAGAGGAGGGAGACUGAAGACUCUGAGCAGCAGAAGGGCUUGGAGGAAGGCAAGUGUCCUUGGUCAUUCCCGUUUAUACCUAAAUGACAUGCAUUGAUUCACAAUAUUUAUUUAUCGCAAGCAUUAAUAUGAUGGGUUCCUAUUAAGGAUGAUGCCUAGUUUCUUUUGAUCAUACCUUGCAGCCAGGUUGUUCAAAUAAUCUGGAGGGUAGAUGAUGCUUAGUUUGCUCAACUGGGUUGGUAAAUAAACAAUAUGGUUAAUUUUAUUUAUUUACUCUAUGUUCCUUUAUGUUGAUUUAAUUACAAGACCAUAUGUUCUAAACGAACAUGGAGCGACCACCCAGGAAAAUAGUACAACCACAAGGACUACAUGGCUCUGGUCUUGGCUAACUAAUUAGAGGACUCUAGUGUUGGAUUGGUGUUAAGGGGGGGCAUGUCUCGCGGAACCUCGUGCAUUGGAACACACUAGGGAAGUCUUUGUUAAGGCCUCUAGCGUCCCUAUGCAAUCACACCUCGGAAGUGUGGUAUUGUGCCUACUUUUGCACAGCAUGGUUGAAUCCAAAGUUCACCUGAACUUUUAUGCGACUUGUGGGUAAAGAUGUACAACCUCUGCAAAGUGUAAAACUGUUAUAACAGCCGUGCUCACGGUCAAGAGCGGCCUGGACCCUCACAUGAUUAAUUUACUUGAAGAUGAUACUAGUGUGUUAUUUAUGUUCAUGCUUAUGGUAUAUCAAUGCUCUAUAUUAAUUGUGGGAUGGUAUAAACUUACAUUUGCUAGUGAUUAGGUGUUGAAUAAAAACUUGACCAACUAAAAGUGCUAAUCGCAGUUAACCUUGUCAGCCUUCCACCAUAUAAAGCCUUGCAUAUCAUAGAUAUUUCUCUCUUGCUGAGUACGACAUGUGCUCACGCUUGUGUUUUAUAUAUUGCAUCUACAACGUCCGGAUUGCUGCUCAGACCCGGAGAACUUUGAAGAUUACUGAAGUUUUUGGAGGAGUUCUAGGUGAGUCCACCAGUCAGCUGCCUGUGGAGUUGUUGGAGAUGCGCUGCCUAUAUUAGAGAUUUCUAUCUCAAUUCUAGUUACAUAAUUUAUGUAAUUCUCUCUCUACGCUAUAACACAGUAUUUGAUAUUUACUGAAGUCAUCGUAUGUUUGAAACUUGAUCCUGGCAUACAUAUGAUAGUCAUCUGGUUUUACAUUUAAAACCGGGUGUGACAGGAUGCUACCGAUGGCUCUGCAACUUGAUGCAAUUCAUGCACGCUGCUGGGUGGCACCCAUGGUGCGAGAUGUCCAGGAAGAGUGCAUUGGCACUGUGGCGGCGGAUCCGACCAGUAGCAGCAGCUCGCACAGGUCACGACAAUGUGCAUCAUCACAAAAAUCCGAGGCUGCCCGCGCAGGUCGAGCUUUUAUUUGCUUGGAUCGGAUAUUCCUUCCUACUAAUAUCAUGGCUAUCUGUGUGAGGCUCAUAGGCUGGAGGUCUAAGGGUAGCCAUAGACACUACUAUAGAACUGACCGAGGGCUGAUUAGGCUCAUAGGCUCAUAGGCUCAUAGGCUGGAGGUCUGAUUAGCUCAUAUUCUUUGUCUCACCCUAUGGGUAUCGUGGAGGCACGGCGCCAAGCUGGCGGCACGGUGUAGCCUCAAUUCAGAACUUUCCUAGCCAGGGCGUGGCCGAGGGCGAUUGGUUGCUCAACCUGAUGAGAACUUGGGUGGGUGCUCCUAGAUGGGAGAGAAUAGGGUGACGGAUGAGAAUGCAGAUGAGGGACGGGGCUCAGACGAGGGGUGGGUUGGAGACAUGUUUUCACUGUUGAACUCUUAGCGUCAAGAUGAGAGGUGAGAUGAGAUACCGGUAGGACCUGCUCUUACCAUGGCACUUCAGCAACCCCACCCCAACCCCGCGCGCAAGUCAAAAUUUGAGGACCAUAUGUACAAUACGUGUGCAAACAGAACCAUAAUUUUACUAGUAUCGAGGGAUUUUAGUUAUUUCUUCUAAAAAAUCUCUUGGGAAAUCGUAUUUUUGUAGUACAACAUAUAUAGAAAAUAAGUAUUACUCACAAAUAAACUGCCCUUUUCUUUAGUAUUCUUGGUUUUUGUUAUUAUUUUAUUUAAUCUUAAGAUUUAUAUAUGCAUAAAAAAGUAAUUUAGUAUCUUCAAAUAUGGAAACGUGGUCUUAGGAAUAGGGCUCAUAUUUUAUUCUUGAGCAUGCCUAGUGGAAAAAUACUAUCUAAAAAACCGCAAAGAAAUUUAAUACCUAAGCCUUCGAUCCACUCUACUUUUUGUAUACUAGUUUACCUGCAAUCCACUGGCUUGCACAUUAUAUUUCAUCAUACGGAAAUGUCUGAGAUUGUGAACGGAAGCAAUUUCAUCUGUCUGCAACCCUGCAUAGCAUGUGACAGCCCGGGCUGCGUGCCAAGAAACACCCAGAGCUCCUGACACAACCGCGUGAGCACCUUCUCCGACAUGCGCACAUGAGGACCGCAUGCACCCAUAUGCAAGGUUCACAAAUACGUGCGUGCUUAAACUAUAUAUAUAUUAUACAUAGUUUAUUAUAUUUUUGGCAGGGAUAUGAUAAUCAUUAAUUAUUACUUGUAAAGAUUGGAAACGUUACAAACGAUUGUAGAAAAAAUGCGAGUCACCAGGAAGGUAGGUAGUAGAGCAUGCCGUCAGUGUCUUUCCUGUGACCUGUGUUCGUGGUGCACAUGGCAGAAUGCACAGUCUAUACAUAGGAACCAGAAGUUGGCUUCGAAACCAAAUCACUCAUUAGUCCUUCAGUACUGCAGUGAACGCUAUCUAGCUAGCUAAUUUCCCCUUGAAAUCAGUUUUCUUGCGUGGCCAUGGGUAGCCUUCCACUUGAAGCCAUGAUGCCACUGAACCCCGAUUCAUUCGCUGGGGAGUCCAGUGCCGUGGUCGACUUCCUCGCCGACUACUACCGCAACGUCGAUAAGUAUCCGGUCAUGGCCAACACCCAGCCAGGGACCAUCCGUAAGCUUCUUCCGGAGGCAGCCCCGGAGUUGGUUGGUACUCAACAAGUCGUGGGAAAUAGUGUAGUGUAAGGCCAACCAUGAUACCCUUAUACUACCUAUACUACUCAUGUAUACUACCCAUACCACAGGCGUAGGUUUCAGUAGUAUGAAAUUAAUCUUGACCGUCGGAUAUGUUUAUACUAGUCAUUUUCGAACACAAGUAUAGUCUAGUGUUGUGUUCCGUAAAAGAGCUCAUAUAAUAUGUUAUAAAACUUAUUUGUGAAAGCUGAAGACAACACCAGGGGAUAAAUUCCAGAAUAGGUGAGAACAAAAAUUUAAAAGGGCAAAAUUUGUUGAUGGAUGGAAAUGCAUAGAAUGCUUAUUACUCAAUCGACUCACAUCUCUUUUUUCUAGGAAACAAAGCUCUCAUUAGUACUCUACGUUGGAAACAAAGCACUUAUUGUUGUUCAUAGCAGCUGAGAUUGACUUACAUAUAUUUAUUUGCAAACAGGUGUGAAAUGUGAUACAAUAAUUCAGAAAGCUAGACAUCCUGAGCCAUGCGAGGGAUAAGAAGAAGCUUCUCCUUACGGUGCACAUCCAUCCCAUACGACUCUGACAUAUCGACGCCUGUCGACCCCGGCAGAAGCUCCCAGUUGAAGUGGUAGAUGAGGUUGGCAAGAAUGAUUUCGAAAGUGGCGGUGGUGAAGUUUAUACCCGGGCACAUCCUUCGCCCAGACCCAAACGGCAAGAAACGGAAGUCGUUCCCCUGGAAGUCAGAAGCAGCAUCCACGGCUUCUUCCAUGAACCGCUCAGGCAUGAACUCCUCUGCAUUCUCCCAGUAGGUGGAGUCCCUGCCUAGAGCCCACGCGUUGACGAUUACACGUGUCCCAGAGGGUAUGGUAUAUCCCUCCACCUCCCAUUCGGCCAUGGACAAGUGGGGUAUCAAAAGAGGCCCCGGCGCGUGGAGCCGCAUUGACUCUUUCAUCACCGCCGUCAGGUAGCUCAUGCCGCUCAGGUCUUGUUCAGUGACCAGUUCCUUCCCCUUGGUUGCGCACCCCCGCACCUCAGCUUGAAGCUUGGUCAUCACCUUGGGAUUCCGCAUCAGCUCAGCCAUGGCGUAGUCUAGUGCUAUGUAGGUUGUGUCCGUCCCAGCUUCAAACAUGUCCUACAUGAAUAUAUCGGUAAGUAGAACUCCAAAUCAAAUUUAACCAAGCUAGUCCAUGAAACGUCUCAUAUGUACCUCUCGUGAAAAAUAAACAUACCAUCAGUAUUGCCUUGACGUUGUCUCUGGUCAGGCCGUACUCUUGUUGAACGGAGAGCAGCACAUCGAUGAAGUCCUCCUCGUCCUCACCAUCGACCGGCUUGGUCUUGUGCUUGUCGAUGAGGCUGUCCAAAAGGUCAUCCCAUAUCUUCCUGUGCUUCACGGCCUUGGCCGAUACCAAGUCCAACCUCGCCAAGCUCGGGAAAUAGUCGUCCAGGUUAAAUCCCCCCAGGAGCUUGGCGUUCGUCUCUAACAGCUCCCGGAACAGCUGGUUCCGACCUUGUUCCCUGGGGAGCCUGCCCGUCACGGCCUGGCACACGAUGUCGUUGGCGAAGAAGCUGAAGAGCUCGCUGACGUCGACCGCGAUGCCCAUGGCGGCGGCGGCCGUCACCUUGGCUAAAACCAGCUGGACCUCCUGCUCGCGGGCGGCGCGGUUGGACCGGACCUUCGCCGCGGUAAGGAGGUGGGUGGUGAUCACCUUCCUGGCCUGGCGCCAGUACUCACCGUAGGGGGCGAAGCCGACGUCGGUGCAGCCGUAGAACAGGACGUCGGCCACCGCGGAGUGCGGCCGGGAGGCGAAGACGUGGUCGUGUGUGCGCAGGACGGCCUUGGCGGCGCGUGGGGAGGAGACGACGAGCGUUGGCACGGCGCCGAGGCGGAGGAGCAUCACGUCGGGCCCGUGCCUCUUGGCGAGGUCGCGGAGGGAGUGGUGGGGAAGGGAUCCGAUGAGGUGGAGGUGGCCGAUGAUCGGGAGCUUGAACGGAGGCGACGGUAGCUUCCGGAGCAGCUUCUCUGUUCUUGACCUUGGUGUUGCCAAGUGCACGGCGACGAGGAAGAGGAAGAAGAGGAGGGCUAGGGACUCUGGAGAUGCGUGUUCGUAGAGGUGCGCUAGCGCUGGAGCCGCCAUGGCUGAUCAACUAGUGUGCACAACACACGGCUUGCUAGCGCAACAAGUUAGAACCAGCUCGUUGCAGUUUUUGUAGAGCUCGGAAGUCGUGAUCCGUCAGACAGCAAGAAGAGUAUGCUAUUUUUUUUCUUUUCUGCAUCAUCACUAGAUCAGAUCAGACAGGACCGACCAGAUCUGAUCUUUUAUGAGAGAAUCCUAUCGAAUAAUCAUCCUUUUUAUUAAACUGCACCCGACGCAGACUUUCUUUAUUUGCCCAUGUGCUAUUAUAUUAAUUUUUAUCUCGACUAUAUACCACUGUCCUCAUGUAUGUUGUGUACCAAGAGGAACACGAGACGAUCGAGAUUCCAAUAAAAUAUGUGUUUGGUGCUGGAUUAAUUGGCAUGCUUUUCUCUCAGAUGAGCUGCGUGUAGUGACAGCGGCGCUCGCAAUAGUUGGUCGGCGCACUGGUAGACGGGCAGCUCAUGGAUGCUACCGACGGCUCUGCAACUUGAUGCAGUUCAUGCACGCUGCUGGGUGGCACCCAUGGUGCGAUAUGGCAUUGGCAUUGGCACUGUGGCGGCGGAUCCGACCAGUAGCAGAAGCUCGCACAAGUCUAAAUGUAUCUAACUUUGAUGAAUUUUAAUUUCAAAUCUAUGGAGGCUUUUGAGCUCGAACUAAUUGAAAUGGAUCACACUUUAGUAGUGCUUUCAACAUAAAAAAUUGACACAAAAUUUGGCGGUGAGCAGUCUGCCUAGCCCAGGCAGAAAAACAAAGGCUUGAAACAAACAAGCCCUUGGUGUGUGCCUGAUAAUCAUAUGUUCGAAACUCCGAUCCUGUCGCCCUUGAUUAAAAUUCAUAGUAGAGACCUAUUGAGGAUUAGCCCUGGCAUCGAUCCGGCCACAGGAGAGACCGGGAGCCAAGAAGUGAAGUAAGUUGCGUGCGUGCCUGACGGCGAGGAAGCACCUCCAUUGAGCCACGAGGUGGAGUACGAGGCAGAGGCGAGAUGGGAUGUGUUGGGGACAGACUCACAUGACGGAGAGUGGUGCAUCUCCUACCUACCAUCUGCCAUUGCCGAGGGCCUUUCACCGUGCACCACUCCGGUUCGCUCUUUUGCGUCGCUGGGAGGAAAGGGACCGCCGAGCGUUGGGUGCCGCCACCGCUCCUGCGUAGUUCGCCAUGGCCACCUCCUCCGAGAGCGCCCUCACCAGCGGCUCCAGCGCUGCACCUCAUUCCAGGGAUGGGGCAGCCGCUGCUGGGUCACAUCCGCCCGGGGAUUGGGCCGUUGCCGGGGAAUAAGAGGAGCGCGGCAGAGAAGAAAAGGAGAAAACAGAGGAGCCGUGAUUGACAGGGACGGAGGAAAGAUGAUGAGUGCGUACGGUGGGGUAAAAAUGGAAUUGGUUUUUGGUAGAAACAUUUUCUAACUUGUGGUUUUUAUGGGUCUCCACCUUAUCCUCUCUCAAUUGCAUGAUAGGUGGGUCCGACAUGAGCGGUAAGGUGGUUCUGGUUUGGGUGAGAAAGGUUUUCAAUUAUGUUGGAAAACAGGCUUCGCGGAGGCUCAAACACAAUGAGGUUUGAGCAGUCCUUGCAAUUCAAUUCCAAAGAAAUGAACAUAUGUUUACAUCGGGGUAGGGCUCUCCUUUUAUAGUAUCUCGGAGGACAUUUUGCAUUCCGCAAUUACCCUCACUCACCCACUACAAUCCUAGAAUAUGCUUUACAUGGAGGUAACUUGUAUAACUUGGUCUCCUCCUUGGAUCACGCUUCUCACGCCUUUAGUCAGCUCCAUGAUUCAUGCUCUCACAUGGUUCCACAAAUCAUGCCUUCACAUUUCCAACGCCUCCACGCUUCCUGACCUCAUGACCGAAGCCAUCUUAGCUUCGGGAGUCAUGAUCGCCAUAGAUUCGCACCUAAGAGACGCUAGCCUCGCGCCCUGCUCCUUGACUUGAUUCAGCGAUCCUGCAUGAGACACUAAAUAACUCAGCACUCGAGGUUAGCUUCGACUGCUCGAGGUCAAGCUUGGUUAGUGUUUGGUGAUCUGUGAUUGCCUCCGGGCUUCGAGGUAAGAUUCAGGAUAGCGAGGCUAUGAUUACUUUCCACGCCAGAUUAACCACCCAAGGUUAGGGCCCCUCACCCGAUGUUAAUUAUUUUGAGGGGCUAAGCUGUUGACGCUAAAUGUAACGACCUCGAGGGUGACCAUCUUUUUGGGCGAUCCCCAACAGUAGCCCCUCGUGGGCAAGGCUCGACACCGACGACCGAACCCGUGACUUAAGGAUCUGCUCCCAAAAAACGUCACUCUCGAGCAUCGGUUAGAAAUGAGCCAACAGUGACCUUUUUGGUCUUACGUGUCGAUUUCCUAUUGGGUGACCCUUCGUAUCUAGCUCGUGGUUACAGGCGCCAUUUCACGCAUUUUACCAUGCCUAUAAAAGAGGGGGGUGGGGUCGCUUUCGUUUUUACCCUCGCGGCUGAAACCCUUGCGCUCCUGCUUUUGCUCGCUGCUUCCGUGCUUUAAGAUUCAUGCAUUGUAUGCUGUUGUCCUUGGUCUCGAGGAUCUCGAAGGUAACAAUGUUACUUGUGUCUCUCUUUUAGUGUGAGAUUUUCCCUUGCUUGUCAUUUUGGAGAUGAUGUUUCGAUGCCUUGCAGCUGGCUCGUAUUAUGCAAACCGCUAGGCCCAUGACAUCAGAAGAGUUCACUAAACAAGCUGGGCUUCGCAACGAGGCUGCGGAAGACCAGGAUUUGUCCAAGGCUGACGAGAAGCAAGGAAUCAAGAGGAUUGAGCUUUCUUAUGCCUAGAAGAAUAGGUGGGAAGAUAAUUGGCUAAGCUACUAGUUCUAUAUCAAGAUUGACACAGCCGAUGCGUCUGGUAUCAACCAAUCUUUCUAUCCUUCUAUGCACCCCUGGGCCCUAUGGACAUUGCUACUACCCCUGCAUUUACAAGGUCCAAGGCAGUCAAGGAGUGCAAGGGCGCUUUCCUCCCGGACUCGAAGUCGAUCCCCGACUGGAUCUUGUUGAAGAGUUUUUAGCAGCCAACAUUUGGCCCCUUUCUGAUGGGUGGAGUCCAUUGGAGAUUGUGCCAAAAGAGGUUCCGUGGAGUACUAGCCCGCUCCUCUACCCUUGCUUUGGAGUGGAGCUGCCCGUGGAUGCCAACCCCGGUCUUUUUGCAGAGGAUGUUGAGAGGCAUGCUGUUGAUAUAAUUGGCCCGAGUAUUGAGACUGAGCUGACGUUAGCUCGAAAGAUCAUUCACACGAGCUUCGGGUCAACCGUGUGUUCGAGGAACUUGGGGUCGAUGUUAAGCCUUGUCCCAAACCUCGCAAGACCUUGAAAUGGGAACGAGAGGCUGGCGCGACACGCUCGGAAUAGGUUGGCGGCAGUGGCAGGUGGAAAAAGAGAAAGGCCGAGAGCACCGCUCCUAAGGCCGCGGCAGUGACUUCAAAGAAGGAUGACAGCCAAUCGAGGGUCGUGCUCGAGGUGCGAAAGCAAAAUUAAAGACCUCGAGCCUCGAAGCUCAGAAGAAGUAAGAAACAAUUGGACAAAGUUCCUCGAGCGAGGCCGCGCCCCUGUCUCUAAAGCCGUCCGAGUUGCGACCAAGUCCGAACUCGAGGCUGCCGGCGCGCUGGCCGGUAUGAAAGAAAAGAAGUCUACGAGGAAGUCUCGCGUCGGCAAAGCCUUUGAUGAUGAUGAUGAUAUUGUUUUGGAUGUGGACUUGUCUAUGUUCCCUAUAUCGGUCCCCGAGGCUAGUGUUCCUUCAAAGGAGACUGAGACUAAGGUUGUUGCACCCCUUCUACAGCACGAGGCCAAACCUUUGAAGGAGAAGAUCAUGGAUACCAUUGCUAAGGAGAUUAAGGCGUAUACUUCGAAGGUGACAAAGCCAGGUAAACAUGUCGUUGUACAUUUGCCUAGGAUGAGAUUUUUUGAUUUUGGUGAUGCGUCAUUUAGAUUUCUGAUGGAGCUGGAAAAAACCACUGGUGCACCUGGGGAGAUAUACAGGGAACCUCCUCUAAUAUUUAGGGUAAAACCUUAUUCUACAGAUUCUGAACUGUCACCCUCUCUGGAACGUUACAACGAGGCCUACAGCACCAACCUUAGACAGGAGCUCAUUGCUGUUCAUGUGCCGGGUUCAGGUGAGGACGAUAAUCGCUACAACCUACCCUUGUUGUGGGGAGCUAAGGAUGGGAUGCGUGGUGUAGAUAGAGCAGCCAAGGAGGUUUUCAAGAUGUCUGAGGGGGUUGUCGGUGAGGUUGGUGGGCAUGGAGAAAGGGAGGAAGGAGAGGUUAUCCCUACUCGAGGUCUUGGGAAAUCCACUGUGCCUUUUGAGGUUGAUUACGAGGACAAGUCUUUUAAUCCUGAGAGUAAGCGCUUGCUCCUUAGUUUGUUUUGUCUGUACUUAAUUUCUACUUUGCUAUGCUUUGACGUGCCUUUCUUUUGACAGAGUAUGAAAAAUCAGUUAGACGUUUCGAGCAAAAGGACUUAGCUAGGAUGUCAGCUACCAUCGGAUACAAGGUAUUUUGUUCGACGCUUGCUAUUUGUUUCUUAUCUCUCUUUUUUUACGAGGCUUUUCAUUUUGGUGUUUCGAUUUUGCAGUCCAUCAUCCUUGGGAAGAUGCUAUGGAGAAGGCUGCGGCUAAGGAAAAGAGCAUGCUAGCCGAGAGCACGAAGAUGAUGCAGCUAGAGGCUAGAGUUGCAAAGCUUGAGGAGGAAAGCAAGGUUUUAUAUGCCUUGAAGAAUGAGCUCGCCGAUUCUAACUCUGACCUUAAAAACAACAACGUGCUGCUAACAAAUACCUACAGCGAGCUCGUGCAACAAGUUGAGAAGCUGGAGAAAAGACCCGAAGACAAUCUUGGUGUUUUGGAGAAACUCCGAAGCGCCACAGAAAAAGACGCACAGACUAUCACAGAGCAGGAAAAAAUGAUUCAUACCCUUGGUCAGGAUCUCAAAGAGCAAAAGACCUUUGUUGUGGAAGCAGAGCGGGCUCUCAAGGAAAAGUUCGCUGAGAUCUAUGAGGGGUACAAAACUGCUCUUGCAAAGUUUGGCGCAGAGCCUCUUUUGUUUCUGGGUGAUGAAAGUGUAAAAGAAAUAUUUGAUUGGGUGGAAGAGGAGUUCAAAGGCCUGCCCGAGGUUAUUACUGGCAGCAGCAACUUUGCUGCUUCCUUCUGCCUUGAUAGCGCAGUUCAACUCCUUGAAAAGAACAGCUACUCUCAUUUCUUAACACUCGUGGCUCGCACCUAUAUGUUCCCCUCGGCCUCGGAGCUUGACGAAGAGGAGAAAUCUAAAAAUUUGAGAGCCACGAAGAUAAAUUUCUUCAAACAGCUUUGGGCUACCUCCGGGCGAGAGUACACAAGGCUGGUUGCUCAAGAGCGGCUUGCACAGGUUAGGGUUCACAUAACUUUGUAUUUCAUAAGGUUUUCAUUUUUUCUGUUGAUUUCCUGAUGUUGUUCCUCUUGUGUUCGUAGGCCAAGGCAUAGGAAGCAAAAGGCGAAGGUGGGAGCGAGAACGGUGAUGCUGAUCAAGGAGGGCAGUGAUUAUCGAAGCUAGUUAGAGAUUUGUUUUGUGGUUUGGGAUGUUUUGAUAAACUUGAUACUUAGUUGGCUGCUUUUGCAGGCCAGAUUGUAAAUAUUUGUUGCUCAGCCGGAACUUACAUGCUCGAAGCUGGUUACUUUUGGCGUUUGUACCUUCACGGAUUUCUUUUUGUCUUAACGUUUUUAUGUUUGAGUUAUUCUACUCAAAUGGCAACAAAGCUGUAGCUUAAAGAAACGAGCAAUGUUUUAGUUUAAAACGUCACCCCUGCCCUAGUUUCUUUAUGCGUAGGUUUUGUUGACUUUGCACGCUUGUUGUCUAAGCUUAAACGGAGCUUAAAAACGUCACCCCCUUCUUGGCAUGUGGGUCUUACCCGAGGCAAUUCUCUCAUGGAAAGAGGAUGAAAACGAUUUUUGUUUGCCAAAAAAUGUCACCCCCGCCCUUUUAUCCUUUUUUCGAAAAAACGUCCAACCUCACCCUUUUCUUUUGCAUGAACGAGGUUAAGUGAGUAUUGACAAACCACAAGAUAAGUCAAUAGAAAACUUGUUUUCGAGUUAUGUUGACUUAAAAAUAUGACAGUUUGGUUGAAAUCGCAACCCUUAUGAUGUGUUUGGUUGGGCUGUGGCUUUUCAAAAAGCUGCUCUGAGCUGUGGGGGCUGUUGAAAAGCAACUGUGAGAAAGCAGCUGUGGGAAAAGUAUAUGGCCGUUUGGUUAGAGCAGAUGUGGCUUUUGAAUAAAUUUUUGAGUGGACCCUGCAUGUCAUCCACAGUCCACCCCACUCAACUCUCUCCCUCUCUCGCUGAUGAGCGGGUCUAACCCUUCUUCCUCCCGCUGGCUAGUCCACCCCACAGCACCCCGAGUAGCACCAGGGCCGCAAUGGCAUCCACGACGAUGUAGUCCACAAUCAGGGUGAGGUCCAUGACGGCGAUGGCCUGCACCUCGCCUCCUCCACCUCGCACCACGUGGCGGGCACCGUAGCACCAACGGCAUCUAGGAGGCGGUAGCACCCCGUGGGCACGCAUGCGUCGACAAGGAGGUUGAGGCCGGUCUGUGCUGCCAAGAGCCCGCCCACGGCGCCCGCGCAGGUGAGCCCCACCUCGGUGACGAAGUAGGCUGCCGCCGCCAUGGUGCCCUUCGGCGCGGAGGCGGAGAGUGAUGAGGAGACGGAUGCCAUGGCAGCGGCGAGGAGGAGGAGACGCGCGAUGAUGAGUGUGUGCUGCUGGAGGUCGGAGGCCGGGAGCGAGACGGCAAGGAGGCCUGCGGCAUGGGCGAGGAGGAGGAACGACAGGGAGAGGAGGAGUGGGAGGUGGGGCAGGAGUAAUGGGAGUGGGAGGAACGGGAGCAACGGUGGGAGGAGCAGCAGCGGGAGGAGCGUCGUGGAGGCCAGUGGGAGGAAGGCGAACAGGAGCAUGAGGAGUAGCGGGAGGAGGCAGAGGAAUGGGUGGCGGAGCAGGCGGAGGAGGCGGUGGUGGAGGGAGGACGGGGAGAGGUAGGAGACGGUGGCAAUGAGGAGGUGGGACUGGGAGGUCGCGAGGAGGGAGAAUAUAAGGGCAAGGUGGCACGCGAGCAGCAGCGCCUCCGCCAUUGGGGUUGGGCAGCGUGGUCGGGGAAGUCCCGAGGAGGAGGAGCACCAGCCAGCGGGCGGCGGGCCACUGAGGUGAUUGUCGGGUGGGGGGGACUGGUGCGGGUGACGGGGAGUGGACAGGAAUAGAAGGGGAAAACGAACCAUUAUCCUCCAUAACAAGUGGUAGGUGGGUAAUUUUUUGCCCCAAAAGCAGCUAAAAGCAGGGGGAAGGUGCUUUUGAUUUUGGGCAAAAGCACGUAUGGCUUUGGACAAAAGCACGUAUGGCUUUUAGGCCCUUUGGUUGGCUUUUGGCUUUUGCAAAAGCAAAAGUAGGUUGGAAAGUCCAACCAAAGGCACCCUUAGUUGCUUCAACCAUGAAAUUUUGCGAGGUUGAGAAAAUAGGGAAAUAGGGUGCCUUUUUUGAAAAAAUGUCAGUCUUUCUAUUCUAUUGUGAGAGCUUUGGCUGAGGCUAGGGCCUUCGUGCGAAAGGACAAAAUGAAUUUUCGACUCUGAAAAAUGUCACCCCCCUUGUCCUUUUGCGCAGAGGGGGUUUAGACUCAGCAUGGCUUAUUCCGAGUGUUAUCGCUGCCUUUGAUCGCUUGCUGCAGCCUUUCUAUUCUCUGAGUUGCAAGUUCAAGGCCAAUCACUGUGGUGUUUGAGUGAGAAAAUACGUUUAUGUGCAUAUAGUGUGCAUUCAAUGUUAGACUAUGCAGCUUAGUGCUGCUUUAAAAUAUCUUGCGCAGAAACGUAGGUUUUCAACAUGCAGGAAUGUGAGGUUAGGCAAGUUGUUGUUGCAUCUGAGACUUGUGCAGACACGCAAGUUUUCAAUGCACAGAAACUCAAGGUUAGGCAACUUGUUGUUGCAUCUAAGACUUGCGCAGAAACGCAAGUUUUCAACGUGCAAAAACGCGAGGUUAGGCAACUUGUUGUUGCAUCUAAGACAAAGAUCAUAGGGGGAACUUCAUUUCAUUGAAUAAUGGAAAUUUUACAAGGAUCUACCUCAUUAAAAACAUUGCCUCCAGAAAGGAGGCCCUGUAGCAAGGAAAAGAGUGCAAUCCAAAUUUGAAAAUGUAAAGUGCUAUGGAGUAAAUUCAUUACCCUCAGCGUUGUUUAUAACCUUACAAGCCGAGGGUAGUGUUGAACAAAAUGCUAAGGGUAGUACUCACGCAAGCUAUCGAUAUUCCAAGAGUGUGGCAGCUCCGUGCCAAGCUGAUCCGUAAGAUGAAAAGACCCUGGCCUAUUGCUUUGCGUGACAAGGUAUGGCCCUUCCCAGGCUUCCUAUAGUUUCCCGAGGUCCUCCCAAUUUUUCUUCCUCUUGAUGACAAGGUCACCCACUUUGAUUUCCUUGCGCACCACUUUUUUGUUUCUCCACCUUCUCGUUUCUUGAUGGUACUUGUCAAUAUUUUCAGCAGCUUGCAGUAUCUCAAGCUCUAUCAUGUCUUUUUCAAUUCUUAUAUCAUCUGGGUUAACCUCGGGCUGCAACACUCUCAAGCUAUUGUUUUUUAUUUCCUUUGGUGUCACUGCCUCGGAGCCAAACAGCAAUCAGAAGGGUGUGAAGCCUGUCACUUGAGAUGCAGUGGUGUUGUGGGACCAGAUUACCCUCGAGAGCUCAUCCACCCAUUUCCCUUUCUUCUGAUCAAAGAGACAUUUCUUCAUACCUGAGAAGAUCAAGCCAUUUGCUCUUUCCACCGCCCCGUUUGACAGGGGAUGAUAUACUAAGGUGAAUUUUACUUUAGUACCAAUGCUGGCACAAAACUCUUUGAAAUUAUAACAACAAAUUGCUUGUCGUUAUAAACAAUUAGCUCCCUAGGUACUCCGAAUCUGCAGAUGAUGUUCUGCCAAAAGAAUUUUUGGACUGAGCCCGAGGUUAUAUUUGCCAGCGGCUUAGCCUCGAUCCACUUCGUAUAGUCAACUACUACUAUGGCAAACUUGCAAUUUCCUUGAGCUGUCAGGAGUGGGCCUACUAGGUCCAUACCCCAUCUUUGUAAGGGACAAGUUGGUGAGAUAUGUUGUAUUGGCAGCGAUGGCGCAUUUUGCUAGUUUGCUAUUUUUUGUCAAGCUUCACAGCUUCGCACGAGGCUUUGUGCAUCCUGGAAUGUUGUGCGCCAGUAAAACCCCUACCUCAAUGCUUUACUCACCAAGGCUUUCGAUCCGAUAUGCGACCCGGAAAAACCCUUGUGAAUCUUAGCUACUAGCUCUUUCCCGCUUUCUGUGUCUAUGUACCGAAGCCAAGGGGUCGAUAUCCCAGACUUGUAUAAUUUUCCAACAAUAAUUGUGUAGCCCCUAGCUUUUUGCUUUAAUCUAGCUAGUUCAACCUCAUCAUAGGGUUUGAAGUACCCUCUCAUAUAAGCCAUGAUUUGAGCUCUCUAGUCAAAACUUUAGAUUGCAUUUAUUGUCUUCGGGGUUGGAUCUUUUGUCGAUGGCGUGCGAAUGACCUCGUAAAAUACAUCGGGGGGCAUGGGCUGACUCUGUGCUGCAGCUUUUGCAAGUGCAUCAGCCUCAUCAUUUUCCGCCCUUGGGAUAUGUUGUACCGUGAAGCCCUUGAAAUGCUUUUCCAUCGCUCUUACUGCUGCAAGAUACUUGACUAGCUCCGGCUCUCUAGCCUCGCUAUCCUUUUCUAUAUGCUCUUUGAGUCUGUCUUUAUUACGAAUACUUGCUAACCUAGGGCCUUCAUUUUCCUUAGCCCCAUGAGCAGUGCUUCAUAUUCUGUGGUGUUGUUUGUAGACCUCGCAUCAUUUGCAAAGCUUAGCCUUGCAGCAUAUCCCAUUUUGACUGCCGAUGGCGAGGUUACAAUAGCCAAGAUUCCAGUCCCUCUAUCACACCAGGCACCAUCACAGUGUAUAGCCCAUGGAGUCUCGAUCUCGUCUUGGCUAGCACAUGGAGAUGUCCAAUCUACGAUGAAAUCUGCCAGGACUUGUGAUUUUAUAGCACUCCUUCUCUCGAAGUCCACAACAAAUUCUGACAAUUCUGAUGCCCAUUUAGUGAUCCUCCCCGAAGCUUCUCUAUUUGAAAAGAGAUCUUGUAGAGGUUUGUUAGUAACUGCCAUGAUUCUGUGGCCCUCAAAGUAAUGUCGCAGCUUGCGUGCUGCCAUAACCACUGUGUACACAAUCUUCUCUAGCUCCGAAUAAAACAGCCUCGAACCUGAUAGUGCUUCCGAUGCAAAAUAGACUAGGAUCUGUUUUAGCUUUGCCAUCGACUUCUUUUUCUUGAAUCAGGGUGGCGCUGACGGCUGUAUUCGAAGCUGGCACAUAAAGCAAGAGAGGUGAUUUGGCUCUAGAGCGCACAAUUUGGUCAUGUUCGCCAAGUAGUCUUUGAGGUAUUGAAAAGCCUCACUUUGUUACUCCUCCCACUCAAAAUUUUUAGAGUUUCUCAGGACCUAGAAGAAUGGUAAGCUUCGCUUCACGGCUCUUGAAAUGAACCUGUUAAGGGUAGCAACUCUUCUAGUUAGCCUCUGGACAUUCUUCAGCGAGGCUGGCUCCCUCAUAUCAAGCAGUGCCUGGAUUUUGUCUGAGUUCGCUUGGAUGCCUUAUGUUGUAACUAGACAUCCCAAGACUUUGCCUCACUAAACCCCAAACACACAUUUCUCAGGGUUGAGCUUCAGGUUUGCUGCUCUCAAGUUGGCGAAAGUUUCCGCGAGGUCGAGGAUGUGGUCUUUCCUCUUAUCACUUUUCACAACUAUAUCGUCAACAUAAGCGAGAAUAUUUCUACAAAGCUGUUUGGAGAGGAUGAUUGCUAUCAUUAUUGAGAAGGUUUUCCCUACUAUUUUUAGCCCCAUGGGCAUCCUCACAAAGCAAAAGGUCCCGAAUGGUGUUACCAAUCCUAUUUUUCUCUCAUCCUCUUUUUUUUAUUUUGAGCUAAUGGUAGCCUGAGAAUAAGUCCAAUAAUGGUAACAUUUCACUAUUGGCAGCAUCGUCCACCACCUUGUCUACUCUUUGCAAUGGGUAGUGAUCUUUCAGGCAAGCCUUGUUUAGGUCAGUGAAGUCUAUGUACAUUCUCCACCUGCCGUUCUUCUUUUUGACUGGAAUAGUAUUGGCUAGCCAUUCUGGAUAGAUAAUGGGCCAUAUGACAUUAGCCUCGAGGAGUCUUUCAAUCUUGGCCUUCACUACUUGAGCUUUUUCAUCUGACAUUUUUUGAGCUUUUGCUUUUUUGGCUUCAUGCUAGGCUUGAUGUUGAGGUUGUGCUCUAUUAUCUCUUUGUUGACCCCUUGGAGGUCACUUGAGGACCAGGCAAAAACAUCUUUGUUUUUGUUUAAGAAAUCGAUUAACUCCUUCUCCUCCUCGGGCUUGGGGUUGGCUCCUAUUGUGACGUAUUUGUCAACAACAUAGUCAUCCAAGAGGACUCUUUUUGUUUCGCCAUCCACACUUAUUUUUAUCUUCUCUUUGUCCCUUUUGGGCUCAACAUAUGGUUUUUUCUUUUCUUACUCUUCAGCCUCAUUGGGGGUUGUUAGGUGGUGGACAUUCUUUUGUCCUGGGGUUACACCCUUUUCUAUAUUUCUGGCGGUUUGCUAGUCGCCAUAGAUUGUGAUGACUCCUUUCAGAACUAGGAUUUUCAUGCAUAGAAAUAGUUGCCUGAUUGCUGCAUCGAACUUGUUAAUGAACCCUCUCUCGAGGAUGGUGAAGUAAGGGUAGUACAUUUCAAUGACAUCAAAUGUGAUGCGCUCUAUUCUUGCAUUGUCGAGGUUUCCAAAUGAAACUGGAAGUGCUACCUUUCCCAGGGCUUUAACUAGCCUCCCCCUGAAGCCAAGUAGUGGGACUUCUGCUGGCUCGAGCAAGUGCUGGUCAAUUUUCAUCUCCCUAAAGGUGUUUGUGAAGAUGAUAUCUGCGGAGAUGCCAUUGUCCACUAGGACCUUCCCUAUCUUCCAGCCAGUAAUGGUAGCCUCGAUUACCAUUGCAUCGUUAUGCAAGGUUGUUUUCAAUUUGAAGUCUUCUUCUAUGAAAGAACUUGGCAUGUGUGCCCAUUCCGGCUUAGCUGGGGGACCAUCAGGUAUGAUUGUGUUCACCUGCCUAAAACAAUCUCUUUUUUAGCCUUUUGUUCUUGAACUCGAGGGAACAGCCAUCGGCGAUUGGCAUUAUCAUGCCAUAGGUUGGUAUAGCAUUGGAGUUGUCCUCGCGAUGCUCGGAUUGUUAGGAUCCCCCUGAGAUUGGCAUUAUCAUGUUGUAGGUAGGUAAGGCUUUAGGAUUGUUGUUUUGUGGGUUAAGCUCAGCUUUUGGAAUUUCAUUGGGUAGAUUUGGUGGUGGUAGUGGUAUUUCAUGGUGGGGUUGAGAAGGUACGAAGUUUGCAUUCUACGAGGUUGGUUGAGCACGAGGCCGGAAUUGUGGCGAGUGUUGCCACAUCAUGGUGGGCUAAAAGGUUGCGUGGUUGGGGUUUGGGUAGUAUGGUGGAUGUGGCCAAAAGGUUGUAUGGUGGAUGGUUUUGAGUGCCUCAGCCACUUUCUUUUCUUCGGCUAUUCUUUCAAAAACCUUUUUGGCUUCUUGGCAAAAAUCAGUUGCAUGGUCGAGUUGUUUACCAUGGAAUGUGCAGUAAAAUGAUCUUUGUUGGUUACUUUGGUUAUUUCACCUCGGAGGUCCUCUGCCUCGGCCUCUUCCUCUUCCGACAUGGUUGCCUCUUUGGCCGCUUCUGAAAUUGGGUUGAUGUUGGUGGUAUCGGUUCUGGUUUUGGCCUAGGUUUUGGUUUUGGGUUUGGUUUUUGAAUGAGGGUUGGUUAUCCUUGAUGGCCAGCAGUUGGUUUGGGUGCGAGUGGUGCUGUUGUUGGUGACUGUAUCAUGAAGCUUGCCAGUUUUGACCUUUCUCUGCUUGCCUUUGGCGGUUUCUUUCCACGACCCUUCUUUUAUGGUCUUCAUCUGAUCUGCAAUAUUUAUCCAUCUCUGCGAAUAGGGCUUCCAUUCUUUUUGGCUUUUUCCUUGAUAGCUUCGAGGCUGUUGGCCCCGGAUUAAGCCCCUUGAUGCAGAUCGCUAUGACCAUGCUAUCCUCCACAUCUGGGGUUUGUGUCUUAAGUUGGAAAAAUCUUCUCACGUAGCUUGCUAAAGGCUCUUUAUCUUUUUGCACACAAUUGAACAAAUCCCCCUCAUCAGUCAUGGCUCUAUGAAAGCCUUGAAAGUUUUGUAUCAGUUUGGUUUGAAGAUCGACCCAGCUGUAUACAAAUUGCAGCAGGAGUAGAGAGUACCAAUUUAGUGCUACACCCUCACACGCUAUAAUGAAUGACUUUGCCAAUACUACAUCAUGUCCCCCUGUCGAGGCUAUGGCUGUUUCAUAACUCAUGAGGAACUAGCGGGGAUCUGUUUGUCCAUUGAAUUUUGGUAGUGCAACUGCCUUGUAGGUUGUGGGCCAUGGGGCUGUUUGCAGGCCUAAGGAUAGUGGGGAGCUUUUGUCGGUAGUUGUGUAUGCGCUCAUUGUCACUAGGGUGUUGUGCCCAACAAGGCUAGGAUUCGGGUAUAGGAUGGGUGUGUCAUUGGUGUUGAAGGUUUGAAGUGGUGGCUGCUGCGGCUAUUGUGGUGUGUUGCACAAGUAUUCCAAUUCGUUCAACUCUUGCUGCAACUCUGCCAGCUGCCUUUUGGCCUCAUUUAGCCUCACUAGCUUGUUGGCUGCUAGUCUUUGAGCCUGAAGCUCUUGAGCAAUUUUUUCUUUUUCUUUUUUAAUGGCUCUAGCUGCUUGAGUGCCGAGGCCAUCUCUUCUUCUAUUUCACUAAGGGGUUCAUCUUGCGUGCUUGUUUGCUGCAGAGUUUGGUUCGAGGUCCCCGCCUCAACCAUUCCUUUCUGUGAUCUUGUUCUUAAUUUAGCCUCGAUUCUUUUAAACUUUUUCUGCCUUCUCCGUGUUAACUUGUUCGACUGAGACAAGCUGCCUUUCUUGUCCAGCCUCAUCUUCGAUGGUUCUCUUCUUCUUUUGAGGUGGCAUCGUGGGUUUCUUAGUCGCUCAGAAUACGGUGGGUGCCAAUGUUGGGAAACAGGCUUCAGGAAGGCUCAAAAACAACAAGGUUUGAGUAGUCCUUGCAAUUCAACUCCAAAGAAAUGAACAUACGUUUACAUCGGGGUAGGGCUCUCCUUUUAUAGUGUCUCGGAGGACACUUUACAUUCCGCAAUUACCCUCACUCACCCACCACAUUCCUAGAAUAUGCUUUACAUAGAGGUCUUUUUAAGAGGUAACUUGUAUGAUUUGGUCUCCUCCUUGGAUCACGCUUCUCACACCUUUAGUUAGCUCCGUGAUUCACUCUCUCACAUGGUUCUGCAAAUCACACCUUCACGUUCCAAUGCCUCCAUGCUUCCUGACCUUGCGAUUGAAGCCAUCUUAGCUUCGGGAGUCAUGAUUGCCCUAGCUUCGCACCUGAGAGAUGCUAUGCACCAUGCUCCUUGACCUGAUUCAGCGACCUUGCAUAAGACAGUAAAUAACUCAGCACUCGAGGUUAUCUUCAAGUGCUCAAGGUCAAGCUUGGUUAGUGUUCGGCGAUCAGUGAUUGCCUCCGAGCUUUGAGGUAAGAUUCAGGAUAGCAAGGCUAGGAUUACUUUCCAUGCCAAAUUAACUGCCUGAGGUUAGGGACCCUCACUCGAGAUUAAUUAUUUUUAGGGGCUAAGCUAUUGACGCUAAAUAUAAUGACCUCGAGGUUGACCAUCUUUUUAGGCGAUCCCCAACAAAUUAUUUUCGAUCUUUAUAUUACAGAAAUGCAUGCACACGGCUUGCUUGAUGGCGUUGUCCGCUCAUCUUGCCAUGCCUCGCCUCGUCGCCGACCACACCAUCAUGAAUGGAGAAACCACGCAUGCACUGUGAUAAGUUUAGAGCAUCCUAGUGACGGUAUUCAAGGUGCUCAAAUAGUGGUAUUCAACUUAGAAAAAUUAGUAGCACCGGAAUAUUGAACGGUCAUCGGAGCAACCAUCAGAGCACUUGGUAUGAUUAAGAAAUAAGCUUGAGUUGCAGCAAGCACCAGAUGAUCCGACAGGGUUCUGUUUAUAAGUGUCAGAGCAAUUCGCAGAGAAGAUAGAGAAAUACCUAUAGCACCAGAUGUUCCAAUGGCUAGAAGAUGAAGGCGUUGGACCAAGCAUAUUUACAUUGAAAAAUUCAUGAGAGAUUCUAGGGAAAACUCCUUCAGCACCGGGUCUUCCGACGGUACGUCGGAUGAAUUUAGGCAAAGGUCCAAUGGCUAUAUGUGUCAGUAAGGCGCACUAGAUGAUCCCAUGCUUACCUUAAGUGACCAUCGGAUCGUCCGAUGCUCACAUAUUUUACUAGGUGUUGGAGCAAAUGCCCUUUGAGGUUCAUGGGCUAUUUAUGCCCCCUCCACUCGCCCAUUCAGAGUUGCUGGAGUGUCCAUACAUCGAUUGAUGACCAAGGCUCAUCAAGAACAUAUACAUGCCACCAAAAGUGCAAAAGCGAUAAUCCAAGGCUUAGCACGAGCUAAGAGAUUGAUUAGUGCUAGGAUAGGCCUAGAGAGAGUAGUGCAAGGUGCUGAUACCUUGUGAUUGGUUCAAGGAGUGAUCCACUAUUAUAAGCUUGGUGCACCGGUGGCUUGGGGUCUUAGUGGCUCUCCGGCAAGUAUUCGACCCUCCAGCUUGGUGUGGAGCAGCAUCGACGGCCAUAUGCGAGGGACAAGAAGACUCCUUCCUUCGUGGAGCAGCUUCGUACUUGAGUGCCUUGAAUGCCUUUACUUUCUAGAGUAGUACCUUGUUAGGAUUGGCUCUAGGUUGCAAAACUCUUUAUGGGUGGGAAGUUUCACUAGAUCAACCAUAGAUGCACAUGUAGAUAGCAUGAUCUAGUUUAUGUUUGGAAGCAAGUAGUGGAAGUCAUAGGCUAAGGAUCAGUAGUUCGUAUGUGCUAGCAAUCAUCGCCUCCAGCUUCGUCGCCCCCUCUCCAUCACCCCAUCCCCGUCGCCCCCGGCCCCGUCGCCUCAUCGCCUCAGCGCCACCGUGCCCCGGUUGUCUCAAUCCUCUUCGACGUAUGAUGACUCUGUGCUGCCCCAUCCUCGUCGACAUCCUCCUCUCUGAUGUGGCCCUCGCCUCCUCUCUAAUGACUCCACACUACUGCGGCCACUGGCCCUUGGCUCCUUCUCAACCCCGAUGUCGCCCACACCCCCGGCCGUACAUCGACUCUGGUCGUCGAGCUCACCCCUCUCUUUUCCGACUCCGCGUCGUCCGGCCACCGUCAACUACUCUGACACCUGCACCCCCGGCCGUCUCCCCUCCGACGUGUUGCCCAAGCCCCCGUCACCUCCAUCCUGUCUGACGACACCGCGCCGCCCCCUACACACUUGCGGUGACGUAAGCCCGCGACCGCCGUGAUGACGUAAGCCCCUGCGGCUGCCGACAUCAUUAUGUUUCUUCUGAGCUAGAAUAUGUCUACAAAUUAUAGGAAAUUAUAGAAAAAUUGUAGGAAAUUUGUGUAAGUGUUAGAAAUCAUGCCUUUUUUUUCAAUUUGUACGUGCGUAGAGAAUAGCUAGUAAUUAUAAAAAUUGUUGGAGUAGGUAUAAAUUACAUAGAAAUUGUAGGAAAUUAUUGGAAAUUUGCAAAAAAUUUGUAUAAGUACUGGAAAUCAUACUUUUUUUUAAUUUGUACAUGCAUAGAGAAUGGCUAGUAAUUAUAAAAAUUGUUGGAGUAGGUACAAAUUACAUAGAAAUUGUAGGAAAUUAUUGGAAAAUUGCAGGAAAUUUGUAUAAGUACUGGAAAUCAUGACAUUUAUUUUUCUGUUUCAUUCUAUUUAUAUGUUGUAUAAAUGUUAGAAAUUUGUGUAGGCAUUGCAAAUUAUCUAUAAAUAUUGUAUGAGUGAUGUCAUUAUUGUUUCAUCCUAUUUUUGUUGUCAUUUCAUACUAGUGUUUCAUUCUACUUUACAUAUUGUUGUAACAUGUUACAUAUUAUAAGUGUUUAGUUCUUUUAUAUUAUACUAGGUACAAUGGCAUGAUCAGAUGACGAGAUUAUAUAUGACAUGAUUGCUGGAGGGGCCUCUCAAGCAAAUGAAGAGGUCUAUCACAGCCAGGCUAACAUGUACCUCAACCUAGCUGGUGAUGGCAUUGAGGAGCAAUGACUUGCCGAGGGAGGCAACGUGGAGCAACAAGUUCCCGAUAGAGGCAAUGUGGAGCAACCAAUAUUAUACGUAAACAUUAUUUCAAUUACCAUCUUAUCAAAAGAAACAUCAUCAUGCAACAUUUCAAUUGUCGUUUUUAGCCAUCUAGAUCGAGCAAAAUGCCUCAAAAGAAACAAGGCAAGAACAAGAAAGAUGAGGGCCGUAUCAUCAUCAUAGAAAUUGCUAAAAUAGUGAACCGAUUGCCCAUCCCAAAGCUAAGAUCAAGUUGGUGAAUCAUAUUGGGUUCCUUAUCAGAGAUAACAUUCCAAUCUGGUUUCUGAAAUGGAGGAAACCCAAGCGCAUCCGGGUCAUCACAAACCCGCUCCUUUAUGUCCCUGAUCGAGAGAAGGAAAUGUUAUGGGUACAAGUAAAAGAACACUUCAUGUUCGAAAAUGUUGACAAAGCCAAAGUGAAAGAAUGGGGCAUGAAGAAGGGUGCAAUUGUGUUUCAGACCUAUAAAAACUUGACCAAAGACUAUGUAAAGAAGGGGGUUCAACCUUAUUUCAUUGAGCACACUAAGAUAAGGGAUAUCUGGGAUUCCUUUGUACAGUUCAAGGGCACGAGCUGGGUGUCUAUGGUGAUGACCAAUAAACACAGUGAGACCCUCAAGAAAUAAUUCGAGUGAAACUUCCAAUGAAAAACACUUCACGGACAAGAAAAUGCUCAAGCCAGGCAAAAUCUAGGAGCUCUGGGUGGAUGGUUUGCUUCCCAAGGACGGACGGUCCAUGAGCGGUGGACGGUCCAACCUUAUGACUUACACAACGCAGAAUUGUUGAAAACAAAUGCAUGGCCAAAGUUUUGGCCAAAACUCUAUCAAAUCAAGUCCAAAUGCCACCAAAUUUUAGCCAUAGCAUCACAACAACACAUAGAAGCUACUUCUAAGAGAUCAUCCCCAAAAGAUUGGUCAAUCAAUAGGAAAUCCAAAUCUUGUGAAGAAUACCGCUUUUUCAACCUUGGAAACUUGAAUCGCCCUGAUGUAUGAACUCGUGAGGGGUUAGAUGAAUUCCUUUGGUAGAAAGACUUCACUCACAUCCUAGUUCAUUUCCAAAUGAUCGGUUUGAGUCAAGAAUCCCUAGAAAUCACGAAUCGAACAAAAAACAUGAGAAGGGAAAAACGGGAGAAAACAAGAAUGCGAAGAAGACAAGAGAGAUUUGCACAAAGCCGCUGUCCCCCAACACACGGAGGACUCGAGGAGGUUAGGGCUUCCAUUCCCACAACAAAAACUUUAGUUCAAUACAUGAAUUCGAGUUCAAAUCAUCCGCGGACCUCUAGAGAGAGAAAGGAAAAAACCAAAAUGAAGUGCUAGAGAGAGAGGGGGUGAAAGAAAGGUGGAAGAGGUGCUAAAAAUUUCAGCCCCCAAUCUCUAUCUAUAGGCGCCGACAAAGGACUAGACAACCCCUAAUAGCUACUACUAAGAUAACUACCCAUGUAGGGGUAUUUUUGUCCAAGUUUUUGUACGUUCAUCAGACGGACAUGCCACCUUCUCAACUUUGCUUCGCCUUGAUGUAAGCUUCAUGAUGAUGCCACAUGCCCUCCUUUUUGAACCUCUAACCGCACCGAACUCGCUCCCCCCCCCCCCCGCUUUGAGGCCCAAACCGGGAAACCUGCCAACGUGGUGGUUUUGAGGCCCAAACCACCCAAACCGUCCAUUCUUUGCUUGGCCACCAAGUCGACGUGUGUCCUGUCUCCGCCAAGUCUAGCUUUGACGCCUCCAAGUCGUUUGCUCACGGCUCCCGGGCUGCCUACUUGACUUGCCUCCGUCCUGCUUGACUAGAUCGACGCCGUCUCUAUCACCAUCAUGUUCCCUUGCUGUUCCAGGCACCAUGUGGACCGCCUAUGACUCCACCUAGACUCCUCAGGUCCAUCGGUCCAAGCCUACUCACGUUCAUCCUUCACCGCCCUUGGUCCAUCGGCACGAAACUUUCGCUUGACCUUCACCACAUGCCGUCGGUCGUCACAUCGCAUCCUACACCUGCACAUCACAAACCAAGAGCAAUAUCAAUCUAACACAAUCGUUGUCAAUCACUCAUCAUCCAAGGGUGACCACCAUUGGUCCUUAGCUCUGAGCAACCGAACCAGUCAACAAGCAGCUAUUGUAGCAUCAGGGCCACAUGUCGAUUUAAGCCCAACUUAGCAUCGAAGCAGUGUCACUUCAACAAAAGCCUUAGUGGGAAGAUCCACUAAGGUCAUUGAGGAAGGUCACCCCAUGGAUGACAUCACAGGGACAACCCCUAGUAAGCUUGUUACUCCGGUUUAAAACAAGCUCAUAGUGGUGGCUUAUGGUGCGACUGAUCGACCGACACAAGGCCAAAUAAUACAUGGCAUGCUGGUUCAAGCUGGCUAUGCCAAAGUUGCGUUGGACCGAGUGGUCAACGGUUGGAGAACCUAGAACUAGAAAUCCCUAGAGGUGAUGAGGAAAAGAAUCUAGAAUAAGCUGUCCAUGGUUGGAUUCAGUGGCCCAAGCGCUUCAUGAGGAUUACGCAACCGAAUGAUGAGUCCACCUGUACCAGAAAGGGAUCCAAGCAUGACUCCAACUCCCCCUCCCAUGAAGAAGCGUUCAAUUCCACCUCCACCUCCACCUUGUAAGAAGAAGCAGAAGAAGCAGAAGGAGAAGGCACCACCUGAGAAAUUACCUUAUGAGAUGGCACACGAGGAGUCCAAGGCUGCAGCAAAUGCUUAGUUACAAGCAUGGAUUAAGGCUUGAAAAGAAGAAUGGUUGAAGAAACAGAAUCCAGAGAAACCACUGGAUAAGCGUAACCUUCAGGCUUUCAUCAGAAAAAGGAGGUGGAGAGAAGGAAAAAGCCAGUGAAAGCUCCCCUUUCUGAUUAUGGUAGGUAGAUCACAAAAGCAGUCAGCUCAUAAGAAGAAGAAAAGUGGGAAAUCUAUUUCUUAACUCAGAGAUCCACGUGUGCAGCUUUCUAACUUUGAAAAAAAACCUGCUUGAAUUCGCUAAUGAUACAAAUCUGACAGCAGCACAACUUCGAGGGGAGGCUGACAUCCCAAUGCUCCUUGUGCCUGAAAAAUGGAAAUAUGUGUAUGGUAAAGAGCUUGUGAUUCCGAAGUUGCUAAAUUAUCUGCCAACGAAGAUGCCCAAGCUCCACCAAUGGUAUAUGGAGGCCAUAGCAAAAGGUUUGGCCAUGAUGGAAGUUUGGAUUGCUGAUCACCAUGACUUCCGUGGUGAUGACAUCAUAAUGGCCUUACUAUCAGAACUUUUCAUGCUAUUCAAUCAACAAGCACUAGACAAGUCACUCAUCAGUUGAUGGGUCCUGUAAGUCUUUAAUAUAUUCCUCUAACUUCAAAAUCCCUGCUCUAGUCAUUUUGCAGUGUCUUAACUCCUAUUCAAUUUUGUAUCAUGCAGGAUGGAGAUUUAAACUUGUCGCAAAAAUGGAUACAAUGACAUGCGCUUCAUGGACCCCUCAACAAUACACAAGAAUACUCUAAGGGAUAACCUAGAUGAGACAGCGGACAAUAUAUUUUUGUUCCUAGACAAGCACUAGGAUAAGAAAUGCAUAUUAUUACUGUGGAACUCCAGGUAAGCAUUUUUACCAUCUCUUUCUUUUCUGAGCUAGCACUUAUACAUAAUACUAAUUAGCUUCAAUUUCGAUGUACAACAACCAUUGGAUACUCAUUGUUAUUGUGCCCUAUUGGAGUAUCGUGUAUGUCUUUGACUCCUUGAGGAGACCAAAGGAAAGUUACGCUGACAUAAUGAACACUGUGAAUAAAUGCUGGGCUCGAUUCCGUCGAACUCACAAGGGUGAUUUCAAGGAAAAACUUGAUUGGAAGAUAGAUUUUCCGGUAUGUGUUCUCAAUUUUCACAUCUCGUGAAACUUCCAUUAACAGAAAACAUAUUACAUAACUUUUUUUCAAUAUAUACAGUGUGCAAGACAGCCGAAUGGUACUGAAUUAUGCGGAUACUACGUUUGUGAUUACAUCCAUGCCUUGAUCAGUCCGAGCGGCCAUAUCAGCGAACACAAAUUAACAGUACGUAUAUUUUUCAACAAAAAGUUAGUUCAUGUGUAUAUUCUUCAAAAAUCAAUCCAAGUGUAUAUACUUAGAAUAAUUAGAUUAAGUAUUUCAAUUCAUUUGGUUGUACAUCAACAAAGUUUCAAUCGUUCAAAAAUUUUAGCUUAAGUAUUUCUAAUUCAUUUGCCAAUGACACAGAUGAUGACUAGGAAGGAAAGACUCGUAGAUACAGAAAUUUUCAGGGCAAUCCAAGAACAACUAUGUGGAUUUCUUCUAGAUAAGGUCGCAAAUCCUUUGGGGGAGUUGCACCAUGAUGGGACUCCGAUAGUGCACAAACCGGCCUCGGGUUCAUAAUAGCAGAUACGAUAUGUGUAUGCAAUGUGUAAUAUUAACCAAACAUCUGUUUAUGCACAAUACGACAAUAUUAUCUCAAAUGUUAUAUUCAAAAUAAAUAGAAAUUUACAUAUAUUAGUGUAUUAGAAUCAGUAUAUGUAAAGGAAACAGAUAUAAAAUAUGAAUAUACAAUAAAGUAACAGAAAAUAAGAAAAAAAAGGAAAACUGCAUUAGUACCGGUUGGGGAUACCAACCGGUACUAAUGAGGGCACCUCCCCGCGUGGCAUGGCAAGCCCUUUAGUACUCGUCGGUUUACUCAACCGGUAUUAAAGGUUACAAUUUAUUACUGGUUAUUUCAACCGGUACUAAAGGGACCACCUCUAGUACCGAUUGCACAGUACCAGUUACGGUUCCGGUACUAGAGGGGGGUUACUGACCGGUACUACACGUCAUUUUUCCAGUAGUGUAUAAACUGGCGGGAAAGAUUCCUUCAUCACCGCUAGCUCUUGUACUAGACCGUCAGUGCUGAUGGUCCUCUUCACAGCCCAUGGGACAGCAACCGGCGGUGAUGAACUCGCAUCACUAUCCGUCCAUGGUCCGGCUAUGAUAGGCAACCUCAUCACCACCGACAUUUAUGUGCCAGCAGGCCCCCAAACCACCCGUGAUGCAGGGUUUUGGGGCUAGCGGUGAAGGCCUGUUGUGCAGUAGUGUGCAUACAAUGAUUCAAAAUAAACCUAAUAUUUUCCCUUUAUAUCUUUUUUUCUUUUAUCGUACUUUUCUAGGCCUCACUUUGUAGUUUUUCUUUCAAUUUCACAGUGACUGAGGUGUCAGGUGGCUUGCCGACGCUGAAUGAAACAACCUGAGGUGGGCUGGCCAUGACGGGUACCUAAUAAAGGGAGUGUCUGUCGCACAAGCGUUGGAAGAGCAUCUCCAGCAGUUCCCAGUAACAAUGAAAUGGAUAUUGGAGUAACCCCAUGCACUAAUUAUUGAGAAAUAUUUAUUAAGAGAUUGCUGGAGAUGCUCUAAGGUGAGCUCAUACGAGAUACAUGCAUGCUAGUGCUCAUAUGAUGGUAUGUUUCUGUGUCAUCUAAUACCAACACAUGUAUUCCUUUCUCCAUCACAAUCCUCCUUCGCAUAAGGUGUUCAGUGCUGUUGUGAAAUAAGCAUAGCUCAGCUUGUAUAUUUCCUUGUGGAACCCGCCCAUCAAGGUUCGAGUUAUUGACUUGGCACCGGUGCUCGCAUUUUCCUGAUUAAUUCUAGAAUUUAACCAGCACUAUCCUUUCAGUGGUAGACAACAUGCUCGUCGAUAGCGAGGCACCAUAAGUGACUUCGCCAAUCUCGAGGAUCUGUCGGUUCAGUCUCUUGGAGGUGCUUAAAGGUAGGGUUGCAUGUGUACAGACACAGACGCUCACAUAAACUUACAUAAAUUCAAUGGUAUUAAUACACCCUACCCUUAUCAGCACCUCUAAAACACUAAGCCAAUAGGUCCUUGAGAUUGACCCUUAUGAGCAACUCUGGAAAACUAAGCCAGCAGAUCAUGGAGAUUGACAAACUCACCAUGGGCAGCUCGCCAUCGAUGACUAUGUUGCCUACCACUGAAAAAAUAACAUCGGUUAAAUCCUAGAAUAAAUCUAGAAAAAUAGAAGAAGCGCUAGCGUCGAGUCAAUAACUUGAACCCUGGUGGGCUAUUUACCAGCUGAGCUAAUACUGAGUUCUCUACCCUGGUGGUUUUUGGGAGAUUUGCUUCCUACCUACCGGGACUAAUACUGAGUUCUCUACGUGGCCAGAUUUCUACCACCAGAAAUCUAAUAACUGCAGCCUUGUUAAAUUUAAUUAGCAUUCUUAUUCGUGAUAUUCUGAAUAUACACGCACACAUGACACAUAUCACACAUGGUUUCCACUCCCUUUCUUGGCGCUCUCCGCCGCCACGGACAGCGCAAUGGCCGUCUCUAGCCACAAAUUCAACAGUACGAUGCAAGUCUUUUGACAACUCUCCUGAGCUUAUAAAUGGUUGUAGUGCUAAAUUGCUAAAUGCCACAUGUGGAAUUGAAUCUUGGCACAAACUUUAAUCGUGGGAAACUCGCACGGUAUGAGUUUGGCACAAGUUGGGAUUCCCUGCGUCAAGUAAUUGCAGGGCUAAAAGUAGAGUCCCAAGUAUGUGUUUUGUCCUUUGCAAACGUUGGUUGUUGGCAUUACUAAAAAAUUAGCUUUCUAUAUAUAUAUACUCUAUUCGUCUCACAAAAAACACAAUUGUAUGAUUCAAAUUUGUCCAUAAGGAAUGUAAUUGCAGCUUCUACCCAUUUCUUUUAAACUUCUCAUUUUUUGGAGCAGUGAUGUCAUAGGGUGACCCCCGCUACUGAAAAUGACCAUGAUCUGGCUCUACAAAUGCUUCUUCAUAGGUGGGACAUGCAGAAAGUACGGUAAGCCCACCCCUUUUGUAGAAGAGGGUGACCUUUUGGACCACCCAGAGAAAUAAAUCGGGAUGCGCCUACAAAUCCUUUCUGUAGUAGUGAGAGAAAGAGAUUGCGGUUGAAACAACAAUCCUUUCAUGAAAUUACCGCCUCAUAAGUCAAAUUUUAGGACAACAAGACGGCUAGUCCAUAUUUGUACGAGUUGUGGUUACUCUGCAACUCAUAAUAUAUUUUUUCUAUGCACAAAGUAAAAGAAUAGAAAUAUAUAAUUACAUCGAGACUACUUAAAAAUACAACACAAUGUAAAGGUUAUUUGUUAACUUGCCUCAAGAUUACAUGUUCUCUAUUAGGUAACACCAAUAUAUAUACUGGUUCUAAAGAUUCAAUUUAUCAUUAGCUAGACACAUGGCGAUCAUGUGCAUUUAAAUCUAUAGUGUGACUUGGAGAAAAAAAAAGUAAUCUUCAUCCGUAUGGCCGUACAGUGACUCUCGCUCUUGACAGGUAUUAGUGUAAGUAGCAUAUAUAAAGAACCCUCAUGCACGCUUUGGAUCCCCAUCCCUGCUAGCAUAUAUUCAUUCAUAAACUCACGGGUAUUCUCUCAUGGUCAUGGUGCUCCCAAUGUUGCUGGUUUGUAUGGUAGUGACGGUAGUGAUCACCGUUCAUGUCAUCUGUGCCCUAGAUGAACACAAGCGAAAGAGAUUUUCCGGUGCAUCUCUUCCACUGCCCCCUGGCCCGGUCGCUCUCCCCAUCGUCGGGAAUGCCUUCAGCUUCAUCGGGCCGUUCGGCCACAACCCACACCGCAUACUCACGAGCCUCGCCAAAACCUAUGGGUCCAUAGUGUCCUUUCGGCCAGGCAUGGCAGGCAAUUUCGUGGUAGUGUCAUCCCCUGAAGCAGCACGUGAAGCUCUCAUCAAGAACGAUGCCGCGCUCGCUGCCCGGUUCGUGCCGGACAAUACACGCGCCUUAGGCCAUUGCUCGGAGUCAAUGUUCUUCCUCCCAACCUAUAGCCAUUUGUGGAAGCAGCACCGCAUCACAUUGGGUACCAGCCUCUCAACUGGCCGGGGCCUUGACACAACCCGCCCCAUUCGGGAUCGCCAUGCCUGUCGGCUCAGCGAGCACUUAAGGUUCUGCUCUGGCAUGCCAAUCAAAAUUGGAGAGGCCGUCCAAGGCACAGUGCUCGAUGUUAUGUCCAACAUCCUCUUCUCUAAGGACGGGACGCACUUGCGCGUGAAGGGGGGCCAGUUGUUCAAGGACCUCCUGGUGGAGGUCCUCGAGGACUGGACUAAGCCCAACGUUUCUGACGCUUUUCCCUUCUUCGCGUCACUUGACCUCCUUGGCUCACGCCGCCGAAUCUCCAGAGGUUUGGCUAAACUGUACAAGUUCUUUGAUGAAGAGUUCGUCGAACGUCGGUUAGGCAGCAGUGAGAACCACCACGAUUUGUUGGACUUCAUCCUCUCGCAGCAUGCCAAGUCGAAGCUCACGCGUUCAGAGAUCACCAAGUUCUUCACGGUCGGCUAUACAUAUGAUCUCUGAACAUAAAUAUAAUUGCUGUCUUUCUGCUUUCUGUACAUUUUCUUGGGUAACUGAUAUACUAAUUAACUUACAUUUUUUUAUAUGCAUUUCUGUUCUUAACCUAUCAAUAGGAUAUCUUUCUUGCCGCGAGCAACACAAGUAGGAUCACCGUGGAAUGGGCAAUGGCACUCCUACUUAAGCAUCCAGAAAAGAUGAAGAAGCUGCGUGCUGAGCUUGCAGCGAGCCUUGGGACCAAGGAGUUUGUCCAGGAGAGCGACUUGGACAAGCUCCCCUACAUCCAUGCUGUGGUGAAGGAGACACUACGACUGCAACCAUCAGCACCGCUGCUACCACGAAUGGUGUCCACGGACGGCAUGUCACUUGGCGGAUUCUCAGUACCAAUUGGUACCAACAUUCUGAUUAACCUUUGGGCCAUUGGAAGGGACCCAACGGUGUGGCCUCAGGCGGGAGAGUUUCUGCCUGAAAGGUUUCUGGGCAGCCGAUCACUGGACUUCCGGGGAUCAGAAGACUUCACAUAUAGGCCCUUUGGGGCAGGGCGAAGGAUGUGCCCAGGACUGGACUUCGCUGCGCAGUUGAUUCCACUUUUGCUAGCCUCGAUGUUGCACAAGAUCGACUGGAGCCUACCUGAUGGGAUCGUGCCUGAGGAUGUGGACCUCAGGGAUCGCUACAGCAUGGUUCUGGAGCUCGCUAAGCCCCUCAUUGCGGUGCCAGUGUCAACGGUGUGCCGUGCUCCGCCGUGGCUGAUGUAGCGUAACUUCAUAUCAGCCGCCGGUACACAAGUGGUUUUAGAGGUUUGUGUGGGUGAAUAUAGGGAAUUCAUACCCAAAUCCAAACCCAGCUUAAAGGUAUGGGUAUAUAUAUACACACACUAGCAAAUUUGCUCGUGCGUUGCCACAGAACGUAAACCUUGGACAAAAUACCCGUGCGUUGCUACGGUAAAAAAUCAAUUGUAUUUUUUCAAAUUAAUAAUAUUUUUUAUUUUCAUCACUAAAUUUUUAUUCCACUUAUUAGAUAUCUACACAUUUAAUAGAAAACUAAAAGUCCUCCAUCCAGGCCCUACCUCCUCUCCUCCCCUAGAUUCGGCCGGCGCCCUUAAAGGCUAGCUAAGCCAGCAAUUCAACAUUCGCAUCCCACUUUCAUUCUUAAAGGCUAGCUAUGCCAGCAAUUCAACAUUCACAUCUUUUGUGUAAGCAAUACUGUUUGCGUUGUCUCUGACAUGGGACAUGGCUGGUGCAAACAUGCAUUGCAAAGAGAGCUCUUGUUAUACCCCUAGUUUUCUCACACCAAAGAAGGGGUAUAUAUAUUUGUUUCUUUCGGGUAAGUCACCAGCAACAUGGGCUUCAAGCCCACAAACCAGCCCACUAAGCCAACUCUCUGCCCUCUGAAGCUGGAGUCACAAGGCUGGAGUCUGCUCGGACGUUCUUAUCCACGCGCUCAUGACCGGCCGUCGACCCGCGCCCCACCGCAGAGGCCAUAACCUAUAGCCAUGUAGCCCGCUUGUCAGCCACUAGCCAUGCACCACGUUCUCGUCGUCCAUAGUCCAUCCUCUCCAUGUGCCCCACAUGCACAUUUACCGCCACUAAACACCUCGCCCCCACCCCAUUCUCUGCUCCCUCCCAUGCGGGCACGUGGCUCGUCCGUUUCGCUCCCAUGCCACCGCACAGCAAAACCCCGGCCGACCUGCUUACUUCCCUGAGCAGCAGCAGCGGAAUCAGACCACCGGGCUCGGGACCUCGGGUACACCGAGGGAAAGAAUGUUGGAGGCCGCACGCAGUGGCUCACACCCGUGGUGCUGUUCGUGCUCGUGAACCUCAUCAUCGCCACGUCGCCGUCGCGUCCAAGCUGAUGUCGUCAGGGACAGGGACGGCGGCGCCCGGGGGGUCGACGAGGUGGGCGGCGGCAGGUGGAGGGCCCUCCUGCGUGUGCCAUCCCUCACCGUCGACUGCCUCCGCACGUCGUUCAACUUCUCCCGCCUCGGCGGCCUCGCCGCCGACCACUCGCCGCUCUUCGAAUACGCGGCCUCGGAGCUAGCCUUCCCCCAGCUACCGGCGAUGAGCUACCGGUGACGGGGGUCGCGGCGGCGCCGGGAAUGGUGGCCACGACGAUGAGCUCGAGCGCGAGAAGGUGGUGUGCAUCUAGAGGAGCCGGUCGGAGGCGGCCAUGGAGCUUGCGCCCAGCAGCUGGCGUCCGCGGGCGAGGAGGACGCGGAGGGCGGCGGCGGUCGAGGAGCCGGCGCUCGCGCACGACGUUCUCGUCACCCCCGCGUGGCGGCGGUGUCGAGGGAGGCUAGCGCCGUCGCCGUCGCCGGGCGCGGCAAGGUGCCAGCGGUGGAGGUAGACGCGCGCGCGAAUGACUUCAUCCGGCGGUUCCGGGAGCAGCUCCGGCUGGAGCGCCUCGACUCCAUCCUCCGCUACCAGGACACGCUUACGCACCACGAUCAAUAAAUCAAUUGUUAAACCCACCCGUCAAUGUUGGAUGAAACUAAAAGAGUGGAUAUGGGAAGAAAUGGGAUUGGAUUGUGCACGUGUGUUUAAAAUAAAUGUCAAGAACUCAGCUAUGGAAAUCAUGACCUGAGCUUGCUCUCAGAUUGAACCAAGUUGCACGCACCUCUAUUCCCGUGUGUACCCUUGUUUUACGAACGGUAUAUCUUACCGUCACCUAAUUGGAGUCCUUUUCAGUUAAUCCUUUUCUAGGAAAAAGAUACCCUGUUGAAACAUAUAAGAUAAUGUUUUGGUUUCAUGAAAAUUGAAAUUAAGGAGAGUCGCAGCUAUCUAUUCGCAGCUUACAUGAUGUCACUGUCCUCGUCAUCCUCGGCACUGGCAGAGCGUCGUUGGGGCCUUAGAGGACCACGGCCCCCUUGCUUGGUAAAAAAAAAAAUCAGAAGAGCAAAGUGCAAAUUUCCAGUCCAAGUGCAGUCCGUGGCUUCUUGACACGUAAUUCAGCGCACAAUCAAGAAAUCCCACAAGGCAUUAACCAUAUAGGCACAAACAAACAUUGAAAACAAUAGAAAAAAACAUUGAGCCAAUUCCAGCAACUAGCGGAUGAGACAACGACCUCAGCCGUCGCAAGACGGACGCUUCCUUCACAGUUGACUCAUUGAGGUUGUCAUCGUCGGCUGUCGCCACUCGCCAGGGCUGGCGCCUUGCAGCCUGGUGCUAGAACUUUCAUCCGGCCAUUUUUGUUUAAGCCAGUUCAAGUUAGGGCAAGGAGGAAAGGAAAGUAUGGUUGCUUUUCUUCCUUCUUUUGUUUAUCUUCUAAGUUCUUAACACAUUAGAUCCGUAGAAUAUGCAGGCUACUAUUGCCUAAUUAGCUGGUAAUUUGUUGUCAGUUGAGAUCUAUUGUUAUUUCUUUUGAGAAAAUUGAGAUGUUUCGCUAGUUUAUUUGGCCCUAAUCCCCAAAUUGCACAGUUUAUACGGUUUGGUGGUUUUAUAACUAAAUAGAGUUCUGCAAUUUGGUAGGUAGGUACAAAUGGGUAAAGAGAAGCCUAUUGAUUCAUUUUUCAACAGCAAAAGAGAUGAACCAAUUGUGGACUGUCGAGCAACCUCUGGUUCAAGCCAACCAAUUUCCCCCCUACAAUUUGCUUCACGCUCCGCCACUGAUCCUCGAUCCUCGGUGAGAAUUUUUAACCUCUUUGAAAAAGUCGGCGAUUGCGAAUCUCCACCUGCAUUUUUUGUUCUAAACCUUUUUAAACUUGUUUGUGAUUGCGAAUCCAAGGAGAUGUACCUGCAUAACAGAAGCUAUCUUUGCUGCUAGACAGAUCGAGCAGCGAGCUCACCCAUAACUAUUGAAUCCACAGUAGUGGUUGCCAGGACUUGCAGGCGACAUACCUGUACAGAUGAUUUGAAGUGCAAAACCACUCCUAAACUUGCUGUUAAUUCGAAUAUUAUUACCUUGCCCAUCUAGUAAAACAGAUGCAUCUGCGUAGGCAAAGUUGGACCGCAAAACUGGACAGCUCUCUGUGGUGUUGUUUAGAUGGACGCUGCCCCCUCCCGUUUGCAUGUUUUCUUCCCAGCACAGACGCUGUUUCUUGAAAUGGAUUCUGAAAUAUUGUGGCGAAAUGUCCUUUUCUAAGUGGGCCUAGACCCAUAAAUUCGCGAGCUCCGCCCCACUCACCACUGCCACACCGUAACUCCGCCUGUGCUGUCGUGGCCACUUGCUCGCCUCGUCGCUCUCGCGCGUCACAGUAGCAGCAGUUCUUGAGGCGGCACGCUGCCUGAAAGCUAUGCGAGCCCGUCAGCUCGUCAGACACGCUGCCUGCCUCCCGCUACGCUCCACCUCCCCAUCACCACGCUGCAAGCCGACGCCCGCAAGCUGCCGCUCGGCCACAGCGCCGCUGACACUACGGGAAAGCAUAAAGUCGCCGAGUGUAAUAACUUCGCCGAGUGCUUUUUUUCGGGCACUCGGCGAAGAACCGUGUUGCCGAGUGUAACACCAAAAACACUCGGCAAAAAUAAAACACUCGGCGAACAACCUGUUUGCCGAGUGCCCUCCAAAAAACACUCGGCAAACACCCAGGCGGCACUCGGCAAACUUUGACACUCGGCAAACUGACGCCCACGUGACUUCCCCGUGCCGACGGCGGCGCCCCUCCGUGACGGCCGUUAGUGUUUGCCGAGUGUCAAUAUAGGGCACUCGGCAAAGGCACUAGUUUGCCGAGUGCCAUGAUGGGACACUCGGCAAACUAUAGUCUUUGCCGAGUGUCUUGUUGGGACACUCGGCAAACCCUAUAGUUUGCCGAGUGCUAGGGUGUACACUCGGCAAACUAUAGCGUUUGCCGAGUGUUUUUUUACACACUCGGCAAACAUAAUUUUUUUCCCCUCCUCCACCCUCCAAACUUUUUACACUCCACAUGUAUGGCAUUUGGCACUGCAUGGUAGAAGAUGGACUAUUUUUUGACCUGUUUGCUAUAUUUAAUCAAUUAAUUUCAUUUAGAGUAAUUUUUUGAUUUAAGUCAAAUUUGAACUGCAGGUGGUUGGAAUAAUGGAAUAAUAUGAGUGAAAAAAUCAUAUUGAUGUUAGUGAGUCUAAAUUGAUGUCUCACCCAGAAAAUGAAAACAAAUUUCGAACAUGUUGCUAAGGAAACACGACUACGAACGUGUGGCCAAAUGAUUGUUUAAUUCUUAAAAAUACAAACGAAGUUUGAAAAUCAUGAGAUUUUGCAAGAUGCUUUGAUUUCGUAUGCAGAGGCCGUGGUAAAAAAUUGAUAAGGUUUCGCACAAGUUUUGACAUAUGAUGUUUACAAUUCGAAGCAUCUCCGGAGAGGUUUCAGAGAAGUUCAAAGGAUCCGGUAAGAUUUUGAGAUGAAUCGAUAAAUAUAAUUCACAUUGAGUCCAAAUUUUUUUUUAUAGGCUAUAGAGAACAUAGAUAGGUUCAUGUCAAAUUUUGGGAAAUUUUCAGAUCCGUUUGGUAAUUUUUAUUCAUUAAUUGGACGUAUAUGAAUUUAAUAGAUAUAAAUUAAAUAUGAGCUAUAAAUCCAUGAAAUAAUGGUACAAUAUUACUUAAAAAAUGAAAUACGCAAUGUUUAGUGAAUUGGACUAGGGUUACACAAAGUUUACGUCCUUUUAAUUACUAAAAGUGGUGUUGGACAUGCAAUAUAGGUAGGUGUUUGCCGAGUGCUACCUAGGGCACUCGGCAAAGGGAUGGUUUGCCGAGUGUCACAAAUAGGGCACUCGGCAAAGUCACAAAUAGGGCACUCGGGUCCACGUCGCAGUGUCUGGCAAUGUUUCGGGGGGAAAAACACCCUUUGCCGAGUGCCCCGGAUCUAGCACUCGGCACAGNNNNNNNNNNNNNNNNNNNNNNNNNNNNNNNNNNNNNNNNNNNNNNNNNNNNNNNNNNNNNNNNNNNNNNNNNNNNNNNNNNNNNNNNNNNNNNNNNNNNGACGAGGAAGAAGAGGAAGAGAUCUCCAGCAUCCGGGGGAUGACUCGGUCGAGGACGCGUGACCGUGGAGCAAGAGACCACGCAGCAACCAGCACCAUCACCCAGCACAGGCGCUGCUCAUGCACCAGCACGACGCCCGUACCGGUCGUCGACUUGAUGGAUGAUGAGCCCGAAGCAGAUGCCGAGCACGAGACAUGGACCAAAUGGGUGAAGAUAGAUCAUGGCCAAGGAGUGCAAAUGGCUCGACAUCCUCAGGUGGACUUGUCACCGCUUGGGGUACAGCAUGAGGCCACUCUACAAGUCCUCUCGGUUCACCCACCCUCGCUAUCCCACUUUUUACGAGGUGAAGGUUGUCCUUGGUGAGGAGCACGAAGGAGGAUGGUAGGUGAAGUUUAUUCACCAUGAUGUGACCAUGAGGAGGCCCAUGGAGUCCGACGCGCACUAGGCCCCCAGAAGGGCAGUUGAGGUCGGCUCCCACCCGCAGCCCGUGCCACUGGUCCACAGUUACCACCGGUCCCUUCCUUACGCAGCUAGUGGGGAAGCCAGCCCCUCCACGCCCACUAAUCAGCGGGUCGCCCCGCCCACCGACUUCCGCCGCCAGGCGCCGUCCGCCCCCCUGCCGCCCCGCACCGACCGCCCCACGCCCCCGGCCCCGACCCUCGGCCGCCCCGAGCCGUCGCCGCCAGGCCGCGCCCCUGCCGCCGUCCCGCGCCCGCUCCUCCGUCACCCCUCCGGUAAGUUUAUGUUGCCGCUACACAUCGUAAAUUAGAGUAUGCAUGAAAAUGGAAAUUAAAUGUGAAAAUACUAGAGNNNNNNNNNNNNNNNNNNNNNNNNNNNNNNNNNNNNNNNNNNNNNNNNNNNNNNNNNNNNNNNNNNNNNNNNNNNNNNNNNNNNNNNNNNNNNNNNNNNNNNNNNNNNNNNNNNNNNNNNNNNNNNNNNNNNNNGCUUACCAGGGAUCUAAUAAAAUGAUCACGUACACAUCCUCGGGUGGGAUUAGGACCUAUCUUUACCUAGUAGACAAUAUAGGAGCGUGUAUAUGCCAUGUGAAUUUUGUAUUACUUAUUUAAAUGGUAGAGGAUGGAGGAUCGUCAGUGGAUGUACACGGGUCGCACUAGUCAGAAUACGUUGACCAAUGAAUGGCUUGACAAGACGGAUGCUUUCUUGGAACGGGCGUUUGCAAGUGUCAAUGGAGCUCGAUCGACUUGGUGUCCGUGCAGCAAAUGUGGAAACAUGCGUCGGCAAACCAAGCUGGAGAUGGGCAAACAUCUGGUGAAGAACGGAUUUACGUCAGACUACACCAGGUGGAUCUACCAUGGUGAAUAUGACCGUGGGAGAGAGGAGGUCUUGAGACAACGAAUCGAGGAAUUUGAUGAUGAUGCCGGGGUGGGAGAUAUGUUGAAUGACUUUCAUGAAGCACACUUCGAAGAGGCACGUAGGGAGGAGGAUCCAGAGGCUACCGCUAAGGCUUAUUACGAAAUGUUGUCUGCGGCACAGCAACCCCUUCACGGCCAUACCAAGGUUUCUCAGCUAGAUGCCAUUGCACGCCUAAUGGCUGUGAAGUCUCAGUUUAGUUUGAGUCGAGACGCGUUUGAUAUUAUGUUGACAGUUUUUGGAAGCCUGCUCCCGGUUGGUCACAUCUUGCCAAAGAGCAUGUAUGAGGCACAGAAACUCCUUCGUGCACUUAAGAUGCCAUACGAGCAUAUACAUGCAUGCCCGAAGGGAUGCAUCUUAUUUAGGAAAGAGUAUGCGGAAGCAAAAUACUGUGUGAAGUGUGAAUCGUCUAGAUUUCUGGAGGUUGAUUCGGGUGACGGUCAGAAAAAGCAGCUCGCAAUUCCUGUGAAGGUUCUACGGUAUCUUCCUUUCAUACCGAGGAUCCAACGGCUUUUCAUGACUGAAGAAUCCGCAAAACAGAUGACAUGGCACAAAAAUGGCCGUCGCUAUAAUCCAGAGAAGCUGGUACACCCAUCCGAUGCUGAAGCCUGGAGAAGCUUUGAUGCGAUUUAUCCUGCAAAAGCUCUAGAGGCCCGUAACGUACGCGUUGCGUUGGCAACUGAUGGGUUCAAUCCCUAUGGAAUGGCGGCCGCCCCGUACACCUGUUGGCCCAUUUUCGUUAUCCCACUGAAUCUCCCACCCGGCGUCCUAUUUCAACGACAUAAUAUAUUCUUGUCGUUGAUAAUUCUAGAGCAUCCGGGAAAUAAUAUGAGUGUGUAUAUGGAGCCUCUGAUUGAUGAUUUGCUCCGUGCUUGGGAGGAAGGAGUAUGGACCUAUGACCGAUGCACAAAGACAAACUUCAAGAUGCAUGUUUGGUACCAGUACUCACUGCAUGACUUGCCGGCAUAUGGGAUUUUCUCCGGAUGGUGUGUUCACGGGAAGUUCCCUUGCCCAGUAUGUAAAGCAUCUUUGAAGUUUAUUUGGUUGUCGAAAGGGGGCAAAUAUUCAUCGUUUGACAAACAUCGACAAUUCCUCCCUCCUGACCAUCCAUUUAGACGAGACAUGAAGAACUUUACCAAAGAUGUUGUAGUUACAGCCCCCGCACCGCCGAUGAUGACAGGGGCCGCAGUUCGUGCUCAGUUAGACGCUCUUGAGUUCAAUAAUGAAGAAGGUGGUUUUUUAGGAUAUGGCGAGCAACAUGCUUGGACGCAGAAGUCGUGCUUGUGGAAGCUUCCAUAUUUUGAUGAUCUACUUGUUCCACAUAACAUUGAUGUAAUGCACACGGAAAAAAAUAUCGCCGAGGCAAUUUUUGGUACUAUAAUGGACAUUCCUGACAAGACAAAGGAUAAUGUUAAGGCUAGAGUGGAUCAAGCGACAUUGUGCAACAGACCACAGCUAAACAUGGCGCCUCCAAGAGCUGGCAAGUCAUGGAGGAAGCCUAAGGCCGAUUUCGUUCUGACGAGGGCUCAAAGGAGGGAGGUUCUAGAAUGGUUCCAAACAUUAAUGUUCCCUGAUGGCUAUGCAGCGAACUUGAAGAGGGGAGUGAAUUUAGCAACUAUGCGAAUCAACGGGCUCAAGAGUCAUGAUUACCAUAUAUGGCUUGAGCGCCUCCUUCCGGUGAUGGUUCGAGGCUAUGUCCCUGAGCAUGUGUGGCAGGUGCUAGCGGAGUUGAGCAAUUUCUUCCGCCGGCUUUGUGCGAAGGAGUUAUCUCGUACCGUGGUUGCAGAAAUGGAAACAAUGGCGCCUGUGUUGCUUUGUAAGUUGGAGAAGAUCUUUCCUCCAGGGUUCUUCAAUCCAAUGCAGCAUAUGAUUCUACACCUCCCAUAUGAAGCACGAAUGGGGGGGCCUGUGCAGGGUCGUUGGUGCUACUCAAUUGAGAGAUGUCAAAAGGUUCUUCGAACUAAAUGUAAGAAUAAGUGCAAAAUUGAAGCAUCCAUUGCAGAGGCAUACAUUCUGGAGGAGGUGUCAAACUUCACAUCGAAAUACUACGCUGAGAACCUUCCUAGUGUGCAUAAUCCACCUCCUCGUUACAAUGCUAGCGAAGAUGAAUUAAGCCUUAGCAUUUUCCGAGGGCAACUCGGAAGUGCAAGUGGUGCGACCCGCAAGACCCUUAAUCAUGAAGAGUGGCGCUCUAUCAUGCUAUAUGUGUUGACCAACCUAUCUGAAGUGGAGCCGUACAUGAUGUAAGUCACCGACAAACUUAUUUCGACGUAUUAAUGGUAUCUCUUGCCUAAACGUAUCUUUCUCCUUGGCAUAGGCAAUUUCAUCGUCAAUUCUGGCGUAAAUCAAGGCAACCGACCCCGCACGAAGCUGAGACUCUUCUUAAAGAGGGUGCGGGAAAUGGAAUGCCCGAUUUCAUUUCUUGGUUCAAACAGAAGGUAAAAUUUCAUUUCCGCGAACAUUCUAGAUACUCGUGCAUACGAUUAAUAUAACGAACCGCCCUGUUCGUACUUGCAGGGCCGAACCGAUGCGUCUAUGAAUGCCGAGUUGAGACAGGUUGCCAAUGGCUGUGACUAUAGGGUCAGGUCGUUUGCCGGUUAUGACGUCAACGGAUAUAGGUUUCACACAACAAGGCACGAGCAGAGUCGGCCCAAUCGAAGAACCACAAAUACCGGAGUUUUCACGCCAGGCUCCGAUGGAGUCGAGUACUACGGAAGAAUUGAAGAAAUAUACGAACUCACUUUUCAUGGGUGUAAACCUCUUAAUCCAGUUAUAUUCAAAUGUCAUUGGUUUGAUCCAUCUGUCGUGAGACGGGCCCCUAACCUUGGGCUAGUCGAAAUUCGACAGUCAUCCAGGUUACCAGGAGACGAUGUCUAUAUUGUGGCUCAACAGGCCACGCAAGUUUAUUAUUUGUCAUACCCGUGCCAAACCGACAGCCGUCUUAAGGGUUGGGAUGUUGUGUACAAGGUAUCACCACACGGUAAACUACCUGUACCAAACAAUGAAGAUUACAAUAUAGACCCCGACACGUACGAAGGAGAGUUAUUCCAACAAGAUGGGCUCGAAGGGAGUUUUGUGAUAGAUUUAACCGAAGCGAUCGGAAUGGAAGUAGACAACGAGAGGGUUGCUGCAGAAGACGGUGGAGACGAGGUUCAGAAUGUGAAGGACUUAGAAUUACUUCAACGAUUACAGUUAGAUAAUGACAGUGAUGACGACAUUUCUUCUUCGGAGCACGAGCUUGACUAUAUCGACACGCGUGAUAGUGAUGAUGAGACUUAUGAUCCAGCUAAUCCCGAUCAUGAUGAUUAUUUCUAAUACAUGUAUGAUUCGUAAUAAUUUAGCUAUAAUUACUUGUAAUUUGCAUAUAUUUCUAAUUAUGUUUUGUUUGUCUAUGCUGACUCGUGUACUCUUUUUAAUUGCAGGUCAUCAAGCAAUGGUGGGCGGUAUCAGGAAGCUCACGUCGAUUUGCGAGAGACUGGCCGCGGCAGGGACUGGUUCAGGGUCAGGGUCACGUUCAGUCUCGGGUCGAGGGAGGCGUCGAGGCAGGCCUCGACGUAGGGUUGAGGAGGAGGAGGAGGAGGAGGAGCAGGAGGUGGUCCAGAGGCCUCGAGGGAAAGGUAAAGCGGCGAGGCCCCCGUCGCCUGAACCUGAGGAGGAGGAGGAGGAGGAGGAGGAGGAGGAGGUACCUUCCGCACACUCCUCUGGGGACGAGGAGGCGGAGGAGGAGGAGCAGCAGGAGCAGGAGGGGGAUGGGGAGGCAGGGGAUACCCAGGCCAAGAUAUGGUUGCGAGGUCCCUCAUCCCUCCCGAAGCGGCCGAUACCUGAGCAUUUACGCCCGCUCAUUAAACCGGUUGGGAUCAAGUAAGUAACUUUAAAUAUUCUUGAAAUUGUUCUUAUGUUGUAAGUUACAAAAAAUAAUAAUUCAUAUUAAUUACUUGUGCAGGAGUUGGGUUAAGCUCAGCGGGGGUGACCACAACCGUAAGGCCAACGGGAUCCUUGGCCUUUUGUGCAGGGUUCACUUCCCUGGCUUGGUGGUGUACGCCGGACAGCUGCAGCCGGCCUACACGUGGGACCACUACGUCGCCGCCCCCGACGUCCCUGAUCGUCAACAAAGAAGAUUCCCCAACAUAGCGGAGCGGGUCAAGGCCGAGCUGUGGGUAAGUACUCCUCGUACUAAAUUGCUCAAUACAUCACUACUUUCGACAUUCUUGAAAUAAUAAUUGUUUACGCGUGUAUAUGCAGGACUUCUAUAGAUGCCAGGAGGGGUUCGAGGCCAAGGCGAAGGCCGUCUGUGAUGUAGCCGCCAAGAAGCUCGUGAGGGACAUGCAUUACGAGGCGCGCAUCCAGGCCAUCAUAGAGUUCAACGCUCAAUACAAUCAUACGAAGGUUAGAAAAGAGGAGGCAAGAACAAUGAACCUGACUAAGGAUCAAUUCAUGAGGGUAAGUAAAGAACGUUGAUGCUUACUAUUUAUGAUUAAUUAGGCUCAUUUUCUUUUUCAUACGUCACACGCUUGAUGAUGUAGGUGCCUCCGUGGUGGUGUCGUGCGCAUAUGCCGUGCUGGGAGAGGAUGGUCGACGUGUGGUUGGAGCCCGGGUGGUUGGAGACCCACCUUUCUUGCCGGCAGCGGCGUUUGCAGAUGCCGACUGCAUCACACCAUCAAGGCAGCCUAAGCCUUGAUGAAUAUAGAGAAAAAUGGGUACGCAACUUCAAUUCUUUAUUGUAACGUUUAGUUCUACGUAAUUUUUAAUAAUUUUGUAUUUUGCCGCAGUCGGCGUCACAUGAUGGCCGACCUUGCUCCCAGCUCAAGGCAUGGGUCCUCUCCAAAAAGGGCAAGGCGACGGCCGAUAUAGAUUUCAACCCAGACGACCCGUCCGAGGCGUACAGCCACCCUAGCAUAUACAGCCGCGUCAGCGAGUAUACAAAGAUGGCUAGGGAGGUUCACGGGCCAGACUUCGAUCCGAGCUCCGAGGACAUUGAUGGAGAAAUCGUGAUGAGGGUGGGAGGAGGCAAGAAGCAUGGCCGAUAUUGGAUUGGCGACGGCGUCAUCGACACGGCCUCUACUCCCACUCUCUCCCAGAUCCGAGCUAGGAGCACGGACUCGAGCCCGGCAGUACGCCCACGACCCACCGCUGCACACUUCCAGAUGGAGGCUCUACAGGUUCUUUCUCUUCCAUUCAUCGUUCGUUUGUUGUUGUACUUUAGCUUUGCAUUAUAACAUUGCAAUGAAAUAUUGUAGGCCCAGGUGGAAGAAUCAAGGAAGAAACAAGAGGAGAUGGCGGCGCAGAUGGAGGAAAUGCGGCGGAGGAUGGAGGAGGAAAACCGGAUUAGGAUGGAGCAGAUGUUCCAGUACAUGCAGAACUUUGCUACGAGCAUGGGACAGACUUUGCCUCCGCCACCGCCGAUGAUGUUCCCUCCGCCUCAGCCACCCACGACUACUCCUGUGAGUCACUUGACACAUUGUGUUUAAGAUUCAAUAGUUUAAAUUUGACAACUUUAGAUGUUACCUCAGAAUGUCCUAUCCUAUGUGCAGAAUCAAUCGGCGGCUUCGAAUAAUGAAGAUCAAGAUUUGUCGCAGUGGUCUCCUUGGCCUCCACGGAAGUAGACUUGAUUGUGAACAAUGUGGAAACUAAAUUGUGAGAAGAACUUGGAUUUAUGGAUUAUUUCGUGCUUAUGUUGAACUAUGCCUGUGGUGUUUAUGAAUUAUGCCUGUGGUUGUGAAUUAUUCAUGUGGUUGUUUAUUACAAAUGCCUGUGAUAUGUGUAUUGUGAAUUGAGAGGGGUCCGUUAUACGUGGCAAAAUUUCGAAAAAGGGGCGGUUCUGGUCACUUUGCCGAGUGUUACACUCGGCAAAGAUGGGCCUUUGCCGAGUGUCGUGACCAUAGCACUCGGCAAAGGGGCAUUUCCCAGGUGUAGGAAAGGUCCUUUGCCGAGUGCUAUGGUCAAGGCACUCGGCAAAGUGGGCGGCUUUGCCGAGUGCCCUAGCGCCGGCACUCGGCAAACAUAUCCGACUUUGCCGAGUGCCCGGGAGCCGGCACUCGGCAAAGGGACAGUGUUUGCCGAGUGCCGGGAGCCGGCACUCGGCAAAGGGACAGUGUUUGCCGAGUGCCAGGCGCGUGGCACUCGGCAAACUCGCCGUUACCCGACGCCGUCAGUCCGCGGUUCGCCGAGUCCAUCUAUUCGCCGAGUGUUUUUUGGCCGUCGGCAACAUGUUUGCCGAGUGUCCGAGUUUUGACACUCGGCAAACUAGGCUUUGCCGACACAAUAUUUGCCGUGUGCCCUUUGCCGAGUGUUACACUCGGCAAAGGCUUUGCCGAGUGUUUUCGUGCCUUUGCCGAGUGCCCCAGGCACUCGGCAAAAGUUCUGUCUCCCGUAGUGUGAUGCCGUGCGUUUGAGCAGCCUUUUUUUUGUUUUCUAGCUUUUUUUUAGAUUCUCACAAAUACGGAAAUAUUUCAAAAUCUGGAUCCAUAGCUUGACGUCAUCCACACUGUCCACCGUCGUGUUCUUCUCCGUUCUCCCUUUACUCCUCCCCACCGUCCGGCUCUUCGUGUCGUCGUCAGCCUCCCGCCGGUCCUCCCUGCCUUCCACCCGCCGCUGGCCCUCGCCGCAGGGGGCCGCGCCGGCCAGCAGGGUGCCACCUGCACUUGCCGCCAGGCGCUGCCGACCCACCAGCCGCCGCCUCCUAGCCACCGGGCGGAGUGGGCACAAUGUGCCGAUGACACCCCACUUCACCUCCGUGCCCUCUCUCGUUGGAAGGUAAAUUUCUUAUUAGUUUUAAUAGUGAGAUAUAUAGAAUAGGUAGGUAGAAUUGUUAAAUAGAAUUUAGAUAGAUAGAUAGAUAGAAUAGUUAGAUAGUUAGUUUGAAAGAUAAUUAGAUAGAAUUUUCAUCUUAUGUAAUUUUCUUUUUAGAUAUAUAUAGUUAGAUAGAUUAGUUAGACAGAUAGUUAGAUAGAAUUUUAUUCAUAUGUAAUUUUUUGACUUAGAUAGAUAGAAUAGUUAGAUAGAUAGUAAUAUAGUUAGUAUGAUAGUUAGUUAAAUAGUUAUAUACUAAGUUUAUAAACUUGAUGGACAACGUAGUGAGCAUAUAUCAUGAAGGUACCAUGGAAAGAGAUGAUUAUGGAUGUGUUAAGUUUGUUAACAUGCAAAGCAUGGUUGUGUUAUUAAUUGAGAAGCCCUCAUUUAGUGAGUUGGUUGCAAGUGCUCGGGAGGAGCUAUAUUGCCACGAAGAUGAUGACAUCACAGUGGAGGGCGUACUUCACCUAGUUUCCCCUUUCAACAUCCAAAGGAAGAUGAUCCCAAUUUGGUGUGCAGAUAAGUGGGAGAAUGAUGUGAGAUCGGUUAUGAAGCGCCAGUUCUAAAGUUUGGACGUGGUUGUGCGUCGGGUGUUAGUUGAUCCCAUCCGUCAUCGGUUUUCCCGACCAAUGGGUCAGCAUGCACACUUUGACCCUUUCAUCCCAGAACCUAUUAUGGAUGUGGAGGUUGCACGUACGGUUCCCGAUGCUGAAUCUGCCCCCAAUGAGGUAGUUGGAGAUGCUUGUCGGACACUUGAUGCUGUGGUAAAACCUCCUCAUGAGAUCCCUUUGACACAAAAUCGUCCGAGUAAGUGUCUUAUCGGCACGCUUCUUGGGAGCUAACCUCCUUCAUUACAUCAAUUUUUUUUCUUCCUUUCUCAUAUUUCUAUCAAUGUUUUAGGAGACAUUCCUGAAAAUGUGGAUGUGCCCCCAGUUGCUACUCAACUGCACUGUGGAGAAGGAUUACGUGGCUCUAAUAGUGUUGAAAUUAUGAAUGAUUCGGAUGCAUAUGAGAUGGGAAUGUAUCUUGAUUCUGAUAAUGAUCGCCCUAUUGGAGAGAUGACAGAGAGUGAUGUUGAGAUGUUCAGGCGUAUCUUUCCUGGCCUUCGUGAUCCAAGAGUUCACGAGUUCAGUGAUCUUUCUCAUUCUGAUCAUGCGUGUGUAGAGGGAAGUGAUGAUGAGCUCCUAGAAGCUCCUGAGGCUGGACCUAGCAUAGUGAUUGAGGAGGGUAGGGUAUUCAAGGAUCUCCCCACAUUGAAGAGGUGGUUACAGGCGUUUGCAGUGAUACAGAAGAGACCUUAUAAGGUCUUGCAUUCAUAUGCAGAGCACCGUUACACAGUUGUGUGUGACAAGUAACAGUGCCCAUGGACGAUUUGUGCAAGGAAGAAAAAGAUCACCGAGAAGUGAAAGAUCACAAAAGUUGUUGGGCCACACAAUUGUGCUAACACUAGAACAUCGAGAAGUGGAAGAUCACUGGAUAGAAUGGUAAGUCAAGUACCUUACUUUCCCAUGUUAAAUUACUUAGUGAUUUACUGGUUUACUUUUUAUGGACUUUGUGGACUCUUGUUAUGAACUAUUUUGGACUUUCAUUAUGGACUAUUGUGCAUAUAGACAUUCAUUAAUGAAGUUUUGUGUGUAUGAACUAUUGUGGACUUUCAUUGUGAAUUAUUAUGUGUAUGAACUAUUGUGGACUUUUAUUAUGAACUAUUGUAGAUUUUCAUUAUGAAUGUGGCAUAUGUUUGUAUGUUUGAACAUGUUGUAUUCAGGUAAAAUAUUCAUCUCAUAAUUGUGUAUGAAUUACAUCCAAAAAUACGGGAAAUUCUGCCGAAAUUUCACAAAAAUAUAGGAUUGCAUUUCGCUUACAAAAAUUCUCCACCAUGUAAGCUUAUGUGCAUUAGGCAUGUGCUCACAUAUUUCUCGCAAAGAAAACGACAUCGCACAUACUACUAGGGUGUCCAUACUUAAAGUGCAUUACAUGACAACAUAAUGAAAAGUCCAACAGUAGACAACAUGUUUCAUAAAUAAACUAUCAGACUACAAGUAAUGGAGACUACUGAGUGCAACGAGUCCACUUUCCCUUCCUCAAUCGCUGCUUUCGCUCGGCGCGCAUGCUCAAGCUUCUUCUCCCUCUCCUACCUAUCGAUAGCAACACACCUCCUUUCCUCCUCUUCCUUGUGCUCCUUUUAUGCAGCCUCCUCUCUGAGUCUCUUCUCCAUCAUCUCCUUCCUCUCUGCUUCCAACCGCAAUAUUUCUUGUAUCUCCUCCUUGUCUUCAGGCUUGAUCUCGGUGUUGAUCCACUGCUCAAAAUCACAGAGCGGUGCAGGGGUCUACAAAAAAUGCAAUUGUUAUAAAAUAAAAAAAAUCAUGUAAAAUAAUUAUAACCCAACAACAAUUCCUCACAAUCUUGUUAAUGCAGUGUUGACGAAGUGUAGGCUCAAACUUAAAAUUAGAACACAUUUAGUACCUCUACCUAUACGUGUCAUCUGCAUCGGACUUGGCUACCUUGCAAGGAUCGCUGCAAAAGCACAUGGGUAUUGGAACACCACUAGGCAGAGGCAAUGGGUCAAAGGCAUUUCCGGUCAUCCGGGCAUAACUACAAUUUAGUCAUUUUCGUUGUAAAAACCGAAAGCAGUUAACAUUAAACCUACACCUAGGGUUUCCAUUUGAUCCACAAGAAUGAAUCCAUAACAUAACUACGUGCGCUGACCUUACCUUUGUUUCCUAGCUUUUCCACGCCUUGGCAUCCUAUGGUUGCACGAAACCCUAUGUUCAAAAAUCUGACUAAUAUAUAGCGAAUCGAUGUGAAAAAAAACUUGGAGGGAGUGGAUAUCUUGCUCUCGAAGAUCCAUGGAUCAAAUAAAAGUUUCUAAGAUUUAAUAUGCCGAUUCGUGGUGUAGGGCGAAGGGGGGAGAGAAAAAACCUGAGAGGGAGGAGAAAGAGGAGGAAGAAGCUUCGGGCAAGAAGAAAGGGUGCGGCCUUAUGGUAGCAGGUUUGGCUCCAGGCUGGCUGGCACAAGGCCACCACUAUGUCAGCUGCCCCGUCAGCAGCUGUUGAGUGACCUAGGUGUUGGGAUAGCCGGCGCCGAGAUGCCUAAGCUUGGCGCCAGCGUGGAUGGCGCCAAGUUAUGGGUCCAGAUUUUGAAAUGUUUCCGCCAGAUGCGUAUUUGUAAGAAUCUUUCAGAAAAAAGGCUAAAAACAAAAAAGUUAGAUGUUUGAGCCGCUCCACAGCCCUUACCAUCACCGACUAUAAAAGGCAGGGUCGAGCGCCUCUCCGCAACCGAACUUGCCGAGCCGCCAGCUCCGCUGCUCAACUUCUUGCAAUUCUGCCUGCAAUUUAUUUAUGGAGUGAUCGAGAAAUUGAGCGAGUUUGGAGGCUAGUGGUUGAUACGUUUUUUGCAUCGAAUUGACAUUGAAUUAGUUUUCUUUGAACUGCCAUUUCAAAUGUUUUUUCUAUAGUUGCAUGUGAAACACGUCUAUUGCCGCUAAUCAAUCUGUCGACGCUUUUUUGGGCCAACACAUGAAUGUACGCGAUUGUGCGGCGCGUGGAGGGGCUCACUGUAGCACGUCGAUGCAUGCCGGUUUGACCACUUACGGUCUGACCGGUUGUUAGGCCACCUAGUAGUAGAUUGGAAAAUUUAGGGAAAAAGAAUAAAGGAAAAGACAAUAAAUAGUAGCUUGGUUUUUUUCGAUUAGGUUGGAUGCCCUCAAUCGGCCGAAUCCCUUUAUAUUUCUAAGGAGGGAAGGUCUUUAUAUUUAUAGGAAGGGAAGGUCUUACCCAUGAGGGAGUCAAAAUCCUAAUAAAAAUCGUGCUAAAUUAAAAGUUCUACUCGGUUUACACUGAGCCAGAUAGGUCAGACCAGCCUGGGCAACCUGUCGGACCAGUCUGCCCGGGUGUAUAUCUUGCGAAGGUCGUAUCUCUCUCAUCCGAACUUCAAAUCGGACGUUCUAUAUAAGAAUCUUGAUCUACUCAACAAGAUACAGGAAAUGGUAGAGUCCAAUCUUCAUUUGGAGCACUUUGAUCCAACCAGUCCGACUGGUGGCAUCAGGACUGGUGGCAUCAGCUGGUCUGACCUGUCUGUACGGGGGUGCUGAUCUUUCCGAGGGCAUAACUCUCAGGUCCGAAAUCCAAAUCGGACGUUCCAUAUAUGCAUUUUGAUCGCCUUGAUGAGAGAUAUGUCCUGGUGAAGUCCAAUUUGCUUUUUGAGAACUUUCCCAAACCGGUUUGACCGCUUGGAAGACCGGUCUAAACAUGUCUGAUCAGAUCUAUCCAGACCUGCCACUUUUCGGCAUCAACACGAGUUUUCCAGUAGUGACAACACAACAACUGUAUUACCCACGGCAUGAAAAUAACACAUAACAAGAAGCUAUGUACCACUAAGCAACACAAUCAAUACUCUUGCAAAGGGGGCGAAACACCAAAGGAAAUGGCGAUGAAAUUGAAACCCCGCCAACAGAGCUUUGCUUGAGCACGUACAGCUCUUUAUUACAGAAACAGUAUAGGAUACGAUCGAUGUGCCAUCAAGCAUAAAGCAGCAACACUUAUUUCUUUUCUCAAAGCAAGCAAGAACAGAACUGGUCAUCAAAGAAGUUGACGGGAUUCAUUCAUUCAGAUGGCCGCCGCGGUCGGUGUGCAGCGGCGCUUGCAGAAGUUAGUGAGGACGUCGACGCACCGGUAGACAGGCGCCUCGGUGGUGCUGGUGUACUUGACGCAGUUCAUGCACGCUGGGUGGCAACCCUGGAACGAGAUGUCCAGGCAACUGCAAUCUGGUGGAUUCUUCCUGUUGCAGAAGCCGCACUGGUUGCAGCACGGCCAGGAGCUCGCGUUCGCGGCGUCGUCAGCGACCGCCGCUCCUCCCUCCUCCCCGCUCCCUGCGGCCACCAAAGAUUAGUCGACGCAUCCAGUUGAGUUGAGUUGAGUGUCAAACUGUUAAUUUCUCACCUUUGCUGAGGAGUGGCAGAGUUGCGAGGACGGCGAGGACAGCCAGUGUGACGAGCAACACCUGAGGUCUCAUGCUUGUUUCUCUUGGUAUGUAGGAAUACAGGGUGUUGCCAGGUUUGUUGUGGUUGGACUUCCUUCCUACUGAUGGGUGAUGGUUAUCUGUAUGAGGCUAGAGGCCUUAUUAUAAGAGGAGGGGGUGCCAUGACAGCUGUGUGCCUGCCAAGUUAAGGCUAGCUUGGCACGGCUCUUGAACAAUGGCUUUAGCUCUAGCUUAUCUAAUGAUCUUGUAUGUUGGAGAAACAAUCUUUUAAGAUAGAUGGAAGAGGUCAAAUAUCCAAAAUACCCUUAUUUAUUUCCUUUCUUUUCUCUUUUCUUUUAAUUUCUUUUUCUUUCCCGGUCAUUUUUCUUCCUUUCUCAUUUUUUCCUUCACCAUUUAUUUUUCUUCCUUUCUUAUUUCCUCUUCCUUCUAUCCUUAUCUUCCUUUCCUCAGCUCCUGCAGAACGCCGCCCCUGCCUCUCAUGACCAUGGCCAUCACCCGCAGCUCUUCCGGCUCGACGUCCCUGCCUCCCCACUCCUCCAACUCGACGCCCUAUCUCCCCUAGCCCACUCCCUCUCCUCAGCCCGAGCGCCCAACAACCCCUUCCUCCCAGCACGUCCGGCCUCGCUUAGCAGUUUGUGCGGCACGCCUGCAGCGUCGCUUGUGCAUCCAACGUGCUCGCCCCGUCCCGCCGUGCUCCACCCACCGCCGGUCAGGUCAGCACCGGCGUUACUCCGUCCGUGCCACUGCACCAUCCGCCACCGCCCACCAACACAGUGGUUUCAAGAAAUUUCAAACAAUUUAAAUAUUUGAUAAAUGAUUUCAAAGUUGUUUCAAACUUUUACAAGUGAACAUAAAUGUUAUUUAGUGAAUGUAAAAAAUAUAAUUUCAUACAUAACACAGAUAUUUUGACUAGUUAGUUCACAUGUCCCUAUAGGUUGAAACACCUCAUGAGUUAUAGGGUGAUCAUGACUUGGAUAUCCAUUUGAGAAAAACGUACUGUUACAAUAUCUCAAAAUUAUGUUAAUAUUUUUUAAUCCAUGUUGGUUCACUGCUGAAGUGGUUACAUGCAAAAUAUCAUGAAAAACAUUCCCCCUUAUAUUUGAUGUUUUUGGAGCGUUCCCGAGCUAAUCUCGGUCAAGCUCCAAAUGGAAGGUUGACUAAGAUAGAAGAUGCCCGCGGUCUUAAAUGGGUACUUGCGUUGCCCGCCAGCACAGAGGCUAGUAUGCUUACGAGUUCUCCCCCGCAGGUCCAAGGAAGAUUUGUGCUGGUGGGUGCCAAUCAAACCCACCAGCACACUAAUUUACCUGUGUGAACACAAAUUAAAUCUGGCGUAGUGUUUUCUUAGUAUCUUUUGCUGUGGUGAGGCAUGUGAGUACUGCUGGCACGAUCAUCAGCUUGUCCUGGGCUGCUGCUAAGCAUGCACCACGAGCCAAAGGUUUUCGGGAUGCUCAGCUCAUAAGGAAUUGACUGAAAGUGACUGUUCGUUGUGUGAGCUAGCUGUCUCCACUGGUGGCUUCUGAAUUAUUGGUCCUAUAUACAUGCACCACGCGCAACAUAAGGGAAAAAAAGUCUGCAACAUGUGCGGCACUGGAUAAUUGAGCUAGCAAUAACAGUGUUGUACGCUUGUCUAUGAGGGAUGCAUGGUGCCUAACAAUCACAAUGAUCUAUACUGACUACUCCCUCCGUUCCAAAUUAUAAGUCAUUCCAAGAAUCUUGGAGAGUCAAAGCAUCUCAAGUUUGACCAAAAUUAUAGAAAAAAUUAUAAAGAUUCAUAACAUUAAAUAGUUAUACUAUGAAACUAUAAUUGAUGAAGAAUCUAAUGAUACUUUGUUGACAUCACAAAUGUUAUUAUAUUAUCAUAUAAAUUUAGUCAAACUUGAGAUACUUUGACUCUCCAAGAUUCUUAAAAUGACUUAUAAUUUGGGAUGAAGGGAGUACAUCAUAGCUUGUCUGCUUGCCUAGUGCGCGUGAACCAUGAGGGCAGGACUAGUGGCUGCACACUACUCCACGAGGGUAGGACUGGUGGCUGUGCAUCGACAGAAUUCACUAUUCGACACUAAAAAAACUAAUCGUGACACUAAACAAAUUUUGGUUCCCGUUUGAUACUGAGUUCAAUUUUCAUUCUUUAUAUAACAUUCUGUUGGAUUUUUCAUAUGAGAACCAUUAAAUGCCCGAUGAAAAGACGAUUUUGCCCUUGUGAGCCCCACCACCCUUCUCCGAUCUACUCACCUUCUCCAUCCGCUCUAUUGUACCUCCCCCACUGCUCCAUCCAUCCUCCUUAUUUAUUUCCAAGAUACCCUUAUUUAUUUCCUUUCUUUUCUCUUUUCUUUUAAUUUCUUUUUCUUUCCCGGUCAUUUUUCUUCCUUUCUCAUUUUUUCCUUCACCAUUUAUUUUUCUUCCUUUCUUAUUUCCUCUUCCUUCUGUCCUUAUCUUCCUUUCCUCAGCUCCUGCAGAACGCCGCCCCUGCCUCUCAUGACCAUGGCCAUCACCCGCAGCUCUUCCGGCUCGACGUCCCUGCCUCCCCACUCCUCCAACUCGACGCCCUAUCUCCCCUAGACCACUCCUUCUCCUCAGGCCCGAGCGCCCAACAACCCCUUCCUCCCGGCACGUCCGGCCUCGCACCUCCGGUCCACUUAGCAGUUUGUGCGGCAUGCCUGCAGCGUCGCUUGUGCAUCCAACGUGCUCGCCCCGUCCCGCCGUGCUCCACCCACUGUCGGUCAGGUCAGCACUGGCGUUACUCCGGCCGUGCCACUGCACCGUCCACCACCGCCCACCAACACAGUGGUUUCAAGAAAUUUCAAACAAUUUAAAUAUUUGAUAAAUGAUUUCAAAGUUGUUUCAAACUUUUACAAGUGAACAUAAAUGUUAUUUAGUGAAUGUAAAAAAUAUAAUUUCAUACAUAACACAGAUAUUUUGACUAGUUAGUUCACAUGUCCCUAUAGGUUGAAACACCUCAUGAGUUAUAGGGUGAUCAUGACUUGGAUAUCCAUUUGGGAAAACGUACUGUUACAAUAUCUCAAAAUUAUGUUAAUAUUUUUUAAUCCAUGUUGGUUCACUGCUGAAGUGGUUACAUGCAAAAUAUCAUGAAAAACAUUCCCCCUUAUAUUUGAUGGUUUUGGAGCGUUUCCCGAGCUCCUCUCGGUCAAGCUCCAAAUGGAAGGUUGACUAAGUUAGAAGAUGCCCGCGGUCUUAAAUGGGUACAUGCGUUGCCCGCCAGCACAGAGGCUACUAUGCUGACGAGUGGUCCCCCGCAGGUCCAAGGAAGAUUUGUGCUGGCGGGUACCAAUCAAACCCGCUAGCACGCUAAUUUACCAAUGUGAACACAAAUUAAAUCUGGCGUAGUGUUUUCUUAGUGUCUUUUGCUGUGGUGAGGCAUGUGAGUACUGCUGGCACGAUCAUCAGCUUGUCCUGGGCUGCUGCUAAGCAUGCACCACGAGCCAAAGGUUUUCUGGAUGCUCUGAAAGUGACUGUUCGUUGUGUGAGCUAGCUGUCUCCACUGGCGGCUUCAGAAUUAUUGGUCCUAUACACAUGCACCACGCGCAACAUAAGGGAAAAAAAGUCUGCAACAUGUGCGGCACUGGAUAAUUGAGCUAGCAAUAACAGUGUUGUACGCUUGUCUACGAGGGAUGCAUGGUGCCUGACAAUCACAAUGAUCUAUACUGACUACUCCCUCCGUUCCAAAUUAUAAGUCAUUCCAAGAAUCUUGGAGAGUCAAAGCAUCUCAAGUUUAACCAAAAUUAUAGAGAAAAUUAUAAAGAUUCAUAACAUUAAAUAGGUAUACUAUGAAACUAUAAUUGAUGAAGAAUCUAAUGAUACUUAGUUGACAUCAUAAAUAUAAUUAUAUUAUCAUAUAAAUUUGGUCAAACUUGAGAUACUUUGACUCUUCAAGAUUCUUGGAAUGACUUAUAAUUUGGGAUGAAGGGAGUACAUCAUAGCUUGUCUGCUUGCCUAGUGCGCAUGAACCAUGAGGGCAGGACUAGUGGACGCACACUACUCCACGAGGGCAGGACCGGUGGCCGUGCACCGACAGCAUUCACUAUUCGACACUAAAAAAUCUAAUCGUGACACUAAACAAAUUUUUGUUCCCAUUUGAUACUGAGUUCAAUUUUCAUUCUUUAUAUAACAUAUGAGAACCAUUAAAUGCUUGAUGAAAACACGGUUUUGCCCUUGUGAGCCCCACCACCCUUCUCCGAUCUACUUACCUUCUCCAUCCGCUCUAUUGUACCUCCCCCACUGCUCCAUCCAUCCUCAUGUCCAGGUGAGAGCUUAGGCACCAGGAGCUCACUACAGUUCUAUUUGUGUGGUUAUUGUCAUCGAGGAUGGUCGGGACAGUGGAGCUCCAAGGGAGGGGGGUCAUGGCAGGCUGAUGGCUCGAGUCACCAAGGAAAGGAUGAUUCCCGGCGGGGUUGAGCUCGUCCUAGCCAACAAGCAGGUCGGGGAGGUCGAGCGCAAGGUGAGGGAGGUUUGGGUGCGACGGAUUGGGUUUUGGCAGAGGUGGUGAGAAUUUGGCUGGCGAUGAGGUUCGGUGGCUGGUGGCAGUCGCAAGACAUGGAAUUCCCAGCACUAAGUAGUUUGUGAUUGGGCUGGAACUAGCCUGGUGUCGGGGAUACAUCCCCAAUACCCGCAAGGAAGGAAGAAGUCAGACUCCUACUAGGAUUCCCUUGUAAUCCGACUAGGACUCAUACCGUGUACUCCUACUAGGACUCCUCCUUGUAAUCCGACUAGUACUCUGCCCCCUGGAGUAUAUAAAGGAGGGUAAGGGUACCUAGCUCGGUAGGUCACACCUCAACACCCAAGCGUAGGGCGCAGUAUACAAAUACCCCCAAACAGGACGUAGGGUAUUACGCUACUCCGGCGGCCCGAACCUAUCUAAAUCCGUGUCUUGUGUCCUCGCUUUUACCUUCAAGUUCCAGGUCCGGCGAUCCCCCACUACACAUUCUGCUACCUCGGGUACCCCUUGGUAGACGGCCGAUAUAAAUCACCGACAUUGGCGCCCACCGUGGGGCAGCUCGUCGAGAUCAUCAGGCGAGCUUGAAGGACCUCAUCUUCAAGCCGGCGUUCGCUUUCAAAGCGGGCACAACCUUCGUCUUCGACUCCUGACUUUGCAUCACCGACGGCACUGGGUCCUUCCAAUGCUGCAUCAUCGACAACCAGGAGAAGAAGCGCCUCGACGGGAACUCUCUUCCACAAGAAGCAGAAAAUCUCAUUGAGAAAAUCGACAAAUUAAACCUUGGAUCAAGGUUCGACUGCAAACUCGUACUCCAACGGCGACUUCGGGUUCGACCAUGAUUCGAACUCGAACUCCGACGGCGACUACGGGUCUGACUACAACGCGGAGUCCGACAGCGACUCCAGGUCUGGCUACGACUAUGAGUCCGAUGACGACUCCGGGUUCGAUCGCAACACGGAGUCUGACGGCGACUCCAGCUUCAACUCCGACUCAAAGUCUAACAGCGACUCUGAGUUCGACUACAACUCAAAAGUCCGACUACAUUGCGAGCCCUCCGACGACUACAGGCGGCUCGUCGAUGAUUUCUUGGACUAUGUUGCGGGCACGCCGACGACCACGGUCGACUUGCCGACGACUCUGUUGACUACGGGCAGCUCGUCGACGACUUCAACUACGUUGCAAGCUCGCCGACGACUACGGGCGGCUCGGCAAUGACUUUGACUACUUUCCUCGACUACUUCGCUCGGCAACACAUUGAUGACUACUUCGUCAUGACGCUCGCCGACGACUUCUCCGAGUACGUCACGGCGCUUGCCGACUACUACGGGCAGCUCGCCGACGACUACUCCGACCACAUCGCGACGCUCGCUGACGACUACUACUCGUCUCGACUACAAGGCUAGUCGAGGGCGGAUUACAACUCGUCUUGACUAAAAAAUUAGUUGGGGCAAACUUCACAUCAUCGACAACUAGUCAGAAUCUCCUCCGACUAGUCGAUUUCGUUAACAACCAUUACGGCUUCAUCAACGACCAUCACGGCUUCGUCAAACAAUCAUCCACGAAUCAAGCUAAGUCACUUUUCUAAAUUAUUUUCCGGCUUACUUUCCGCUUGCGCGCAACACGCGCUCUACUCGCUGGAAACUCUCGCGCACAACAUGCGCUCUAUUCGCCGGAGGGCAGCAAACUCUUUCGCGCUACCUCGCUCUCUUUUUAUCGCAACAGUGACUAUUCCUUUUUGUCUUCUCUUAUGGUCACUACUCUUCUCGAGCAGAACAUGCCUUAACUCGUGAAAGCCUCAGGCGCAUCUGUCACGCCUAAGCCUAUACGUGUAUACGAGACAAAGGUCUCACACACGCAGUGGCAACGGCUACCCAGAGACUGAGAGUCUAAGCAUAACAGGCUAACUACUCAGGAAGAGUAUGACUAAAACAAGAGCUUGACUCGCAAUCAUGCAGUCUCUUUCUUGUCGCAGCAGCGACUACUCUCACUUUUGUCUUCUCUUAAGGUCACUACUCUUCUCGAGCAGAACACGCCUUAACUCGUGAAAGCCUCAGGCGCAUCUGUCACGCCUAAGCCCAUACGCGUAUACGAGACAACGAUCUCACACACGCAGUGGCAACAGCUACCCAGAGACUGAGAGCCUAAUCGUAACAGGCUAACUACUCGGGAAGAAUAUGACCGAAAUAAGAGCAUGACACAACAUUCAUAUUGAUCACUGAAUAAAUUUCAGCAGUUUCAAAAUCCUACAAAAAUGCUACAUAAUGUAUGCAUCUUUUCUUUCAGAUCGAGCUUCAGUGACACUAAGCAUGCCUCCAAUGGCACAGGCUAGUUCCCGAACUCGGGGGCUAAGCACCAAUCAGUACUCGGAAUAUCUCCAGUGGCUCAGCUAGCUCCCAGGCUCGGGGGCUGGAUGCCGCAAAACCACUCGACGUGGCUCCAACGACUUACCUGGCGCACAAGCUCGGGGGCUGGACGCCGCAAGACUACUCGAAUGAUGACCUGAGUGAAGAUUCAAGACCCUCGGGUUGAUUAUUCAAUCAAUCAAAGGCUCGGGGGCUGAUAAGCUACACCCAACAAUUGAUUUUUUCAAGUCAAAAGAGGAAGAUUCAAGAUUUUGACCCUCAGCCUGAUUCUGCGAUUCAACCUAAGGCUCGGGGGCUACUCCAUAUGGAGUGUGACUUUCACCGUCCUCCAUACAUGAAGACUUCAAUAUCAUGUUGAUCAAGACUUUGAGCACACCAUAGCCUCAUGGUGGCUUUGAGAAACAUUGAAAGAUUCAGUCUGACAAAGUACUCGAAGAGCACCAAAACUACCCGGCGAAUAUCUCAAGACUACUCGAAGACUGCUGCAUUCGACUAUGAAGCGCUCGGAGGCUUGUCAGGAAUACAUCCCCACUACCCGCAAGGAAGGAAGAAGUCAUACUCCUACUAGGAUUCCCCUGUAAUCCGACUAGGACUCAUACCGUGUACUCCUACUAGGACUCCUCCUUGUAAUCCGACUAGUACUCUGCCCCCUGGAGUAUAUAAAGGAGGGCAGGGGUACCUAGCUCCGUAGGUCACACCUCAACACCCAAGCGCAGGGCGCAGUAUACAAAUACCCCCAAACAGGACGUAGGGUAUUACGCUACUCCGGCGGCCCGAACCUGUCUAAAUCCGUGUCUUGUGUCCUCGCUUUUACCUUCAAGUUCCAGGUUCGACGAUCUCCCACUACACAUUAUGCUACCUCGAGUACCCCUUGGUAGACGGCCGGUAUAAAUCACCGACACCUGGGAGGGAGAUUGGAAUUUGGAGAAUUCUUGUGUGAGACCACGGGGCACCGUCUCAUACACCAGCCUUGCCGUGCUGAAAUCAGCGAGCUUCACGCCGUAGCCUUUGGUGUCGCAGCAGUCGAGGAGCACGUUCCGGCCCUUGACAUUCUUGUGCACGACGGCCACCCUCCUGAGCCCACACACCGAGCUCACUGUAACACCCAAAAAUUCCAUCAUAAACACAAUAUAAGCAACAUGUGGUCUAGCUCUUUAUUUUCUAAGAACUAAAUAAAAUACUAAUAUUAAAUUAUGGCCUUUAAAAAAUUAAAGAACACUUGAAAUAACUUUUUAGAGACAAGUGCUUGUUAGGGUUCUUCGUUUGCUUCCCUUUUUGUUUGCGUUUGCAAAAUUUUACAUGAUGUCACUGUCCUCGUCAUCCUCGGCACUGGCAGAGCGUCGUUGGGGCAUAGAGGACCAUGGCCCCCUUGCUUGGUAAAAAAAAAAAUCAGAAGAGCAAAGUGCAAAGGCCCAGUCCAAGUGCAGUCCGUGGCUUGUUGACACGUAAUUAAUAAAUCAAUAAAUCCCACAAGGCAUUAACCACAUAGGCACAAACAAACAUUGAAAACAAUAGAAAAAAAUAUUGAGCCAAUUCCAGCAACUAGCGGAUGAGACAACGACCUCAGCCGUCACCCCUUCGCAAGAUGGACACUUCCUUCACAGUUGACUCAUUGAGGUUGUCAUCGUCGGCCGUCGCCACUUGCCAGGGCUGGCGCCUUGCAGCCUGGUGCUAGAACUUUCAUCCUGAAGGUAUGGUUGCUUUUCUUCCUUCUUUUGUUUAUCUUCUAAGUUCUUAACACAUUAGAUCCGUAGAGUAUGCAGGCUACUAUUGCCUAAUUAGCUGGUAAUUUGUUGUCAAUUGAGAUCUAUUAUUAUUUCUUUUGAGAAAAUUGAGAUGUUUCGCUAGUUUAUUUGGCCCUAAUCCCCAAAUUGCAGAGUUUAUAUGAUUUUGUGGUUUUAUAACUAAAUACAGUUCUGCAAUUUGGUAGGUAGGUACAAAUAGGUAAAGAGAAGCCUAUUGAUUCAUUUUUCAAAAGCAAAAGAGAUGAACCAAUUGUGGACUGUCGAGCAGCCUCUGGUUCAAGCCAACCAAUUUCCCACCUAAAAUUUGCUUCACGCUCCGCCACGGAUCCUCGAUCCUCGGUGAGAAUUUUUAACCUCUUUGAAAAAGUCGGCGAUUGCGAAUCUCCACCUGCAUUUUUGAAAUGGAUUCUGAAAUAUUGUGGCGAAAUGUCCUUUUCUAAGUGGGCCUAGACCCAUAAAUUCGCGAGCUCCGCCCCACUCACCACUGCCACACCAUAACUCCGCCUGUGCUGUCGUGGCCACUUGCUCGCCUCGUCGCUCUCGCGCGUCACAGUAGCAGCAGUUCUUGAGGCGGUACGCUGCCUGCAAGCUAUGCGAGCCCGUCAGCUCGUCAGGCACAGUGCCUGCCUGCCGCUACGCUCCACCUCCCCACCACCACGCUGCAAGCCGACGCCCGCAAGCUGCCGCUCGGCCACAGCGCCGCCGCUGAUGCCGUGCCUUUGAGCAGCCUUUUAUUUGUUUUUUAGCUUUUUUUUUUUUGAAGAUUCUCACACAUGUGGAAAUAUUUCAAAAUCUGGAUCCAUAGCUUGACGUCAUCCACACUGGCACCAAGCUUACACGUCUUGGCACCAGCCGUUCUGGUGCCUAGGUCGUUGCGCAGCUGUUGAUGGGGCAGCUGACGUGACGGUGGCUUGGCGCCUGGCUGUUUAACACACGGCCUCCGCCUCUAACUUCUCCCACCGGCUGCCGCCUCCUAGCCACCGGGUGGAGUGGGCGCAGUGCGCCGAUGACACCCCACUUCGCCUCCGCGCCCUUUCUCGUUGGAAGGUAAAUUUCUUAUUAGUUUUAAUAGUGAGAUAUAUAGAAUAGGUAGGUAGAAUUGUUAAAUAGAAUUUAGAUAGAUAGAUAGAACAGUUAGAUAGUUAGUUUGAAAGAUAAUUAGAUAGAAUUUUCAUCUUAUGUAAUUUUCUUUUUAGAUAUGUAUAGUUAGAUAGAUGGUUAGAUAGAUAGUUAGAUAGAAUUUUAUUCAUAUGUAAUUUUUUUACUUAGAUAGAUAGAAUAGUUAGAUAGAUAGUAAUAUAGUUAGUAUGAUAGUUAGUUAAAUAGUUAUAUACUAAAUUACAUAGUAACUCGACAUAGUUAGUAGUAUUUAGUAGUUUGUAGUUAAUAGAUAGUAUCUAUUUAGUUAGUUGGUACGUAAUGAAGAUUUUAUACUUAGAAUGCUUCAUUUAUAUUGGACUAAAUGAAUUGUUCUGUUUAUAACCUUGAUGGACAACGUAGUGAGCAUAUAUCAUGAAGGUACCGUGGAAAGAGAUGACUAUGGAUGUGUUAAGUUUGUUAACAUGCAAAGCAUGGUUGUGUUAUUAAUUGAGAAGCCCUCAUUUAGUGAGUUGGUUGCAAGUGCUCGGGAGGAGCUAUAUUGCCAUGAAGAUGAUGACAUCACAGUGGAGGGCGUACUUCACCUAGGUUCCCCUUUCAACAUCCAAAGGAAGAUGAUCCCAAUUUGGUGCGCAGAUAAGUGGGAGAAUGAUGUGAGAUCGGUUAUGAAGCGCCAGUUCUAAAGUUUGGACGUGGUUGUGCGUCGGGUGUUAGUUGAUCCCAUCCGUCAUCGGUUUUCCCGACCAAUGGGUCAGCAUGCACACUUCGACCCUUUCGUCCCAGAACCUAUUAUGGAUGUGGAGGUUGCACAUAUGGUUCCCGAUGCUGAAUCUGCCCCCAAUGAGGUAGUUGGAGCUGCUUGUCGGACACUUGAUGCUGUGGUAAAUCCUCCUCAUGAGAUCCCUUUGACACAAAAUCAUCCGAGUAAGUGUCUUAUCGGCACGCUUCUUGGGAGCUAACCUCCUUCAUUACAUCAAUUUUUUUCUUCCUUUCUCAUAUUUCUACCAAUGUUUUAGGAGACAUUCCUAAAAAUGUGGAUGUGCCCCCAGUUGCUACUCAACUGCACUAUGGAGAUGGAUUACGUGGCUCUAAUAGUGUUGGAAUUAUGAAUGAUUCGGAUGCAUAUGAGAUGGGAAUGUAUCUUGAUUCUGAUAAUGAUCGCCCUGUUGGAGAGAUGACAGAGAGUGAUGUUGAGAUGUUCAGGCGUUGCUUUCCUGACCGUCGUGAUCCAAGAGUUCACGAGUUCAGUGAUCUUUCUCAUUCUAAUCAUGCGUGUGCAGAGGGAAGUGAUGAUGAGCUCCUAGAAGCUCCUGAGGCUGGACCUAGCAUAGUGAUUGAGGAGGGUAGCGCAUUGAUGAGGUGGUUACAGGCAUUUGCAGUGAUAAAGAAGAGACCUUACAAGGUCUUGCAUUCAUAUGCAGAGCACCGUUACACAGUUGUGUGUGACAAGUAACAGUGCCCAUGGAUGAUUUGUGCAAGGAAGAAAAAGAUCACCGAGAAGUGAAAGAUCACAAAAGUUGUCAGGCCACACAAUUGUGCUAACACUAGAACAUUGAGAAGUGGAAGAUCACUGGAUAGAAUGGUAAGUCAAGUACCUUACUUUCCCAUGUUAAAUUACUUAGUGAUUUACUGGUUUACUUAUUAUGGACUUUGUGGACUCUUGUUAUGAACUAUUUUGGACUUUCAUUACGGACUUCGUGGACUUUCAUUAUGGACUUUGUGGACGUUCAUUAUGAACUAUUGUGCAUAUAGACAUUCAUUAUGAAAUUUUGUGUGUAUGAACUAUUGUGGACUUUCAUUAUGAAUUUUGUGGACGUUUAUUAUGAACUAUUGUGUAUAUGGACUUUCAUUGUGAAUUAUUAUGUGUAUGAACUAUUGUGGACUUUUAUUACGAACUAUUGUAGAUUUUCAUUAUGAAUGUGGCAUCUGUUUGAACAUGUUGUAUUCAGGUAGAAUAUUCAUCUCAUAAUUGUGUAUGAAUUACAUCCAAAAAUAGGGGAAAUUCUGCUGAAAUUUCACAAAAAUAUAGAAUUGCAUUUCGCUAACCAAAAUUCUUCGGCAUGUAAGCUUAUGUGCAUUAGGCAUGUGCUCACAUAUUUCUCGCAAAGAAAAUGACAUCGCACAUACUACUAUGGUGCCCAUACUUAAAGUGCAUUACAUGACAACACAAUGAAAAGUCCAACAAUAGACAACAUGUUUCAUAAAUAAACUAUCAGACUACAAGUAAUGGAGACUACUGAGUGCAACGAGUCCACUUUCCCUUCCUCAAUCGUAGCUUUCGCUUGGUGUGCAUGCUCAAGCUUCUUCUCCCUCUCCUACCUAUCCGCAGCAACACGCCUCCUUUCUUCCUCUUCCUUGUGCUCCUUUUAUGCGGCCUCCUUUCUGAGCCUCUUCUCCAUCAUCUCCUUCCUCUCUGCCUCCAACCGCAAUAUUUCCUGCAUCUCCUCCUUGUCUUCAGGCUUGAUCUCGGUGUUGAUCCAGUGCUCAAAAUCACAGAGCGGUGCAGGGGUCUACAACAAAUGCAAUUGUUAUAAAAUAAAAAAAAUCAUGUAAAAUAAUUAUAACCCAACAAUAAUUCCUCACCAUCUUGUUAAUGCGGCGUUGACGAAGUGUAGGCUCAAACUUAAAAUUAGAACACAUCCAGUACCUCUACCUAUACGUGUCAUCUGCAUCGGACUUGGCUACCCUGCAAGGAUCGCUGCAAAAGCACAUGGGUACUGGAACACCACUAGGCAGAGGUAAUGGGUCGAAGCUAUUUCGGGUCAUACGGGCAUAACUACAAUUUAGUCAUUUUCAUUCUAAGAACCGAAAGCGGUUAACAUUAAACCUACACCUAGGGUUUCCCAUUUGAUCCACAAGAAUGAAUCCAUAACAUAACUACGUGCGCUGAGGUUACCAUAGUUUCGUAGCUUUUCCACGCCUUGGCAUCCUAUGGUUGCACGAAACGCUAUGUUCAAAAAUCCGACUAAUAUAUAGCGAAUCGAUGUGAAAAAAACUAGGAGGGAGUGGAUAUCUUGCUCUCGAAGAUCCAUGGAUCAAAUCGAAGUUUCUAAGAUUUAAUAUGCCGAUUCGUGGUGUAAGGUGAAGUGGGGAGAGAAAAAACCUGAGAGGGAGGAGAAAGAGGAGGAAGAAGCUUCAGGCAAGAAGAAAGGGUGCGGCCUUAUGUUAGCAGGUUUGGCUCCAGGCUAGCUGGCACGAGGCCACCACUACAUCAGCUGCCCCAUCAGCAGCUGUUGAGCGACCUAGGCGCCGGGAUAGCCGGCGUCGAGAUGCGUAAGCUUGGCACCAGCGUGGAUGGCGCCAAGGUAUGGGUCCAGAUUUUGAAAUGUUUCCGUCAGAGGCGUAUUUGUAGAGGCGUAUUUGUAAGAAUCUUUCAGAAAAAAGGCUAACAAAAAAGUCAGAUGUUUGAGCCGCUCCACAGCCCUUACCAUCACCGACUAUAAAAGGCAGGGUCGAGCGCCUCUCCGCAACCGAACUUGCCGAGCCGCCAGCUCCGCUGCUCAACUUCUUGCAAUUCUGCCUGCAAUUUAUUUAUGGAGUGAUCGAGAAAUUGAGCGAGUUUGGAGGCUAGUGGUUGAUACGUUUUUUGCAUCGAAUUGACAUUGAAUUAGUUUUCUUUGAACUGCCAUUUCAAAUGUUUUUUCUAUAGUUGCAUGUGAAACACAUCUAUUGCCGCUAAUCAAUCUGUCGACGCUUUUUUGGGCCAACACAUGAAUGUACGCGAUUGUGCGGCGCGUGGAGGGGCUCACUGUAGCACGUCGAUGCAUGCCGGUUUGACCACUUACGGUCUGACCGGUUGUUAGGCCACCUAGUAGUAGAUUGGAAAAUUUAGGGAAAAAGAAUAAAGGAAAAGACAAUAAAUAGUAGCUUGGUUUUUUUCGAUUAGGUUGGAUGCCCUCAAUCGGUCGAAUCCCUUUAUAUUUCUAAGGAGGGAAGGUCUUUAUAUUUAUAGGAAGGGAAGGUCUUACCCAUGAGGGAGUCAAAAUCCUAACAAAAAUCGUGCUAAAUUAAAAGUUCUACUCGGUUUACACUGAGCCAGAUAGGUCAGACCAGCCUGGGCAACCUGUCGGACCAGUCUGCCCGGGUGUAUAUCUUGCGAAGGUCGUAUCUCUCUCAUCCGAACUUCAAAUCGGACGUUCUAUAUAAGAAUCUUGAUCUACUCAACAAGAUACAGGAAAUGGUAGAGUCCAAUCUUCAUUUGGAGCACUUUGAUCCAACCAGUCCGACUGGUGGCAUCAGGACUGGUGGCAUCAGCCGGUCUGACCUGUCUGUACGGGGGUGCUGAUCUUUCCGAGGGCAUAACUCUCAGGUCCGAAAUCCAAAUCGGACAUUCCAUAUAUGCAUUUUGAUCGCCUUGAUGAGAGAUAUGUCCUGGUGAAGUCCAAUUUGCUUUUUGAGAACUUUCCCAAACCGGUUUGACCGCUUGGAAGACCGGUCUAAACAUGUCUGAUCAGAUCUAUCCAGACCUGCCACUUUUCGGCAUCAACACGAGUUUUCCAGUAGUGACAACACAACAACUGUAUUACCCACGGCAUGAAAAUAACACAUAACAAGAAGCUAUGUACCACUAAGCAACACAAUCAAUACUCUUGCAAAGGGGGCGAAAUACCAAAGGAAAUGGCGAUGAAAUUGAAACCCCGCCAACAGAGCUUUGCUUGAGCACGUACAGCUCUUUAUUACAGAAACAGUAUAGGAUACGAUCGAUGUGCCAUCAAGCAUAAAGCAGCAACACUUAUUUCUUUUCUCAAAGCAAGCAAGAACAGAACUGGUCAUCAAAGAAGUUGACGGGAUUCAUUCAUUCAGAUGGCCGCCGCGGUCGGUGUGCAGCGGCGCUUGCAGAAGUUAGUGAGGACGUCGACGCACCGGUAGACAGGCGCCUCGGUGGUGCUGGUGUACUUGACGCAGUUCAUGCACGCUGGGUGGCAACCCUGGAACGAGAUGUCCAGGCAACUGCAAUCUGGUGGAUUCUUCCUGUUGCAGAAGCCGCACUGGUUGCAGCACGGCCAGGAGCUCGCGUUCGCGGCGUCGUCAGCGACCGCCGCUCCUCCCUCCUCCCCGCUCCCUGCGGCCACCAAAGAUUAGUCGACGCAUCCAGUUGAGUUGAGUUGAGUGUCAAACUGUUAAUUUCUCACCUUUGCUGAGGAGUGGCAGAGUUGCGAGGACGGCGAGGACAGCCAGUGUGACGAGCAACACCUGAGGUCUCAUGCUUGUUUCUCUUGGUAUGUAGGAAUACAGGGUGUUGCCAGGUUUGUUGUGGUUGGACUUCCUUCCUACUGAUGGGUGAUGGUUAUCUGUAUGAGGCUAGAGGCCUUAUUAUAAGAGGAGGGGGUGCCAUGACAGCUGUGUGCCUGCCAAGUUAAGGCUAGCUUGGCACGGCUCUUGAACAAUGGCUUUAGCUCUAGCUUAUCUAAUGAUCUUGUAUGUUGGAGAAACAAUCUUUUAAGAUAGAUGGAAGAGGUCAAAUAUCCAAAAUACCCUUAUUUAUUUCCUUUCUUUUCUCUUUUCUUUUAAUUUCUUUUUCUUUCCUGGUCAUUUUUCUUCCUUUCUCAUUUUUUCCUUCACCAUUUAUUUUUCUUCCUUUCUUAUUUCCUCUUCCUUCUAUCCUUAUCUUCCUUUCCUCAGCUCCUGCAGAACGCCGCCCCUGCCUCUCAUGACCAUGGCCAUCACCCGCAGCUCUUCCGGCUCGACGUCCCUGCCUCCCCACUCCUCCAACUCGACGCCCUAUCUCCCCUAGCCCACUCCCUCUCCUCAGCCCGAGCGCCCAACAACCCCUUCCUCCCAGCACGUCCGGCCUCGCUUAGCAGUUUGUGCGGCACGCCUGCAGCGUCGCUUGUGCAUCCAACGUGCUCGCCCCGUCCCGCCGUGCUCCACCCACCGCCGGUCAGGUCAGCACCGGCGUUACUCCGUCCGUGCCACUGCACCAUCCGCCACCGCCCACCAACACAGUGGUUUCAAGAAAUUUCAAACAAUUUAAAUAUUUGAUAAAUGAUUUCAAUGUUGUUUCAAACUUUUACAAGUGAACAUAAAUGUUAUUUAGUGAAUGUAAAAAAUAUAAUUUCAUACAUAACACAGAUAUUUUGACUAGUUAGUUCACAUGUCCCUAUAGGUUGAAACACCUCAUGAGUUAUAGGGUGAUCAUGACUUGGAUAUCCAUUUGAGAAAAACGUACUGUUACAAUAUCUCAAAAUUAUGUUAAUAUUUUUUAAUCCAUGUUGGUUCACUGCUGAAGUGGUUACAUGCAAAAUAUCAUGAAAAACAUUCCCCCUUAUAUUUGAUGUUUUUGGAGCGUUCCCGAGCUAAUCUCGGUCAAGCUCCAAAUGGAAGGUUGACUAAGAUAGAAGAUGCCCGCGGUCUUAAAUGGGUACUUGCGUUGCCCGCCAGCACAGAGGCUAGUAUGCUUACGAGUUCUCCCCCGCAGGCCCAAGGAAGAUUUGUGCUGGUGGGUGCCAAUCAAACCCACCAGCACACUAAUUUACCUGUGUGAACACAAAUUAAAUCUGGCGUAGUGUUUUCUUAGUAUCUUUUGCUGUGGUGAGGCAUGUGAGUACUGCUGGCACGAUCAUCAGCUUGUCCUGGGCUGCUGCUAAGCAUGCACCACGAGCCAAAGGUUUUCGGGAUGCUCAGCUCAUAAGGAAUUGACUGAAAGUGACUGUUCGUUGUGUGAGCUAGCUGUCUCCACUGGUGGCUUCUGAAUUAUUGGUCCUAUAUACAUGCACCACGCGCAACAUAAGGGAAAAAAAGUCUGCAACAUGUGCGGCACUGGAUAAUUGAGCUAGCAAUAACAGUGUUGUACGCUUGUCUAUGAGGGAUGCAUGGUGCCUAACAAUCACAAUGAUCUAUACUGACUACUCCCUCCGUUCCAAAUUAUAAGUCAUUCCAAGAAUCUUGGAGAGUCAAAGCAUCUCAAGUUUGACCAAAAUUAUAGAAAAAAUUAUAAAGAUUCAUAACAUUAAAUAGUUAUACUAUGAAACUAUAAUUGAUGAAGAAUCUAAUGAUACUUUGUUGACAUCACAAAUGUUAUUAUAUUAUCAUAUAAAUUUAGUCAAACUUGAGAUACUUUGACUCUCCAAGAUUCUUGAAAUGACUUAUAAUUUGGGAUGAAGGGAGUACAUCAUAGCUUGUCUGCUUGCCUAGUGCGCGUGAACCAUGAGGGCAGGACUAGUGGCUGCACACUACUCCACGAGGGUAGGACUGGUGGCUGUGCACCGACAGAAUUCACUAUUCGACACUAAAAAAACUAAUCGUGACACUAAAUAAAUUUUGGUUCCCGUUUGAUACUGAGUUCAAUUUUCAUUCUUUAUAUAACAUUCUGUUGGAUUUUUCAUACGAGAACCAUUAAAUGCCCGAUGAAAAGACGAUUUUGCCCUUGUGAGCCCCACCACCCUUCUCCGAUCUACUCACCUUCUCCAUCCGCUCUAUUGUACCUCCCCCACUGCUCCAUCCAUCCUCCUGUCCAGGUGAGAGCUUAGGCACCAGGAGCUCACUACAGUUCUAUUUGUGUGGUUAUUGGCAUCGAGGAUGGUCGGGACGGUGGAGCUCCAAGGGAGGGGGGUCAUGGCGGGCUGACGGCUCGAGUCGCCAAGGAAAGGACGAUUCCCGGCGGGGUUGAGCUCAUCCUAGCCAACAAGCAGGUCGGGGAGGUCGAGCGCAAGGUGAGGGAGGUUCGGGUGCGAGGGAUUGGGUUUUGGCGAAGGUGGUGAGAAUUUGGUCGGCGAUGAGGUUUGGUGGCUGGUGGCAGUCGCGAGACAUGGAAUUCCCGGCACUAAGUAGUUUGUGAUUGGGCUAGAACUAGCCUGGGAGGGAGAUUGGAAUUUGUAGAAUUCUUGUGUGAGACCACGGGGCGCUGUCUCAGACACCAGCCUUGCCGCACUGAAAUCGGCGAGCUUCACGACGUAGCCUUUGGUGUCGCAGCAGUUGAGGAGCACAUUCCGACCCUUGACAUUCUUGUGCACGACGGCCACCCUCCUGAGCCCACACGCCGUGCUCACUGUAACACCCAAAAAUUCCAUCAUAAACACAAUAUAAGCAACAUGUGGUCUAGCUCUUUCUUUUCUAAGAAUUAAAUAAAAUACUAAUAUUAAAUUAUGGCCUUUAAUAAAUUAAAAAACACUUGAAAUAACUUUUUUGAGACAAGUGCUUGUUAGGGUUCUUCGUUUGCUUCCCUUUUUGUUUGCGUUUGCAAAAUUUUAAAUCAAAAAUCUUAUCAAUCUUCUUUCUCUCUUUCUGUAAAACUCAGCAGGCCGGCCCACCUUUCCACUUUCUUUCCCUCCCGGCCCGCUCUCUUUUUCCUUCUCCAGCCGGCCCACCUCCUCAUUUCUUUGCGCAGGCCCAAGCUGAUCCGCCGGCCCAUCAGCAUCUCCCCAGCCCAACCCCCCCUCUCCUCCCACCGAUAGGUGGGGCCCACCUGUCAGGCGCGUCCUCAACCUCCAGCUGCACCGCAACUCCAGCACUGCCAGCAGCGCCUGCUCGCCUCCCAUCGCCACUCCAUCUCCUGCGUCCCUCCACUUGCUGGAACUACAUCGCCUUCCCACGCGUGUGCGCUGCUAGCGCCCUCUCCUCUCCUAACUCCAGUUACAGGCGUCCCAUUUUCCACUCGCGAUUAAUGGCCAUCGGAGCUCGUUUCAUCUACCCAAGCGCCGUCUCAACUCCUCCUCACGGCCUAUAAGUAGCGCCUACUCCCUCUCCCCGGCUCCAUUCUCCCAUUCUCGCCACCACCAACGCUACCCGCACCAGAGCGCCAGAGCGCCACCGCAUCUCACAGCACCGCCACCGUCCAAAUUCCUCCGCCGCUGGGUACAACGCCGGCCUUUCUCGCCCGCCACAGCCGCAGGUAUGGCCUCCCUCGCUUUCCCCUCGCUCACCUCCGUCGCCUGCGCCACCCGCUUUGCUCACCGCCGCGCCUGAGCUCGCCGGCGAGCCACCGGUCAUGCGAGCCACCGGUCAUGUGCCUAUGCGCGUGCGCGAGAAAGGAAAGAGGAGGAGGAUAAGGCUAUUUUGCAAUCUAGUCCCUAAACUCUCUGAUAUUCUCUUGCUUGAUUCAUGUGUCUAGUAAGGCUUGCAAAGAAUCCCCUGCAAUCCUUAGAACCUUUCUUUUUAACCUGAGCUCUACAAUCUUGCAGAUCUAACCCUAUACUUUUCUAUAUUUCUUAGUUGUUCACUUAGUCUUGUGAAACUUCCUUGGUAGCCCCUAAAGUAUAUAGUUAAUUCCGUUUAAGCCCCUAAAACUUGUUUACUACAUAUCUUCAUCAUUUCAACUCCGAUUUCAGCGAUUCUCAGCUAGGCACCAUACCACACUUUCGAGGUGUAAUUGCAAAGGGACGUUACGAGGCCUUUACAAAGAUUCCCUAAUAAGAAGUAGUCCGCUAAGGUUUCAUGAUCAGUGCAAUGUAUAACAGUCCCCUAGUGGGUAUAGUGUCUUAGCAAAGCCCACUUCCUAAGAGAGCGAGUGCUAUACACCAACUACUGUCUCUCCCUCUUGCCCUUUCGGUAAGACCGCUCCAAAAUAGAGUUUCUAAUUAUUCAGCCAAGACCAGAGCUAUUUAGUCUUGUGGUAGCACUGUUUUCCUGGGUGGUUCUCCAUGUUUCAAUUAACAUUAUUAUGAUAUUAUUAACAAAGCAUAGGUAGAAGGUUGGUUAGGGACACUUGCCUUUUCUCCAACGAAAAGUUACUCCUACUGCUCUUUAGCUUUUUGCUUUCUUGAAACUCUUACUCUUCAAAACUUCGAAACAACGAUCCUUCUACUCGGAGCAAACAUCAGCACAAACAUACAAGCAACAAACAAGUACAACUAAGAACAAUACACCAAAACAAAAGACAGGCUUUAAAAGAGCAUACUAAAGGACAUGGCUUGAUUCUAGGAUUACGCAGAUGCAGGAACGCUUACAACGUAACUAUGGUUGAAAAGAUAAAACUAUCGAAAGAUUUGAAUUUUAAAAGAAAGGUGAGAGUUACAAACUUCAUUUAUUUUAGUUGAGAAAAAUAAUGUAAAGAUAUUUCAGAGAAAUAUCCUUAGUUAGAAUUAAUCAAGUCAUAUUUAUAUUUUCAUAAGAAAAGACGGUGUAAAGCUUAGCCCAAAUUUAUUUAUAAAUAUUUAAGUACAAUUUAUGCAAAUUAGACAUUUAAUUUAAAAAUAAGAUACAUGUAGACAUAUAAGCGUAUAGCUUUACAUUUCGAGUUCAACUAAGUAGAUUAAAUUAAAAACACAUUUAUAUUUAUAUUAGCUAAAUUAACAUUUAAUUAUGAAACUCGAGAUAUAACCUAUGUAGCUUUUAUUUAGAAAACAAAUUGAAUAAACAUUAAUCAAAUUGAAUUUAAUUUAUGAAACGUCGAGGUAUAACUCUAAGUGGCUUUUAAUUGCAAGAAUUAUUUAGAUAUGCAUUAAUCAAUUUAACUUUAGUUUAUGAAAAACCGAUAUAUAACCUAAUUGGCUUUUAUUUAGAAGAGGGUAUGAAGUAAGCAUUAACCAAAUUGAUGUUUAUUAUCAAAAGCGGUGUAUAACUCUAAGUAGAUUUUAUUUAGAGAAGACGCAUGUUUAUGUGGCAUUAAUCAAAUUAAUAUCAAAUUUAUUUUUUUAAAGACAUGCAUGAUCGCAAACAUCACUACUAACACGUCAUUUAUGUUAUUAUGAAUCUAACGCAACUUGAACGAGGUUAAACGGAUCUAAAACGUGAAGUAUAGGAGCUAAACAAGGUUGCAAGGGUCUAAAUGUAAUUAACCGUAGACUUGGAGGGUUAGUUGAGAAGAUUACCGAGACACAGGGAACAGGACUCAUGAAAAGCUGAAAACACUAGGUUAGAUCUGCAAAAGGUCAAGGUUUGGAUUAGAUUGAAAGGAUCUCAAAGUUACAGGGGAUUUUCUACAAGGUUUGCAAGACACAAGUAAUAGGAACAGAAAUUAACAGAUUCUCCAGGGGCUAGAUCGAAAAGCAGCGCUUCAUCUUCUUCCUCACGCCACAAGCAUGGCGCAGCUCCAGGCCGGUGGUUUGCCGGCGUUCCGGCGCGGCGGAGGCCUGGGCGGGUGGUGCAGGUGGCGAUGGCCAGGCUAGGGGCCAAGGGCACGGCUGUACACCUCGGAAGUGUGGUAUGGUGCCUAGCUUGCACCGUAUGGUUGGGUCCAAAGUUCUUUGAACUUUUACGCGACUUGUGGGUAAAGAUGUGCCACCUCUACAGAGUGUAAAACUGAUCGAUCAGCCGUGCUCACGGUCAAGAGCGGCCUGGACCGUCACAUGAUUAAUUAAACUUGAAGAUGGACUUAAAUCAUUAUUCUGGUUAUUUCUAGUGGCCCUGCUGAGUACCAACCAUAAGUGUACUCACCCUUGCUUACUGCUGCUCAGAAGAAGAAGGUACGCAACCCCCAGUCGAUUGCCUGUGAAGUUUGGAGCCUCCAUUUCCAGUAUUUAAGCUGUGUAUCUCUGAUACACUCACCCUCACGCGACCGUCUCUGCAUGACUGUUAGUUUUAGGAGUUUGUUUUAAGUCUUUUUUUUUCUCAUGUUUGGUGUACUAUUUUAUUUAUUGUUUAUUUUGCUUGUGUCAUCGUGUGGACGACAUGUCAUUCAAGGAGAUUUAGCAGCAGCAGCCGUUCGACGAAGAGUUCCCUCAGUUUUUCAAGGAAGGCAAGUGGUCAUCUUCCCCUGCAUAUUCUUUUUUGUCCCAAUAAUAGCAUGCUAAAUCACUUUACUAUUUUCUUGUAUGUGUAUAAUUUGAUGGGAAUACCUAUUAAGGACUUACCUAGUUUUUAAUCCUGAUCCUUGAACAAUGGUUUUAAUCAUGUUGGGUAGAAUUGCUUAGUUGCUUAAUUUUGGGAUGGUAAUAAUUUUGAGAAUAUUAAUCAUGACUUUAUUAAUGCUAUACCUAUGUUAUUACAAGAUCACUUGAUUUAAUCGGAACAUGGAGAACCACCUAGGAAAACAGUGCAACCACAAGUACUAUCAUGACUCUUGUCUUAGCUAAUUAAUUAGAGACUCUAGUCUGGGGUAAUCUUACGGAAGGGCAAGAGGGGUGGCGGAUGAUGGGGUAUAACCCGCUUCUCAAACUGAUCUACUCUAUGGAAGCUUCGCAGUCUUGAGAGGAGCUUAUGCUCUACUACCGAUCCAGAAAUCUUAGCGGGUUACCACUUACUAGGGGAUCUUUGUAAAGGCCUCAUAGCGUCCCUAUGCAAUCACACCUCAGAAGUGUGGUAUUGUGCUUGGCCAGCAUAGCAUGGUUGGGUUUACAGUUCUUUUGAACUUUUAUGCUACUUGUGGGUAAAGAUGUGCAACCGCUGUAGAGUGUAAAACUAAUAUAUCAGCCGUACUCACGGUUAAAAUGCGGCUUGGACCCUCACAUGAUAAUUGAACUUAAAGAUGAGAAUAAAUCAUGGUUCCUUUAUCGUUGGGUUUUUUAAAUGCUUUAUGCUUAAGUGGGUUGGUAUAAACUUACACCUAAAAAUUAGGUUCUUGCUAUGCAUUCAAUUUUGUCCAAAAAUCGGGUGUGACAAAAGUGGUAUCACAGCUGUGUUGACUGUAGGAUAUAAGCCUAGAUAAAAAUGGUCUAAAUAAGGACUCAUUUUCUUAGCAAGCCAUGUCUUCUCAAAAAUAUCUUAUUUUUCACAGAAAAAUCUAUUUUAUUUUUGUUCUUUGCCACAAAAAGUUGUCUCUUGUUGGCUUUGUUUUGAGUAUCUUUUCUUUCUUUGUCAGAUGGCUAAGACCAGGUUGACCGCUCAUAAAAGCACUAGAGGAUACUAGGUUGGCCUUGCCCCUGCUUAGCCAGCUGCUCUGAUUCAGCAUGUAGAGGAGGUUGAAGAAGAUUUGGAGGAGGUCUACAAGCUGCCCCAGCUUCAUACAGUCCUGCAUCAAUUGCCCCUACAUCAGAUGCUCCAGCACUAGCUGAUCUAGCUCCACCACCUGCUACCGAUGGUGGAGACCCGGACGACUCUGGGAAUGACAGCAAUAGUGAGGAUAAAGAAGAUGACGAUGACGACUACAACAAAAACAAUGACCACAAUAGCAACAAAGACCACAACAACAACCAUGAUAACAAUAGUGGUAGAGAUGGAAAUCAGAAUGGUGGACCGCAGAAUGUGACACCAGCUUGUGACUACCACACUUUGGAGGAUGAGUCUGGAUACUUUCCCACACUGCUCUGGGAAGUACUAUAGAGUUUGGGAAGCACCAUGAAGCCCCUCUACGACACUCAUCGUGUCUCCCACUCCACCAUGGAUGACUACUACGCCAGUCAGGUCCACAUAAGGGAACGGUUGGCGACUUCCAGAGUAUUGAGGACUUGCUCAGCACACGACUCCACUACGGCCCACGCCACCUAUGCCUCAGCCAUCAGCGACGCCGCCAGGAGAGCUCUGUCUUCCCUCUGCUUCACCCAUCUCCAGGAGUUGAGCAACACCAUCUACCGUAACCUGCCUCGCCGAGCUAGUGGCACUGAGGACACAGCUGUACAGUUGGGAGAAGCAGGAGAAGACUGCAUCAACAUCCUUGCUCGAGUCACCACUGCUCUCAACACCAACCUCGACGGAGCUAUUGCAGAGCUUGCCAAGACCAAUGAUAAGCUGCAAGAUGCUCACGCCAGGAUUGUGUAGCUUGAGGCACAGCUUGCCGAACAAGAGCCACCUGAGGAGGCAGCCGAGUUCCACUACCCCACCAUUUCACCACCCCGCAAGAGGCUUCGCUAUGGCGCGUCUGGCUCCAUCACCGGUCUUUUAGACUAGGUUGUGCUUUUAGGUUGCCUUCCAAAGUCUUUCUGUUAGAGCUGUUACUGUGAGGACGUGCGAUGUAAUAACGUUUGCUGGUUGAAAACAUGUUUGAUUUGGACCUUUGUAUUUUCUAGGAUAUUUUGUGAAGUGAUGGCCACAAAUGCAUCAUUACAGAAAAUAAAGUUUAUUAGUUUAUUGGGUCUAAAUCUUGGUUCUUUGCCCCUAUAUCUACCUUAUCAAAUCAUGACUCUUAUCCGAGAUUUAUUUGUCUAAUACUCAGAUGGUAAACACCAGGUCAGGAGGAGGACAAGACAUUCCAAGUGAGAGGCAUGCUCACAUAAUUAAUCAGCAGAAUCAAGCACCACCUCCACCACCAAGUUCGACAAUGGAACAAUUUUUGGCUGCUUAGAUGCAACUACUGCAGAACCUCACUACUACUAUUUAGAAUCUACAAGCUUAGCAGAAUCAACAACCACCACAAGCACCUCAGGCACCGAGAGAUAAGCAUAGGGAAUUCAUGAGCCACCACCCUCCUCCUUACUCUCACUCAGUGGAUUCAUUGGAUGCUGAUGACUAGAUGAAGGUCAUUAGUAAGAAGCUAGAUAUUACACAGUGCAACGAUCAUGAGAAGGUUUUGUAUGCUGCAGGAUGCUUGGAAGGAGUUGAAGCCAACUAGUGGGAUGCCUAUACUACUGCCCACGCCAAUGUUAAUGCUAUUACUUGGGAAGAGUUCACGAACAACUUUCGCACACACCCCAUUCUAGCUGGUGUGAUGAACCUCAAGUAGAAGGAGUUUCGAUCAGCGAGUAUUGGGACAAGUUCACAUAGCUGUCUUGUUACACGCCAAAUGAGGUGGACACCAAUGAGAAGAGACAUGAAAGUUUCCUGGAUGGACUGAUAGGGCCACUUAACUAUCAACUGCAGAGUCACACGUUCCCUAAUUUUUAGACACUACUAGACAAAGCCAUUGGUUUAGAGAACAAACAUAAGGAGCUCGGGGAACAAAAGCGGAAGUUUCAGUCGCAAGGUCAAUCUAGCAGGAACACCCACCCUUGCUUCAACUUAUCGCAGGGAUCACAAUUUCAUUCAGGAGGACAAGGUUGAAGCUAUCAACAGAAUCAGCAAUUCCAAAGUACCACUCAACAACCAUAGCGAUUCAAUCAACAAGCAUAGUACACCUCAAACCCACAGCAAAACCGAGCAAACAAUACCACAGGAGCACCCGUGUGUAACAAUCCAAUUACCCUGGUUCGACCCAAUGGAUGCUUCAAGUGUGAUGAAGUGGGACAUUAUGCCAAUAACUGCCCCAAGCAUGGAAUGCAGACCCCUCAGAAGACCAAUGGUUAGAAGUCUGGUCAGCAACAGUUGCAAGCGCGUAAUGGAAAUCCAAACUCUCAGGGCAACAAGGGCUAGCAGAACUUCAUGCAUGGUAGGGCGAACCACGUGAGAAUUGAGACAACUGAAGAAGCUCCAGAUGUUGUUUUUAGUAUGUUCCUCAUGAAUUCCGAACCUGCGUCAGUUUUAUUUAAUUCUGGAGCAUCACACUCAUUUAUAACCAAUCAAUUUGUGGCAAAACAUAACAUACCUAUGCAACCUAUGAAGAAAACUUUGCUAGUUAGCUCACUAGGUGGUGAUAUAAGAACAAGUCAAAUAUGCUCGCAAGUCAAUAUGAAAAUCAUGUGGGUAGAUUUCAUAGCCCACCUAGUGGUCCUAAACUCCAAAGGUAUUAAUGUGAUUCUUGGAAUGAACCGGUUAGGAGUAUAUGAUGGAAUUAUCCUAUAUGCCAAGAAGUCAGUGCUUUUAACUACCCCUCAGGGGACAAAAUUGAGUUUGUGGCUACUACCUCAUCUGAAGAAAAGGGUAUAGUCAAUCAAAUAAAAGGAAAAUCUUUGGAGGUGUUGACGCAAAAUCCUGAAGGUGGUGGACCCUGCAUCACCACAUGAGGACCUGGGAGAUCUGCUUAACUCCAGUGCAGAAUCCAAAUCGGCGCGCAUGGUGUGCGCGGGCAUGCCAUUCAGUUUGACCAUUCAACUGACAAGGUGGAGAUAAUUCUCUCGAAGUUCGAUGGAGUCGGCCGAUCGGGCCGAUUUAAUAUAAUUUACAAUAACCAUUAGCCAUACGGACGAUAGGAAACACAAUGCUGUUGAGUUGUUGCUCCACCAUAGCUAGAGCCACAAGCCGAUGAGAUCAAAACUAACAUCACCACCAAUAUUUUUAGGUGAAACCAUAGCGAUGCGCCCGGUAGUUGCAGUCUAGAAAUAUUUAGCAAGACGUUAAUCUGAACCCCGCCAGCUGAUGAAUCCAAUCACAAUGGAACUUACUCCCAACAGCACUCGAAGGGGUAACCAAGAUUAAGAUGCAACAGGCUAUUAAAUGAUCUAUCGUCUAUGAUGAACCGAUCUAAAGCUAAUUAAAGCAAACUGAACAGCAAGACGAAAGAAUAGAUAAAUAUCAGCCGAUGCAAGCUUAAUCAAGGCGUGAUAACUGGUGAAUACCGUAGAUCGAGACAGAAGCGAUGCGCCGUAAGUUAAAGAUCCAAGAUACUUGAUAAUUGGUAAAUGAAACUAGACAAAACCACAGCGAUGCGCCCGGUGGUUAAAGCCUAGAACACCUGGUGAUGGAACUUGCAGCUCGCCGGAGAUCGAGGUCGAUGCAGCCCAGCUUGCUAGAAGGAACUCGUCGAGAAUCUACAUUACUCCUACUCCUAGGGCAAUGGCGUGAAGCUGAAAGGUAAAGGUAAAUAUGUUGUAUUAUUGAUCGUGUGAUGAUUCCUUACAAUGGCCACGUCCCUUUAUAUUUAUAGGGCGGACGUUACAUAAUUGGCAUCUAACCACGCACAAGGCAAGUCACGUACACAAUCUUUUCUAAUAAAAAACUCUAUCUCUAACUAACCCAACUCUAUCUCUAAAAUAUUUAAUUCUAUGAAACAACCUCCCGUACAUGCACAGAUCGGCCGCAUGUAUAAUUAUUCUGGAAGCCUCACACGCAUGGCAUGCAAAGUGCACCAGAAUCCAUGUUGUAUAUUCUAAUCAUUUUUAUCCAUACGUGCUGGCCUUUCCUUUAUAUCAUCCUUGCCUCUCCUUGCCGAUCAAUCCAAUGAAGCCGAUUUGGACUCCGUGCCCAUAUACACGCAUGCUACCUUUUUAUUGUUGUACGUGACUCCAAUUAUCUUGUACUCCGAAUUUAUAGGAUUGGUCAAAAUCCGGUGUCAACAGGAGGAUAUCAAGGUUGUAUGCGAAUACCCCAAAAUGUUUCCCAAGGAUUUACCAGGUACGUCGCUUGACUGAGAUAUUGAGUUCUCCAUUGAUCUUUUACCUGGCACUUCACCAAUAUCUGAAAGACCUUAAACAAUACAUGUUAAGGAUUUGGUUGAGUUAAAGAAACAAAUAGAAGAAUUAUUAAGUAAAGGUUUUAUCUGUCCUAAUUCUUCACCUUGGGGAGCACCUGUAUUUUUUGUUGAUAAAAAGGAUGGCACCAUAAGAAUGUGUGUGGAUUAUAGAGCUCUUAAUGAUGUGACCAUUAAGAAUAAAUAUCCACUCCCUAGGAUUGAAGAUCUGUUUGAUCAGAUGAGAGGUGCAAAAGUCUUUUCCAAAAUCGAUCUAUAAUCAGACUAUCACUAGUUCAAGAUCCCAGCAGAAGAUAUACCUAAAAUGGCGUUUACAUCCAGAUACAACCUAUAUGAGUACACUAUGAUGUCUUUUGGAUUGACCAACGCUCUAGCAUAUUUCAUGUACUUGAUGAACAAGGUGUUUAUGGACUACCUAGAUAAGUUUGUGGUAGUGUUCAUCAAUGAUAUAUUGGUAUUUUCUUGAAAUGAAGAAGAGCAUGAGGAGAACUUAAGAUUAGUGUUACAGAAGCUUCAGGAGAAUCAAUUAUAUGCCAAAUUGAGUAAGUGUGAGUUCUGGUUGAAAGAAGUUUCCUUCCUUGGACAUGUUAUCACCGAUGGAGGAAUCACAGUAGACUCAAGCAAAGUUCAAGAUGUGCUGAAUUGGAAUCCUUCCAAGAAUGUGUCUGAAAUCAGAAGUUUUCUUGGAUUAGUAGGUUAUUACUGCAUGUUUAUUGAAGGUUUCUUGAAGAUCGUCAAACCCCUCACUUCAUUGUUAGAAAAGGGAAAAGAGUUUAAAUGGGAUGACAAGAAGUGAGUUUUGAAGAGCUGAAGAAGAAGUUGACUACAAACCCUAUACUGAUAAUGUCUGAUAUACACAAAGGCUUUGAUGUUUAUUGUGGUGCUUCACGUCUAGGUAUUGGAUGUGUACUAAUGCAAGAAGGUAGAGUAGUAGGUUAUGCCUCAAGACAGUUGAGAAACCACGAGAAAAAUUAUCCAAGUAAUGACUUGGAACUAGCUGUCGUUGUGCAUGGAUUUGGAGAUAUUACAUGAUCGGGAACAAGUGUCAGAUCUUCACUGACCACAAAAGCCUAAAGUACAUAUUCACUUAGAGGGGUCUUAAUUUAAGGCAACACAGAUGGUUAGAGUUGAUAAAGGACUAUGACUUGGAUAUUCAGUAUCAUCCCGGCAAAGCAAAUGUCAUAGCGUACGCCCUAAGUUGAAAAGGUCAAGCUAAUGUGACUAUAGUACUGUUGAUAUCUCAAGAGUUAUGUUGGGAAAUAGAGCGACUCAAUUUGGGAAUCAUUGCCCAUACUGAAUCCAUGACCAUGGAAAUUGAACCUACACUGGAACGAGAGAUAAGAAAAGGGCAAUUGACGAAUGCUAAAAUCUAGGUAACCAAGAUCCAAAUUGGUUUAGGAAAGCCCCCCAACUUCACUAAAGAUGAUCAAGGAAUGGUUUGGUUCAGGAAAAGGAUCUAUGUACCAGAGAUCGACCAUCUUCGUGAAUGCAUAUUGAAGGAAGCACACGAUUCGGCUUAUUCUAUUCACCCUUGUAGUACUAGAUGUAUCAAGAGACGUAGCAACCCACGUUGCUUUGUGUGAUGUAUGUUAGCAAGUGAAAGCAGAGCACCAAAGACCAGCAGGUUUACUUCAGCCAUUGAAAGUACCUGAGUGGAAAUGGGAAGAGAUCGGAAUGGAUUUUAUUGUUGGGUUACCCCACACUCGGGAUGGCUAUGAUUCCAUAUGGGUUGUUGUGGACAGAUUAACUAAGGUUGCUCAUUUCAUUCCAGUUAAAAUAACCUAUAGUGGACCAAAUUUGCAGAGUUGUAUAUGUCAAUGAUUGUAUGUUUACAUGGUGUUCCUGUUGCGUUCCAAUCUCUUGCGAGGUUAAGAAACAACACAAUAGGUAGUAAAUGAACUGCUCUCUAUUAAAUGAAGUGUCUGAAUCUCGUUACAUGAGGGGACGACCCCCUUUUAUACUGUCCAGAGGAUACCUACAAUUUACAAUUUUACCCUCUCUCACCCACUACAUCCUCAGUAUAUUCUGUACACAUUUGUCAUCUCAUGAAGUCACGUGUUUUGUCCUCCCAACAAUCCCAUAAAUCACACUCUCACAGGGUAUCGUAAUUGGUGUUGUCCUGUCGGUCAAGUCGCCUUCCCCCUUAGCUUCGCGUCUAUGCCCUAAUUCGUUCGCCACUCCUUAAUGAUGCUCCCAUAGCAAGUUGGCUUCAGUCUCUCGUGUUAUACUGACUUCGGGCCCACAAGUCCCCUGGCGAGGUUGAUGCUGCUCCUGCGGGCACCGAAGACAACGGACGGGCAAUGAGUCAGAAAAACAAAGGUUAGCUCAUAUUACCUUCACCUUUGAUUUUGGUUUGUCCCGAAGCUGGGUAAUCACGGCCCCGACCGAAGCUGAGCCCUUGGCGUGAAGUUGCAAAGUCCGCUGAGCCCUGGUGCAUAGAAAAUAGAGGUUAACCCACCUUGCCUUCGCCCCCGAUUUCGGUUUGUCCCGAAGCUGUAAAGUUCACCGAAUCUUGUCGCAUCUUUCGGGAGAGAGAUGACCUUGAGGGGGGCUGUUUUGGGCGAUUCCCCAACAGUUCCAAAGAAGAUAGUAUCUGAUCGAGGUACUCAAUUCAUGUCACGUUUCUAGUAGAAGCUACAUGAAUCAAUGGAUAGAAAGCUUAAUUUCAGUUUGGUGUAUCAUUCACAAAUGGAUGGUUAGACUAAAAGAAUCAAUCAAAUAUUAGAAGAUAUGUUAAGAGAUUAUGCUUUAAAGCAUAGAGGUAGUUGGGAUAAAAGUUUACCAUACGUAGAAUUAUCUUAUAACAACAAUUAUCAAGCCAGUCUUAAGAUGGCCCCGUUUGAAGUGUUAUACGGAAGAAAGUGCAGAACACCAUUGUUCUGGAGUCAGACUAGAGAAAGCCAAGUCUUUGUACCGGAAAUUCUUAAAGAAGCUGAAAGACAAGUUCAAAUAAUUUGAUAUAAUCUCAAGACUGCAUAGUCACAACAGAAGAGUUAUGCUGAUACUCGGAGGAGAGAAUUGACAUGUGAUGUUGGAGAUUACAUGUAUCUCAAGGUAUCACCUAUUAGUGGUCUUCGUCGAUUCAAGGUUAAAGGGAAGCUAUCACCUUGUUACAUUGGUCCUUUUCAAAUUUUGGAAAGAAAAGGAGAAGUGGCAUAUCAGUUAGACUUACCUGCUCAGCUAUCAGAUGUUCAUGACAUGUUCCACGUAUCUCAGUUGAAGAAGUAUCUAAGAGUACCUGAAGAACAAUUACCAUUGAAAGAACUCAAUGUGAAGGAUGAUUUGACUUAUUUAGAGUACCUUGCCAAAAUACCAGAAAUAUCUCAGAGGGUCACUCAGAGCAAGGUAACCAGAAUGUGCAAAGUAUAGUGGAGUCAUCAGUCAGAAGAUGAAGCUACUUGGGAAAGAGAAGAUGAGCUUAUCGAAUAAUUCCCUCAGUUGUUUUCCAAUCUCUCUGAAUCUCGAGGACGAGAUUUUCUUUAAGGGGGUAGGAUUUGUAACACCCAAAAGUUUCAUCAUAAACACAAUGUAAGAAACAUGUGGUCUAACUCUUUCUUUUCUAAGGACUAAAUAAAAUACUAUUAUUAUAUUAUAGCCUUUAAUAAAUUAAAGAACAAUUGAAAUAAUUGUUUAGAGACAAGUGCUUGUUAGGGUUGUUUGUUUGCUUCGGUUUUUGUUUGCAUUUGUAAAAUUUUAAAUCAAAAAUCUUAUCAAUCUUAUUUAUCUCUUUUUGUCCAACUCAGCAGGCCAGCCCACCUUUCCUCUUUCUUUCCCUCCCGGCCCGCUCUCUCUUUCCUUCUCCAGCCAGCCCACCUCCUCAUUUCUUUGCACCGACCCAAGCUGAUCCACCGGCCCCUCAAGCAUCUCCCCAGCCCAACUCCCCCUCUCUUCCCACCGACAGGCAGGGCCCGCCUAUCAGGCGCGUCCUCAACCUCCAGUUGUACCGCAACUCCAAUGCCUGCUCACCUCCUGUCGCCGCUCGAGCUCCUAUGCCCCUCCGCGUGCUUGCACCACGUCCAUCCUUCCUCGCAUUGAGCCCCUUCUUCUCUCCUUCUCUCUGUGCAGGUGCAGGAGGGCGAUCCCCAUCUAGACUGGCCAUGUGGAAGUAGGACCACCACCAUGUGUAGUUGGUCCCCCGUGUAUGCAUCAAUGCUGCACCUAUUGACUGUGACCUGGCACCCCGACAGUGAGCCAUGUGAUUUUCGCAUCUCAAAGGCAUGGUUUAUCCUCCCUCUUCCUGCUGCUGCUCAUCCUCCCUUGACCCUUCACCAAACUACUUGUUGCAAUCGGAAGAAAGAUCAAUCGAGUUGAAGAGAUGGAAGCUAGUCACCAUUGAGUGAUGUUAUGAUCCGUCCCUCUAUCAUAACCGUUGGAACCCAGCUGGUGCGAAAGCUAAUUACCUGAAGCAAUUGGUAGAAACGGAUAGUACUGGUUCGUUCACUUAUUUCUUUGCUCAAACUUAAUUUCUGCUUAAUGUUUGUGCCUUGUGGUGAGACUAUAUUAGCUGCUUAUUCUGCUGGUUGCAUGCAGAAUAGUUAAAUCAAGGCACAUGUCUUCAAUUUCUGAGCUAGUGCUGCGUGUCCGUGACGCAGAAGCACUGCCUCAGAUAGAUUAUCUUUGGGUGGCGCAGAAACUGGAACUAUCUUUGGGUGGCGCAGAAGCCGCACCUCUGUCACAACUGAGCAUAUCUGGCUGCAACUUUUUCUUCGUAUCAAGCCAGUCACAGCUAACACCUGGGGUCUGGAAAUGGUUUGAACAUCUUGCAAAUUUCAUAAUUGAAAAAUGUGAUGUGCUCAUCUACUGGCCAGAAGAAGUGUUCCAAAGCUUGGUAUCUUUGAAGAACUUAUGGAUUCUGUCCUGCAACAAGCUAAUAGGGCCCACAAAAGCGAAAGGUGGCGAACCUACACAAACAACAGAUCAAAUCUACACAAACAACAGAUCUAAAAAUAAGAGGAUGUGAUAGCCUGGUAACACUUCCAAAUCUACCACCGUCCCUCAAACAUUUUUUUAACUGCUGUGAGAAGCUGUGAGAAUCAUCAGCAGCUGUGAGAAGCUCUGCUCUGUGUCAGGAGACCUGUGUGCACUCGAGGAACUACAUAUUUUUAACUGCAAUAAGUUACAGUCAGUCAAUUCAUUGGGAGACCACCCAUCAUUAGAAACACUGUUUCUUUCUGGCUGCCGAUGCCUUGCAUCUUUAGGAUGUGAUGGUGGUCGUGGGAGUUACUCUGCUCUUCAGAGCCGUAAGAUCGAAUACUGCCCAGCCAUAGACAUGAAGCAGUUUUACUAACGCCAUCAAACAGCUGCUUGACAGCUUUGUAUAGGAAGACGUAUCACACGUUCAUUCAAGCAGCUCUGAUGAAGGUACGACCUUUCACUUUCCUCUUAUUCAAUUUGUUUCCUUCAGAUUUCCCUGCUUUGCAUGCCCUCCUAUUUUGUUGAUGAACUGGUUAAUAGAUGGGUUUGUGGGGUGGGAUUUUGGGGUUUCAUCUUCAUUCCGCGGUCCUUUCUCACUGAUGUAACCCCACAUAUUGUUGGUUUAUACGGCUGUUGGUUUUCAGUCUUGGAUGCAGUUGACGUGCAUAGAGAAAUUCUAGAAAUAUGUGAUAUCCCUUGGUGUUGAGAUCAGCUGAUGCGGAAUCACUGAAACGAGAUCCUGAUCGGUCUCAGUUUUGGAGAGCAAUUUCUGGUGAAUGGAAGCAGUCCCAAGGCUUGAAGAACUCAUGGAGUCGUACCGUACCAUUCUCCGCUGCCAGGGCCUAAACUAGGUACGUGGAAGGCGCACUGUGUUUUGUCAACAACACAAUUCCUUUAUAUAAGUUGGGAUAGUAAAAAACCAUGCCUUCGUCUGUGUUAAUCAAAUCUCAUUUAGCACAUAUAUGGUGGACGUGUUGUUAACUUGUUACCCCCAUGCUUUUCAUUUUUUCGGUGCAGACAUCAACCAUUUGUUCUUAAAUUAAAGCAUAAAGGAGGGCACUCACUUGUACACAUAUUCUUAAGUACUGGAACGACUGCCAUCUGUAUACUCAGCUUCAUUGCAAGUCUCUGCUAACGAUGACAGGCCUGCAGUGGAUGACAAAAACGACUAAGUUUGUUUUCACGGCACUACUAGCUGCUGGUAAUUCUCUCGUCACUAAUGCACACUACUCCCUUCUGUCAUCCAUCAAAGCUGUGGACAAUAUGAUGUCACUCUUAUUUUUUUUAAAAUGAAACCGGCAGGAGAGCUGCCCCACUAUAUUAAAAAGAAGGGACGCUCGAAGGGCCAGAGAAGUGUACACCCUUGACAAGGAAGAAAAAACUACACACACUGAAAAGAGAAACGGUGCACAAAAACACCCUCAAGAAAGCUGCAAUAAACAUGCCAGGGGUGCUUAGCCCCGACCGCCACCCAAGAAGUGGCCUCCCCUUUUAUUUUUGAGAAAACUUGCUAUGAAGAGGACUCUUUGUGAUUGAAAAUUCUUGCAUUCCUUUCAAUCCAAAGUUCCAACAGACCAAAAUGAUUAGGCUCCAUUCGUUCAAAAAAAAAUUUAUUCGUUCAAAAAAAAAUGAUUAGGCUCCUUAGCCCACUCCUAUCGACGCUUGGUGUCCUUGCCUGCGCUGUCCACCACGCGUGCACCAAAGUGCACGGCUCCCAGUUACUAGCAUUAAGACCUUCAUCUACCCAUGCAGCGAUCGCAUCCCAAAUGCGCCUGGUAAACCGGCAGUCUGUUAGGAGAUGCAUUCCAGACUCUUGAACCGUGCGACACAACGCGCAUGUGUCAUUGUGAGGGUAAUUUCAUUUUGCUAACCUAUCUGACGACGUCCAUAUCCUAUUUGGAUUGCCAACCAACUGAAGAAUUUGCACUUCGGGAGCACCACGGCUUCCACAUGAUCGCUUUAAAGUUUGUGAAGGUGGAGCCGAUAAAUUGUGCUUGGUAGGCCGAACUCACAGUGUAUUUAUUAUUCUCUGUCAUUUUCCAUACAAUGUUGUUUAGGUUGUCUGGUAUGAGUUGAACCUGGGCUACUGCUGUCCACAAAUUGCAAAACUCCAUAAAAUACCCCAAUGCUAAAUUUACACUCGACCGGACGUUCCCAUCCUCGUGGUCGACGCGCACCGGUCCUCUCAUCAGUCCAUCAUGUGGGCCCCACUCCACUUUCUUUUCCCCUCGCACGCGCUCUCUCUCCCCUCUCCAUUCCCCUUCUCAUCCUUCUCUUUCUCGAUUUCUUCAUGAGAUCCACCGGAGCGACUCUGCAUGUGGAGCUGUUCCACCCAACGUUGAGCACAGUAGCAACAGGCCUGGUGGCGGGCAGGGGAAGCAGCGAGGCUCCGCCCUGCAGCACACAGUAGCGCUCGAGAUCAUCCCGCGAGGAGCGGGGGAAGGAGCACUAGGACCAUCGAGGGCACCGCCGUGGUCUUGACGAUGAGUGGCUGAUGGAUCUUGGCGAGCUCCGCCGUGGCCGCGGUCGACAGCGAUCUAUUCAUUUUUUUCCUUCCUUUUUUCUCUUCUACCUUUUGUCUCAAAAUCUUUUGUCUGUAUAAAGUUUUUGCUUCCAUUUUUUUUUAUUUCUUUGCAUCGUGAAUUUUUUCUCCAUUUUUUUGCUUCAAAACUUUGUCAAAAAAAUUUCUUUUUCAAUACUUUUUCCAAAAUUUUGUCUCAAUUUUUAUUUUCUGAGUUUUGUUUUCACAAUUUUGUCUUUUAAAAUUUUUUGUCCAAAUUUUGUUUCAAAAUUUUUGUUCGCAAACUUUGGUUUCCAAGUUUUCUAAAAAAAGUUAUCCCCAAACUUUUGUUUUCGAACUUUUUUAUAAAAAAUUCUCAUUUUUUGUUUAAUGAAACAGGAAUCACACGUGGGAAGCCGUUCUGACGUGUGGUUGGAAAUCGACCGCACAGAAGGCUCCCACUGGUCACAUGUAAACUUGCGUCCCCCAUAAAAUAAAUCUGUGUGAGGCUCGAGGUUGAAGGCCUAAUAAGGGCAGCCACAAGACUAUGCUUGAUAGUAGAGAGAAGUUUUGGUUGCCAUUAUAGCCGUCGAUGCUGAGUUAGAGCCCCAAUGCUUGGUUAGUAAAAUAUUGUUCCAUAGCAGGGAACAGGCGUUGCUGGGCAAAGAGAAGUGCAGGAGAACCAAAAGGAAACAGGUACAACUAGCUAAAGAAGCCAGCAGCAGUAGCGGAGGGAGGAGGGGGGGGCACGGGGGCCUGGCACCCCCCACCCUCUGCGGCAUCCGCCCCUGCCCCUGGUGGCCUGGGCCUCUCCUGGCAGGCAGGCACCCCCUGAUGGCCUGUGUGCCUAUCGGCCUGUCACCAGUCACCCCUGGCGAGCGGCCUGCCCGGCUGGCCUAAUAAAAAAUUAGAAGCACCUCCCAGGAGUCCUGGCCCUGGAAUAGUCCGCCCCUGGUAGCAGAUUAGCAAAUAGGCACAUCAGGUCAAAUCAUAUUCCGCUCCUGGUAGCAGUUUUUUGUUCCUAGCUCGCGCCGCUAGUCGAAUCGUAUUCUGCCACCACCAGUCAAAAAAGCAAAUAGGCACAUCAGGUCAUCCGUCAUCAGGACAUGAGCACGAAGCACCAGAGUACGAGGACAAGGAUGAAUGGAUCACUGACAUGACUCGCUGUUGUUUUCUUCGCCAGGCGUCAGAUUGUUGCUGUCCGCAGGUAAUCCAUAAUCAUAAAUCAUCCAAUGAUAUUCUCUUAUCUAAUUAACAGUCACUAGUAAUUCUAAAUUUCCCCCUCUAAUUUAAGUAUUGAUGAUAUUAUUACAGCGUACGAUCUUGCUGCUAGUCGAAGAGCUAAAUUUAAGUUGAUAGAUAUGUAAUUUUAUUUUAGUUAAGACUUGUGAACUAUGCUAUUAUUAUAUCAUUAUAUGCGACUAAAAUCAGCUCACGUGGCUAUCAGUUCUACGUUGCUUUGUCCAUUGCUCCCCUUACCUCAAAUCCUAGCUCUGCCCCUAGCCAGCAGAGAGUAUUUAUGUAAGGUUUCUUAAUUUAUGGGAACCAAAGCACACUCAAACCAUAUUCCAGAAUCUUAUUACAUGCAGAACCUGAAGUAAGGGAGAUUGAAACAUAUGGCACGCAUGCAUGCCUUUAAUUACACUAAUACCAGAAAUUAAAAUACACUGCUGCCACAAGUAGUAUAUAUAUUAAGGUAGCUGGUGUCACGCCAACAUCUGACGCAUGGUAAUGACGGGGAGGACCUGGACGUAGUACUCGAUCCUGUAGGCAACCUUGAGUAUGAGAUCGGGUUGCUGCCAAUUGUAGCCGCCGUCGACGCCGCAGAGGAAGGUCUGCGCGAUCCUGGUAUUGUUCUUGUGCUGCUGGUUGUGCAACACGAUCUUGUACGCAUCUCGGAGAUGUUCUUUCAGACUGCUCACCAUCGACCUGGUGUUCUGGUCCCGCGACAGCUUCCAGGACUGGGGCUGCUGCAUCAGGUCGGCUAUCUGCUGUACGAAUUGUACCAGCUGCUGGAUCUCCCCCCUGUUCUGCCUCAGCGCCUUCGCCUCCUGCACGAUAGAAAGUGCGAGGCGCACGACCUCGUCAUGGUCGCCGGUUCGAGCCCCCUGCUGGUCUCCGCGUCCUCCUGGACCUACCGACAACGCGCUGCUCCUCACUGCAUUCACGUCCCUGCGCAUGCAUGCCGAUCAUCUCUGGUUAAAUUUUUCGUUAUUUACGUACUCCAUAUAGGAAGUACUAUAUGAAUGUUUUAUAUAUCAGCACACGAUGAAUACCCGUCCGUGAUGUCCCUGAUUAUCAACUCCAUCACACUUUUAGCGUCGGAUGACAUAUUGUCCAUGUUAGUCAAGUUCCUGAUAUGAUAGAUGACUUCAGCUCCUCUUUUUCGCUCUGAGAGUGGUCAGAGUACAAAAAAUCCAAAGCUUCCAUGCAUGUUAAAUAUUCAAUAAGACAUGCAUAUAGUAUGAAUAUAGUCAUAAUGAUCAUGUCAUGCAUGAGCUUGGUCAAAAACUAUUAAUAUAUCGCAAAAUCAGGCAACAAUGUUAAUCUACCGCUCCCUCCAUUCUCUUUAGAUAUUAAUCCUUUUCGAACACUAGUACAGUCUAGUAUUGUGCACCCUAAAAGAGUCCAACGUGAUGUAACAUGGUGCUGUCUAUAAGUCAUAGUUUAUGUUUUGAACUUUACUACCUUUUGUUUUUUUAGAUAAUGGAUAAAUAUCCGGCUUCACCCUCCUCUUUCGACGAGGCGGAUCAGUCCACAAUUAUUACAAAACGUAGCUUGUUGCUACAUCCACACUAUGGUUUCGACCAAUCAAACCGACUCAAAGAAAUGAAUUCUGGAAUCAAAAGGUAGCUUGUCACUACCUUUUAUUUAUGUUGCAUUGUUCAUUGCCACAAAUUAUUUGCAAAUAUGAAUCUUAUAAUGCUAAACUUUUAUGGUACAAUCUACGUACAGUUUCUUUCUCAAGUUUUGUAGUUGUUUGCCGUUGAGUAAUAUGUAAUUCCGAUGGAUUCAAGAGUCUAGCUAGCUAGAUUUUGGUACCUGUGGAAGGCGCUUGCAAGCACCAUUUCGAAGCAGCUUCUCAAGCACGUUCAUGAAGAAGCGCUCCUUAUUGAUGCUUACAAUGAGGAUCAUGUUGGCAAUGUGGAACGACUCCAGGAUUUUGGAUAUCCGUGCAUCAACGGCGACGAUCUUGUUGGCUUUCUUUUUGGUUUUGAAGACAAGCGACCAAGUCCUCUUCUCCCUGCAGGACUCAACGAGCGCCUUCCCGUCGUUGAGCGCAUCUUCAAGAUGUUUCAGCGUGCUGUAGGUCACUGGGUCCGGCAUCCACUGGCUUUUCAGCUCCGUCAGGAGGAGGUUAAUCAUUUGCACGUGGUCUUUUAGCAGAGUACAUUUCUCCCUGUUGCGCUGAGCCGCCUCCGCCAGCCGAUUGAUCUGUUCCACGAUGCUCAUCAACGACGAAAUAAGCCCAAUUGCUUCGGCCACCCCAACCAUCUCGAUCGAUUGCGCUGCGCCUGUAUGCUUGCAACGUCAGAUUUGCACGUAUAUGAGUAUACAUGUCUACCCUCCGCCAUCCAAAAACAAUUGGAUGCCGACAAGUGGUAUUGACAAGUCUAUGUACAACACGUGAUGUCAUGUUAAAUUUUAGGUAAUUUUAGCUUUUCUAGAUUCAUAGAUAGUAUUAUGUAUCUAGACAUCCGCUAUGUCUAGGUGCGUAACAAAAACUAUGCAUCUAGAAAAUUCAAAAUGACCUACAAUUUGGGACGAAGGGAGUACACCCUAAUAAAAAGAUUAAUGGUGGAGCCCGAAGCCCAAUUUAUCGUAUAAAAAUAAUACUUGUAAAUAUAUAAAUUUAUUAUAAAAUAUAAAAACUCGAUUGACUAUCUUCUUAAUUAAUGGAGAAAUAUAGGCUGUGAAUUUUCAAAAGGAAAAGGAAAAAGUGUAUUUUUCAUCCUUCAAGUAUUGCAAAAGUGUAACAUUCAUCCUUGAUGUUUCAUUUGGUACAAAUCAAGCCCUGAACUAACUAAAUCGGUUCCAUGUAUCAUCCCCACCUUAGUUUAAUAAUUGUCUAGUGUCAUAUAACAUCGGUUAGACCAUGUAAUCAUCUUCAUAAUUAGUGUUUAGCCAUGUAUAAUAUUUAGUCAAUUGAUUCAAUAGUUUGGUGUGAAUCGGUUCUAUUAAUUUUUCUGAUAAAAUAGUUAUGUGGUAGUCAAUUUAGAGGAUUUAGUUUUCUUUGGGGCUUUAUAUCUUCGACUCAAUAUAUCACAUCACUAAGCAGUGAUUCUGAUGGUACGGAAUAUCCCUAGGAUGUAGUGGUUAGGCAUGGGUAUAACAGGUAUACGGAAAUGUAACUUUACAACACUAUAUAAGGAGGGGAACAGCCCACUAUAAUGGACACUAUUCAUUGAUAAGACAGCGAGUGAUAUCUUGUUUCCUUCGUGUUCGACUGUUACUUCUUCCCAUUUAUUGUGACCUCGCCUGCCCGUGAGGUUAGGUCCUAACACUCCCCUUCACUCCCGUUGUUGGCCGUGCCCGGUGCCAUCUUGAAGCCGAUGCUGCUCAAGCCUAGUGAGCGAGUGAAGGCCGGAGGUGGUUGGCGUGGGCCACGGAGGCCCUCGGGCGGCUACCGGGAGGAAGGCAUGGCGACAGGCCACCUGGGAGUGGCACGGUGGUGCAUAAGUGGCGUCGUACUUAGGAGUGGCAUGGUGGUGUGCGGCGUGGGUGUUGGCAGCAGCACGUCAAGGAUGCAGCUCUGUGUGGCUUGGAGGCAUUGUGGUAGCGCAACCAAGGGUGGUUCGCGCGAGUCUUGCUAGCGACACCAUGGUGGUAAAGCCAUGGAGGUGUGGUUGGGCAGCAACUAGCACGAGACUAUAUAUAUGUUAAUGCAAAUGAAAACUGUAUAAAUGUUCAUGCAAGUGUCAUAUAUGUGUGUGUGUUCAUUCAAAAAGUCGUAAGGCAGCAACUAGCACGAGACUAUAUAUAUGUUCAUGCAAAAGGUCGUAGGGCAGCAACUAGCACGAGACUAUGUAUAUGUUAAUGCAAGUGAAAAUUGUAUAAAUGUUCAUGCAAGUGUCAUAUAUAUAUAUAUAUAUAUAUAUAUAUAUAUAUAUAUAUAUGUGUGUGUGUGUGUGUGUGUGUGUGUGUGUGUGUGUGUUCAUUCAAAAAGUCGUAGGGCAGGCACUAGCACGAUACUAUAUAUAUGUUCAUGCAAGUAGUGUCUCAUUAAUCAUAGCGACGUAACGCCAAAACACAUCAACCAGUUGCAUGCGUAUAUCUAGGCGUUUUUGACCUGGUGUCACUACUACAUACAUAGUUCAGCUAUAACCAACGCUUUUAGAAAGAGUGAUAAUUUCGGCACCGUUACAAAGACCGCAAAAGACCUCUUUCAGAAAGAGCUUAUAAUGUUGCCAUGAUGCACCCACAAACGUCGAUCGCAAAGUCAGGACAGCAAGACAAUUAAGCAAGGAAUCAAAUACUCCUUGGCAUCAUCAACACCCGAAUCACCCUACUAGCUAGCUAGCUACUUGUACAUUCAGAAUUCAGAGCAGCCCUGAACUAUCCUGCUGGGGAAAAGGGGAUAGCCGAGAGACGCUUGCUACCGGCCAGACUCCAAUCUCAGGCCACCGACUGGAUCAAAGCUACCGUACCCUUGAUAAGAAUCCUAAUGAGUUGGAGAGAGAGAGAGAGAGAGACGGAGCCCAAGAACUCACCUUUCUGCAGGGGUCUGUAGCCUCUGGACGCUUCCUCCUCGUCCUAUACUCUUCCGAGCCCAGGCCUCUCCUUCCCCUUUGUUUCUUCCUCGAACCCCUGCAGUUCUUGGAAGUUAUAUUAUGCCGCACUCGCUUCGCAAGAACCCCUGCAGUUGAAUUUUAUGUUAGAAUAUUGUAUGGGCGAAUCAAAGAUGAUAUGACCAGUUCGUUCAAAAAAAAAGAUGAUAUGACCAAGGCAUAUAUAAUAAUCUCUAAUUAAAGGACUCAAGCUGUUUCGCGUACCAUAAUUAUUCUCGGAAUUUAUAUCAAAAGAAACUCUUAAUUUUAAUUCUUCACACAAACUAUUUUAAUAGAAAUAUUCUAGAGAAUACACAAACUAUAGCACAUAUUUACCGUAGCAUCACAUAACCAAGCCAUCACAUAUUUCACUACUUCAGCAGACUGAAUAUAUAUAGAAACUCCAUGUACAAGCAAGAGUGCGUUGCACGUAGGCAAAGGCAGACACUUCUCCAAAUUUUGGUCCCAGCAGAACCAAAAGAUUAAUUAGAGCCACGCGCUUAGGACACAAAAGGUGUCUUUCCCUAUCAACUUGAUCUUUUGUACUACUUAAAUGGUCCAUGACGAUGAAACUCGAUGCUUGAAAUAGGAGAGCCCUCAUGAUUACACACAUGAGUUCUUUCUGUUGGAACAUGAAGAUGUGAGUGUACUGAAUUCGAUCUAAUGAUCUGCAUGAGGUGUUCUGUCAAAGCAUAUAAUCAUUCACCUACAACGCUUCCAAGUUCUGUCUUUCUGAGUAUAUAAAAACCAUGGUAUGUAUGAAUCUAACUCUGUCCAUACGUCUGGUAGUUCAGUCCCUGCUAUUUUUACUAACCUUGUCCUCUAGGUAGAAGUACGGUGGACUUUCAGCGUUGGGUCCUGCAGAGCGAUGGACUUUUCGGUAUGGUGCAGUGUGCUCCUUUCUUGACUUAUGCUAACAGUCUAACACAAAGUUAUGAUUAGGAGAUUGACGACCGUGUGUGUGAUCUGAGGCUGACAACGGCAUGGUGGAGAAGUUCUAGUAGCUACACGGCUUGCAGCGGACUGUGGCGGCCAGUCCUGCAUGGCAGCGACUGGUUUGGCGUGGGGCAUCAUCAGAAACGAUGGCGCUGGCGAUAAGGGCUACUUGCCGGCUUUUUCUGCUAGGUGGUAGUGGUGCAGAGUGGUGGUGGUGCGCAAUGAAGCUUCCAUAUGGCAGUCGUGUGUACAUGUGACUAUGUGAGUCCCCUCCUUUAUGCUUUUCCAGAAAAAAUGAAAAGCAUAAAGAGGGCACUCACAUGCCUCCUUGAUGAAGCUAGCAGCGUUGGGAUGGGUCUCAUGAUUCUUUCGAUUGUUAACAUGGAUCUCAUGGUUCUUUCGAUUGUUGGGAUGGGUGGGAUGGGCAAUGCCACCUUUAAUUUGUGCAACUCAUUUAUAAUGACCUUGCAAUCGUGAAGCAUUUUGAGCUUCAGAGGUGGUGCUCUGUGUCAGAUUAGAAAAAAUCAUUGCAAGGAUGCAUAUUAGUGAUGGAAACUUAUAGAAUGUUUAUCAUUCAACUAACUCAGAUUUUUAUUUGUUCGGUCUGCCUACGCGUCACCUGAGUGAAACAUUAGCCUUCCUCACUCGAACCUCACUCGAACAUCCGAUCCGACACCUUUCCUUCAUCUUCUAUCUUCUAGUGAAGUAUAUAUCUAGGCACGUAGCAAAAAUUAUGUAUCUAGAAAAAAUGACCUACAAUUUGAAACGGAGGGAUUACGUUGGAACAUCAACCAAACAAAUGGACAAACCCUUUAAAUUAUUUGGCCUCCAAGAAUGCCAUACGACCUGAAUGAAUAACUGAAAGCUAACAGUGCUUGUUGUACAUACCAGCUGAGCUGCUUGACUUAGCUAUGUUUAUUCGGUCUGUUCGUGACCCGCGCGUGAUCUAGAGUAUUCGUGUGUUGGCUAGAAAAAGCACCAACACUAUAUUUAUUUGCAAACAGGUUUUAAAUGCAAUACAAUAAUUCAGAAAUCUAGACAUCCUGAGCCAUGCGAGGGAUAAGAAGAAGCUUCUCCUUCCUGUGCACAUCCAACCCAUACGACUCUGCCAUGUCGAUGCCUGCCGACCCCGGCGGAAGCUCCCAGUUGAAGUGGUAGAUGAGGUUAGCAAGGAUGAUCUCGAAGGAGGCGGUGGUGAAGUUCACACCCGGGCACAUCCUUCGCCCGGACCCAAACGGCAGGAAACGGAAGUCGUUCCCCAGGAAGUCGGAGGCAGCAUCCACGGCUUCCUCCAUGAACCGCUCCGGCAUGAACUCCUCUGCACUCUCCCAGGUGGUGGCGUCCCUGCCGAGAGCCCACGCGUUGACGAUCACACGCGUCCCAGAGGGUAUGGUGUAGCCCUCCACGUCGCAUUCGGCCAUGGCCAGGUGGGGUAUCAGAAGAGCCCCCGGCACGUGCAGCCGCAUCGACUCUCUCAUCACGGCCUUGAGGUAGCUCAUGCCGCUGCUCAGGUCGUGUUCGGUGACCAGUUCCUUCUUCUUCCCCUUGGAUGCUGCACACCCCCUCACCUCGGCUUGAAGCUUGGUCAUCGCCUUGGGAUUACGCAUCAGCUCGGCCAUGGCGUAGUCUAGGGCUAUGUAGGUUGUGUCCGUCCCGGCUUCAAACAUGUCCUACAUGAACAUAUCGAUCAGUCAUAUGUACCUCUCGUGAGAAAUAAAGUGGAGCAUAUAUGCCUUGUUUACCGAGAGCAAUUAUUUUGCUGAGUGUUUCUCUGGCGGCACUUGGCAAACGUAUUGUUUACCGAGUGUCCGAUGGAAUGCACUCAGCAAAAACCACCAGACACACGGCAUAUCUACUAUUUGAUAAAUUAAACAUACCAUCAGUAUCGCCUUGACGUUGUCUGUGGUCAGGCCGUACUCUUGUUGAACGGCAAGCAGCACGUCGAUGAAGUCCUCCUCGUCCUCACCAUCGACGACCGUCUUGCUCUUGUGCUUGUCGAUGAGGCUGUCCAAGAGGUCAUCCCAUAUCUUCCUGUGCUUCACGGCCUUGGCCGACACCAUGUCGAACCUCGCCAAGCUCGGGAAGUAGUCGUCCAGGUUGAAUCCCCCCAGGAGCUUGGCGUUCGUCUCCAGCAGCUCCCGGAACAGCUGGUUCCGGCCUUGUUCCCUGGGGAGCCUGCCCGUCACGGCCUGGCACACGAUGUCGUUGGCGAAGAAGCUGAAGAGCUCGCUGACGUCGACCGCCAUGCCCAUGGUGGCGGCGGCCGUCACCUUUGCCAAAACCAGCUGGACCUCGUGCUCGCGGGCGGCGCGGUUGGACCGGACCUUCGCCGCGGUAAGGAGGUGGGUGGUGAUCACCUUCUUGGCCUGGCGCCAGUACUCACCGUAGGGGGCGAAGCCGACGUCGGUGCAGCCGUAGAACAGGACGUCGGCCACCGCGGAGCGCGGCCGGGAGGCGAAGACGUGGUCGUGCGUGCGCAGGACGGCCUUGGCGGCGCCGGGGGAGGAGACGACGAGCGUUGGCACGGCGCCGAGGCGGAGGAGCAGCACGUCGGGGCCAUGCCUCUUUGCGAGGUCGCGGAGGGAGUGGUGGGGAAGGGAUCCGAUGAGGUGGAGGUGGCCGAUGAUCGGGAGCUUGAACGGAGGCGAUGGGAGCUUGCUGAGCAGCUUCUCGGACCUGGACUUUGGCGUAGCCAGGCGAACGGCGACGACGAAGAGGAGGAAGACGAGGGCUAGGGACUGUGGAGAUGCGUGCUCGAAGAGGUGCUCUAGCACUGGAGCCAUGGCGGCUGCUGUGCUCGAUCAACAGCUAGCUUGUGGUACUGUGCCCGUUGCAAUUUCUAUAGCGCUCUGAAGUUGGCAUUCAUUCAUGAUGCAUCGGACGAAGUGAAAGAACAGUAAUUGUGGACUUAUGGUGUGUUUAGUUGACAUAUAUUUAAUUAGUUUCUAAGUACUAAUUGCACAUGGAGUAACACAAGUGAAGCUUUAAAAAAAAAUAGAAUGGAUACGGAGGGAUAAUUCAUCGGUAUCCAUGAAUUGACAAAGCACAUCUCUCAAAGCACAUCUCUCAUCCAUGAAUGGAUAUGGAGUAACAACAUAAAUAAUUCAUGGAUAUAUACGAAGGGAUUCGAUCCAUCGGUAUCCAUGAAUUGACAAAGCACAUCUCUCAAAAACCCACAAGUUCUUGAGUGCAACUGCAUUAUUUAAGAUCCCAUGCAUGUGCUAUUUUCGUUGUCCGUAUCCAUCAGAUGCACACAUCCAAAAGUGCAAACGUUGACAAAAACCCGGCCACAAGUUCUUGAUUUGCAACCCCAUGUGCUAACUGGAAGGCCACUAUUAUUUUUUUUUGUAAUUUCCGCACCAGCCUGUUGAAUGUUUGACAAAACAACGGCACCUGUUUUUGUAAUUUCCGCCACCGUGCCUCCCUCCUCUCCGCCGCGGGUCACCACCGCGCCUCCCUCCUCUCCCACGCAGGUCACCGCCGCGCCUCUCCCGUAGGCCGCUGCUGCACCUCCCUCCUCUCCCCUAUAGGCUCCACCGUAUCCAGUGCCGUGCCUCCCUCCUCGGUUAGUUUUUCUUUUUAUAAUCCGAUAAUCUUAAUUUUGAUGCACUAAAAUGAUUUUUAAAUAAUUUCAUGAAUUAAAGAUGAUGUUUGUGGAAUAAUCUAUCUUAUUGCAAUUUUGAUAUAUGACAAAGUGGAAUGAAAAAUGUUCUGUUGAUAUAUACAUGAGAUCUAAAACAAGAAUUGUAAAUUUCUUCCAUUAUUUUGUUGCCUAUCUUUUAUUCUUAGAAGUAUGGACAAUCUUUUAUUCUUAGCAUUUCGUAAAUUAUGAUGUUUUAUGGCGUAAUGAUUAUUGAGUAGAUGUUUGUGGGAUAAUCUAACUUAUUACAAUUAUAUUUGGAUAGUUUGGGUUAACGCGCAAGUUGUCAUUCUUUCCGCCAUGAUGUUGGCGGCCGUGGUGGUGGUGGCGGCCGUGGAAGUGACAGUGGACGCUACAUUUUUGUGGAGCCACCAUUAGCUCAUCCUCCAUGAAUUCACUUUCCUUUUCACGCCAUUGACUUGCCUACCGGUGAUCGAAGUAAAGGAGUAAUUCUCAACAUAGUAAUAUUAUUUCCUUCUUAUAAUUGAUAUUUUUACUACACAUGAAUAAUUCAUAAAUUUACUUACAUACAAUGUAGCUUAUCAACCCUAUUAGAUGGCUCAAAGAAAUUGGCUCAAAGAUGUUGUCGAAGCUCUAGGUGGCACUUCUCCUUCAGUGCAAUUUGAGGCCUACCUACAACAGCUUAAGGAUCAUGGGUACUAUGUGCUAGUCUUAUCAUAUUUUUGAAUAAAGGCACUUUAGGUGGGAGAAAGCAAUGUGACAAUAACUACCGAGAGACUUUGUUAGCCGAAUGAAAAUGACAUGGUUUGGAACAUAUCUAAUAAAUCUUUUAUCUCUAGUUAUGUUACAUUUUUUAACUUUCAUCGUGUUAUUCUCAUUUUUAUGUUAUCUUUGGUCAAACCAUUGCAGCAAUAAGCUUUCAUGCGAUUCUGGGAUCAACUCUUGGAUGUGUUGAAUUAUAGUUACAUAAAUGGAAAUCCGAUACGCCCCAGAGAUUCCAAGCUCCAGAUUCAUCUCACUUUCUAAAGGGUAUAUGAGUUUACCUCCCUGUUGUUCGAGAUUUAUGGUAGUGCAUGUGACUGUUCAUGUGAAGCGAUAGAAAGUGCACUAAUCCAUGUUGUAGUUCAUAUUGAUGAAGUUAAAGGCUUUAGGAUUGGAGACUUAAACUAUGUUGAAUAUCUAAGGAAGCGAAGCGGAGUAUGAAAUAUGUAGCGAGCACUGCCUUGGUCGGCAUUGUCGCGGUCCUUGCGCAGCUGCUAGCACUAGUCUCUUGCUGCAUCUGCGUUAGCAACGGAUUGUUGUUGGGCGUUGACUUGCUCCUGCUGGCACCGUGCUGCACGGUUUUGAUUCUUGGCAUUACGGCCUUCUUCCUAAGAUUCCAUUUUGCCAUCAUGUGGUGGCUCAUCAGCGGAGACCAUGAAAGCUUCAUGAUCGGGCGUGAAGGAGUUGCUCUCAUCAUCGCUUCCAUAAGGAUUUGGUGUCAGGACGAUGCGGGGCACCUACAAUUCAUCAUAGUUUGGAAACUGGGUGGAUUUGGGCAGGUCUCUAGAUUGCAUCUGGAAAACCUAGUCAAGCUUACCGGAGUACUCGACGGCCGAGUUCCGUAGACUGAAAGGGAUGGGGAACGGACCCUACGCCAACCUUGUUGAGCAUAGUGCCACCUCAGAUAACUCUAUGCACUCAGCAAUAGUGCUGCUGAUGCGAUCUAGCUCCACGAUCAGAUUGUUGGGCAUGCGUGGGCGGGCGCCGACGAGUAGAUCUGGAACCUUCUUGGACAAAGAGAGAGUUCGCCGCCUUGCUAGGAGAGUGGCAUGACGAUCCUUGGGUGGAGAAUUUUUUUUGCUGCAACAGAUCCGACGGAAGCCAAGCUGGUUGUGGACGCUGAUUCGAUGGAAGACGCCAAGUCAACAGAACAAGCGGUCGGAUCGAAAUCUGCCAGCAUGGACCUGAAGUGAAUCUAGAUUGGGUUGUUGAGGAUGUCCUUCAUGCUCUCGGAGAAAACAACAUCGGGAUGGGAUGCCAUCAAGGUCGCAAAAAGGACCUCACAACCCCCUACCUGGUACACCAACUGUUCGAUUUAGUAGCCCGACAGUCCACAAGGUGGUUACCUAAGUAGUUAAUUUGUAGGCGAGGGUGAUUGCGAAACCAUGAACUCGAAGGUAAUUGCGAGAACAUGAAGGGGAUACGAGGGUUUUUAGACAGCUUCUGGCCUCUAGAGAGAGUAAUACCCUACGUCUUGUAUGCUUGGUAGUUUGUAUUGAUUAGUGGUUCGAUGCGAUUCGAUUGGAUUGCCCUCGGGACUACAAUUUAGUUUAAAUCUAAUCUACUUGGUAUUAACAUGGAAGGUAAUCUGAGUUGGACUACAAAACGUGUUCCAUGAUAUCCAGAUAGAUUUGGACUGUCUCAUUGCCUUCAAGUAACUUCAUGUCCUCAGCCCGCACGCUCUGGUCGGGCAGGCCCACUUGUCAGGUCCAGCCAGUAUCCUAGUCGGUGGGGACCCAUGGGGUACCCAUAUCCCUUAGAUGUACUCGGUACCAUUUUCACAUGGAUUUGAAGUUGUUCUCUCUAAUACCUUAAAUAUUGAUGUAAGAACUUGUGAGACUGGUUAUAUAUAUAUAUAUAUAAAUAUAUAUAUAUAUACAUAUAUCUAUAUAUAUUUCAUUGCAUAUACAUUGUUCUAUGAUUGUCUGAUCUGAAUGGGUUGAUACUAGUGAGACUUGGAUUUAAAUGGGUUGAUACAUGGGAGAACCACUUUUAAAAAUUUGGUGUGAAAAUGGCACUGAAUUUGGGGUUUGCUGAGUGUCAAAAAAUAAGGGGUUUGCCGAGUGUCAAAAAAUUACACUCGGCAGGGGGGGUGUUGCCGAGUGUAAAAAACCAACACUCUGCGAACAUUAAAAACCAAAAAAACCACCCCCUCCACGCCCCUAAAAUCACGCGCACCUGGCCCCCUCCGCCUUCCCCAUCCCAACCCCUCUGCGUUCCCCACUCCCUCUACCUCCCCCGCUCCCUCUCCCACGCCUGCCGCCAGGGGCCGCCCCCCGCCCCACGCGCGCGCCGCCAGCCACGCCCCCCAGCCCCGCCGGCCGCCGGCCCCUCCCCUCCCCUUCUUCUUCCCUGGUGCCAGCCCUCCCCCUCCCCUUCUUCUUUCCCGACGCCGACCCUCCCCCUCCCCUCCCUCACCCUCCUCCCACCCUCCCUCGCCAAAUCCGGCGCCCCCUUCCCGGAUCCGGCGGCGUAGUGGAAUGGGUGGUGGUGGCACAGCAUGUGGCGGUGUUGGCUUGGUGGUGGCAGUGGUGGAGCCGGUGGAAGAGGUGGCGUUGGUGGCGGCGGCCUUCGGGGUGGCGGAUUCGCCGCCUCCUCGCCGGAUCCGGCGGAUCCACCGUGCCCCUCCCCAGAUCCACUGCGCCCCUCCUCGCAGAGCCGUCUGAAAGCGUGGUGAAGGCGGUGGUCGGUGGUGGCGUGGUGAAGGUGGCGUCGGGGAGUGGCAUGGUGAAGGCGGCGUCCUUGAGUGACUUUUUCACCAAGCCAGCGGGGAACAUGGGGGCUUCGGCCAGCAGCAUCAAGCCGGCGGCAAAGGUGGAUGGCAAGGCCAAGCAAGCGGCGGCGAGCAGCUUCGAGCCGGUGGCGAGGUCGGAGGGCAAGACCAAGCAUGCGGCGGAAAGCAGCUCUGAGACGGCGGCGAAGGUGGAGGGCAAGCACGUGGCGUAGGUUGUGCAGGCGGCAGCGAAGACCGAUGGCGGCCAGCGGAUACUGGCCGCUGGUGUUUUUUUUCGAAAAAAUGGUUUGCGGAGUGUUUUCUGGGCACUCGGCAAAGUGCCCGACAGAAAAUACUCGGAAAACACUUUGCCGGAAGAAUUUUUACCGCUUUGCCGAGGGUUCGCCAAGUAUUUUAGGGGCUUUGCAGAGCUUCUGUUCCCCGUAGUGGAAGCAUUUCUUUUUUCUUUGGUUAUACUCUUGUGUUAGUUAUCCUCAUCCCCUCGUGUUAUGGAACCCGUUUGUAAGUGUUGCGUUCUCUCUGUCUCUCCACAGCUUUUCAGUUGUCUCUUUUACUAUUGUUUUUAUUCCUUUUUUCCUUUCUACUAGGUCCCGUUUGGUUUCCUCAACUUAUUUUUAGCACCCGUCACAUCCGUUUGGUUUCCUCAACUUAUUUUUAGCACCCGUCACAUCAAAUGUUUAGAUACUAAUUAAUUAGGAGUAUUAAACGUUGACUGUUUACAAAACCUAUUACACAGAUGGAGGCUAAAUGACAAGACGAAUCUAUUAAGCCUAAUUAGUUCAUGAUUUGACAAUGUGCUGCUGCAGUAACAUGAUAAUCCUCUUGCCAUCUUUUUGGUGAAAAAAAUGUGGUACGCUGCUUGAUGAAGCUAGAAACUGGAUCUCAUGGUUCUUUCGGUUGUUGGGAUGGGUGGGAUGGGCAAGACCACCUUUAAUUUGUGCAACUCAUUUAUAUGACCAUGCAAUUGUGAAGCAUUUUGAGCUUCAGAGGUGGCGCUGUGUGUCAGAUUAGAAAAACAUUUGCAAGGGUGCAGAUUAGUGAUGGAAACGUAUAGAAUGCUUAUCAUUCAACUAGAGUGUCUAUAGCUCACCCAAGUGAAACAAAGAUCCUCCUCACACGAUUUUUUGUGCCAGUGUAUCAAAAAUCAGCGGCUCAGAUCCCUCCUCAAUGUCUACCUUAUCUCCUCCCCCACCCCUUCGCUACCCGCCGCCUAAACCCUCCCCGACCCCUCCGGCGCGGGCGGGCUAGGAUCCGCCAGAGCUCCGUGCCGACCGGCCCCAAGCCCGCCGGCGCAGACCGCCUCCUGCCCCUCUCGCCGCCACCUCCCACCGCCGCCUCCCACCAUCGGCACCCCCGCUCUGGCACCGCCCAACCGCUAUCUUCCGCCGCCUGGCUGGCAGCGCCCAAGCCGCCACGCCUCGCCGCCGGCAGCCCUCCCUCUAAGGCCAGCAGUGAGGAGCCCCACCCCGGCAACCCCUAUACCCCUAAUCCCGAAACCCUAACCUCGAACCCCUAACCUUGCCGGAAUCUUGCUGGAGUUGGAGAAGAAAGGGGGAUGGGGUAAAGAAAAAUUGGGUGACGAGAGGCUUUAUUUCAAUCGGGUGAGAUUUAGCUUUCCCUUUCAACUAACUCACAUUUUUUUGGGUCUGUCUAUGCGUCACCUGAGUGAAACAUGAGCCUUCCUCACUCGAUUUUUUUAGCUGUCAGAUGAACAUCCGACGCCUUUCCUUACUAGGUGAAACAUGAGCCUUCCUCACUCAAUUUUUUUAGCUGUCAGAUGAACAUCCGACGCCUUUCCUUCAUAUUCUAGUAAGUAUAUGUCUAGGCGUAUAGCAAAAAUUAUGUAUCUAAAAAAAAUAACCUACAAUUUGAGAUAAAGGGAUUACAUUCGAUCAUCAACCAAACAAAUGGACAAAACCGUUUAUUUGGCCUACAAGAAUGCCAUACGACCUGAAUAAUUGAAGCUAACAAGGCACUUUAUUGUUGUACAUAGCAGCUGAGCUUGACUGUCGGGCGUACAUCCUCGGGCCCACGAGUACACCUUGUACAGCCCAUCCAAGGACGUACUUGGACCUGAUCAGGACAUAGAGGCUACGUCACAGGGUAACGUAGCCUACACGGACUCCUGAAGACUAGUCGCAGUGUAUAAGGAAACUGCUCUGCCUAGUCAGAGUAGGACUCUAUAAUCGUACUCGACUAGGAUUCCACCCUGUAACCCUGCUCUUCCAGAUAUAUAAGGGUGGGCAGGGACCCCCUCCAAAACAAUCCCAUACCAACGCAAUAUACUCGAUCAUACAUACCACACAGGAUGUAGGGUAUUACGCGAUCUAGCGUCCCAAACCUGUCUAAAUCGUGUGCCUUGCGUCACCAUCGUCUCCUUGAUUCUCGAUAUCCCCACCGCACAAAAUACCUCCUAGGGGCCUCCCUAGACGGGUUGCCAGUCUAAAACAUCGACAACUAGCACACCAGGUAGGGGAGUUGCCAAGUUUAUCCACGCGAGAUCGAUGGCAUCAAUCAUCAUCAAGCCGGCGUUCACUUUCGAAGCGGGCACAACUUUCAUCUUCGGCUCCUAGCUUUGCAUCGCUGACGACGCUGGAUCCUUCCAAUACUGCAUCAUCAACAACCGGGAGAAGAAGCAUCUCGACAAAAAUUCUCUUCGACAAAAAGUAGACGAUCUCGUCGAGAAAAUCAACAGUUUUGAUCUAUUCAAACAUCCAGUUCGACUACAGCUCGAACUCGAUCAUGGCUCGGACUAGUCCACGUAAGCUAGCAAAGAAGUCACUGCGCAGAUCGGUUUCAACUCCAAAUCAAUUUCCAUUUGGACUCCAUAAUACAGCCAUGGUCCAUCAAGCACUCCUUACUCGAAUCAAAUCUGGACUAGAGUCAGAGGAGGACUACGACUAUGACUUGGAUACACCAGAAGAGUACACCAGCAACUAUCGCGGCUUCAUUGACGAUGACUUCAACUACUCAUCUCGACGACUUCGACGGGCGGCUCCCUGACGACUUCUUCGGCUACGUCGUGGCGCCCGCCGAUGAUGACCUCGUCAUGAAGCUCGCCGACAACUACUCCAACUACAUCACGGCAGUCAGCGAUGACUACUCCAACUAGGUCGUGAUGUCCGUCAGUGAUUUCUCUGACUACGUCGCGACGCUCGACGACGACAACUUCGAUAGGCGAUUCGCCAGCGGCUACUUUGACUAUGCCAUGACGCCCGCCGAUGAUGACUCUGAUUACUUUGUCGGGCAGCUCGGCGACGACUACUCUGGCUACAUUGUGACACUCCCCGACAACUUCUUCGACUACAUCGUAGCACCCGCCACCGACUACUCUAACUUCAACGGGUGACACGCCGAAAACUUCUCCAACUACGUCACGACACUCACCGUCAACUACUCUGACCGCAUCGAGCCACCGCCGACUACAUCAACCUCGCGGGGGCGCUUGGCAACUCACCGACGACUACUUGGCUCGGCGACACACCAACGACUACUUUGUCGUGACGCUUGCCAACGACUCCUAUGGCGUUGUGACGCUCACCGACGACUACAUCGAUGAGCAACUCGUCGACAGCUACUUCGACUACUCGUCUCGACUAGAAAACUAGUCGAGGGCGGGCCUCCCACCAUCGACAACUAGUUGGAAUCGACUCCGACUAGUCGGCUUCAUCAAACAACUGUCGCGGUUUCAUCGACGACCGCCACAGUUUCAUCACAAUCGGCCACGAAUCAAGCUAAGUCACUUAUCUUACUACUUCCUAGGUUGCUUUCCUCUCGCGCACAACACACACUCUAUUUGCCGGAGGGUAGCAAACGCUUGCACACAACAUGCGCUCUACUCGCUGGAGGGCAGCAAACUCUUGCGCACUCGCACUCUCUUUUUGUCGUAGCAGUGACUACUCUUUUUUGUCUUCUCUUAAGGUCACUAAUCUUCUCGAGCAGAACAUGCCUUAACUCGUGAAAGUGUCAGGUGCACCUGUGACACCAAAUGCUAGCACACAUACACGAGACCACGCUCUCAGCUAUGCACAUACACGUAUAUGAGACAACGCACUCACACACGUAGUGCCUAUGGCUAAACGGGGACGGAGAGCCUAAAACGUAACAGGCUAACUGCUCAAGAAGAAUAUGACCGAAACAAGAGCUUGACACACAACUUUCAUAUUAAUCGCUGAAUAACUAUAAGUAGUUUCAAUAUUUUACAAAAAUGCUACAUAAUGUACGCAUCUUUUCUUUCAGGUCAAACUUUGGCGAUGACGCUCAUCAUGUCGCUAAGCGUGCAUUCAACGGCACAUACUACUUGCCGAACUCGGGGGCUAAGCACCAAUCACUACUCGAAAUAUCUCCAAUGGCUCAGCUAGCUCCAAAGAUCGAGGGCUGAACGCCGCAAUAACUACUCGAUGUGGCUCCUACGGCUCGCCCAGCACAUAAGCUCGGGGGUUGGAUGCUGCAAAAAUUACUAGGAUGAUGACUUGUGCAUAGAUUCAAGAUCCUUGAGUUGAUUAUUCAAUCAAUUCAAGGCUCGGGGGCUGCAUAUACCGUUACCCAUCAAACAAAGAUUUCUUUUUCUCAAGACAAGGAGAAGACGAAGCAAAAUUACAAGUAUGACCCUCAUCUUGAUUCUUCGGUUCAACCUAAGGUUCGGGGGCUACUCCACAUGGAGUGCGAUUGUCAUCGCACUUCCAUAUAAAGAUUCAAGCCAAGUCUACACGAAGCAACUUCAAGAGAAGCGAAGAAUACCUUGCAGCCAUGUGACAGUACUCGGGCACUCGAAGUUUGGUCUGUUGGAGGUAUGCCCUAGAGGCAAUCAUAGAGAUGAUGAUAUCUGAUUGUAUCCAUGAUUUGUAUAUUGUGUUCAUUGAAUAUCCAUUAAAGGCUACUUGAAUUGAUCUGCAAUUAUGUGAAUUGUAUGUAGAACUCUUUACUUGUAUGGUUAUUCUAAAAGUUGUCCCUAGUCGGAGUUCAUGUGUGGACACACAUGAAUAUUAGACUGGUACAUGUAUUAGUUGAUGACUAUGUUUCACAAGUCAUGGACAUGGAAAUGUCAAACUAAUAAUGUAGGCAUAUGUAGAGACAUGUGCUAGGACUGACCCAACGAGAGAAGUAGUUCUCUCUUUACACAACAUGUACGCUUUAUCCUUAGACCUGAGAUUGUCGCAUGUACUCAAGAUGUGGUUUGACUUACUUAGGGGCUAUCAAACGCUACACCGUAACAGGGUAGUUAAAAAGGUAGCGUUCGGGUUGGUCAGGAAGCAUGCUGUGAGGCAUGGUCAAUCAAGAUGGGAUUUGCCCCUCUCUGAUUGAGAGUGAUAUCUCUGGAGCCCUCGAGUGAUCAGAUUCGAAAAUGCAUGGCCAUGCUACGUACGGUUAAGAGUUAACCUACAAAGGGAUUUCAAAUCAUAGUAUCGAGAAAGAGCGGUCGGUUUGAAGCUAGACCAAAUAUCGUGAGGCAAAGGGAAUAUCAUGUACAUGAUGUUGUGACGGUUCGUCUGAUAUGAUCUUCGUGUGCGUAUAGGAGUUGGCACGUCUUGCUAGAGGCUGCUACCGACUAUUGGGCCGAGUAGGAAUACUCGGGCCAUGUCUAUACGUAUCCGAACCUAAAGGGUCACACACUUAAGGGGCUAGAAGCCCAAUUUGGAUAUGAUCCGAGUUGGAUCAGGUUUAGAAGUACUAAUGGGCCUCAGACCUAGAGGCCCGUCAGGAACCUCUAUAAAUAGAGGGGUGGGGCGCCCUAGGGUUUCAUCCCUUUGGCCGAAACACAUCUGCCGUGCCUCCCACACCCUCGCCCUGUUGCAACUUGCGAACCUAGCAGUCUGGCUUGCGACUCUUCCUCCCUGCACGUGUGGAUACCUUGGAGGUGUUGCACCUGUAGCACUUGGACGAGCCGCGACGAGCCACGACGAGCCGCCGACGAGCCAUGGCACGAGGACGACCUUGCUGCACGUGGACGAGCUACUGAGGAGCUGCUCGAUGUCGACAUGAUCGACUACGUGUUUGACUACGCUGAUCGACUUCGCUGCCCCAACGCGAUUUUACAUCUUCCGCACCAGUGCGUCGAGUGGUAAUCCCGUGAUCCAUAUACGACAGUUUUCCUGGUUUACGCGGUAGAAAAUUUUUGUUUUGCGCUAGCGUAGCCUACCUCGUAGCCCCACAUGGUCACCACGAGGAAGCGCUCAAAAAACACAGGCUACAAGUACUCGGAGCUCUUCCACUCGACUACAAAGUAUUCGGGGGCUUGUCGGGUGUACUCGGACGUGAUCAGGACUUGGAGGCUACGUCACAGGGUAACAUAGCCUACACUGACUCUUGAAGACUAGUCGCGGUGCAUAAGGAAAUAGCUCUGCCCUGUCGGAGUAAGACUCUGUAAUCGUACUCGACUAGGAUUCCAUCCUGUAACCCUGCUCCCCCAGAUAUACAAGGGAGGGCAGGGACCCCCUCCAAAACAAUCCCAUACCAACGCAAUAUACUUGAUCAUACAUACCACACAGUACGUAGGUUAUUACGCAAUCUAGUGGCCCAAACCGCACAAAAGACCUCCUAGGGGGCUCCCUAGGCAGGUUGCCGGUCUACAACACCGACAUUGACUUAGUUAUAUUUAUUUGCAAACAGGUGUGAAAUGCCAUACAAUAAUUUCAACCCCAGAAAGCUACCAGUUGAAGUGGUAGAUGAGGUUGGCAAGAAUGAAUUCAAAGUGGCGGUGGUGAAGUUUAUACCCGGGCACAUCCUUCCCCUAGAAGUCGGAAGAAGCAUCCACGGCUUCUUCCAUGAACUUCUCGGGCAUGAACUCCUCUGCACUCUCCCAGUAGGUGGUGGCCCUGCCUAGAGCCCAUGUGUUGACGAUUACACAUGUCCCAGAGCGGUGGGACGGAGUGGUCGGAUCCGGGUGGCGUGGAGUGGAGCAGAGCUGGCGGUGUGGGCGGAGCAAACUAGGGGAGGGAGGCGGAGCCGAUGGGGCCGCAGGCGACGAUCGGGGGGCUCGCGGGGGCAGCGGUCGGCUGGCGUGGUGCGUUUUUUUUCGAAAUUUUUUUAGAACUGGGACUAAACGGGACCCCUUUUGUCUCAAAAAAUAUAAUUAGUCCUGGUUGGUCAUUGGAGAGAUAUGCUCCUUCCCGAUUGGGACUAAGAGCAACUCCAAGAGACUGUUAAUUUUACCCCAAUACCUUUUUUAGGGAAAAAGAAAAAAAAUAACUCCAACGGUCCACCAAAUAUUCGGGGCGUCCCCAUCUUCCCCAAUCCGCUCCCAUGGUCUUUCCCUUGGGCGUCGUCAGGAUCUGCAAAGUCCCGCCGUUAGCGUCGUCAGGGGACCAUGCACCGGAUCUCAGUGGCCAUGGCGAGAUCUCACUAGGGCACGGGCACGGGCAAGGGAUGCAUCAUCAUCGCUACCACCAGUUCGGCGUUGAGGGGAAGCUGCUGGACGGUGGCGGCGCCGCUGCCGCGGCACAGCAGCUCGACGCCAGGGUUUUUUCUCCAGUCCCGUCGUGGAUAACGGUGAGUGCCAUUGGUGCUGCUCUCCCGUCUUUGUUUGUCUCCACCCGCAACAACACCAAACUACAAAAACGUUGCUCUUUACUCUCUUCAAACUACACAUGAUUCUUGAUGAGCUAGCUAUCUGGACUAGAUUAAUCUAUGUCGUUGUGUCAUUGGCAUUUCGAACUUCCUACGAAUCUCGCUUUUGGAAUUCUCUCCUAGAUUUCUGUCUGACAGGAAAUAACAUCAUCAUUUUCUUUAUUUCGACCUGUCUGAUAUCGAUUCGAGUGUAGAAGGAGGUAUGUUCGGUAGGUCCAAUUACGAUGAUGUGGCAAAUAUUAAUUGAGGAGUAUUUUUAACGUUCUGCUGUGGCCUGAGGGAAAAUUUUUAGCAUAGCUCCCAAUAUCUUAUUUUCGGGAAAAAUUUUUUGGGAACUUUUGAAGUUGCUCUAAUAGUCAAUUUUCUACCACUGGUUGCAUAGAGGGGGAGGAGGCGAGGGUUUUAGGUGAGGACGAUGAGGUGGCGCCCCCCUCCCUUUCUCCGAUUCCUCCAAUCUGUUGUGCGAUGCUUUAACUGUCUCUAUAAAAUUGAUAUGGUUAGAUAUGUCAUAUUCUGUGGGUGGCACCUCACGAUCAGAAUGUGUGCCUCUAUAUAUGUUGUGCCAAUGCAGUCCAUUCGAGGUAGUACCAUAGCCUGACUGAACUACUGAAAAUGAAAAGCCUACCAGACUCCUUCUGCAACAGCACAGUCUACCCCUAUGUUUACAACCUGACUUCCUCCUACAUCGACCAGAACAAUGAGGCCACCAUGGUGACCACCACCUUGGCCAUGUUCAUGCUGGCCGUGUUCUUCUUCAACCUCAACCUCUUCAGCCGCUUCUCCGACGUGAGCGCGAUUCUCAACCCUAGCGUCCGCCUCUUCCUCUCCACCUCCCUGUCCCUCUUCCUGCCGGUCAUGUCCUACCUCUUCUCCGAGGCCAAGAACCAAGGUGCAACGACCAUGGCUGCUACUACUAGCAGUAGCUCCAGUUAUGGCGAGCUCGGCGACGAGCUGUCGCUUCGAGCUAGGACGAUCCUCAUGUGGAUGCUUCUUGUGGAGCUCCUCCGCAAGAAGGUGGAGGCCGUCCUGGUCAGCGUGGGCAUGCAGUGGUACUCAGGCGCCAUCGAUCGCUUCGCCCGCAUCGUUUGGCUCGGCUACCUCGUCUUCUACAAUGUCAAAAGCCCCGGCAAGAAGGCGAUCUAUGGCACCUUAUGGGUCCUCACUGCUGCCAAGUUCCUGCAAAGGGUCGUCGUCAAGAUGGUGCUGGAGCGUUCCUUCGCCUACGGAAGGAACACCCAGCUGCUCAACUCAUACAUGGCCCAGAUCAUCCAACAAGAGCAAGAGCAAGAGCAAGAGGAGCACUCGGGAUCAUCGUCGUCGGCGGAGCUGUUGAAGAAGUGCGAGUACACCGUGAUGGGAGAAGAAAAUCUGGAGAGGACGGCUGGCCGGCAUGGCUACCAGGUGGAGCUGAACAAGGCGGCCGUUGUCACCGUUGGUGACAUUUGGACGCAGGCAGCAGCCGAGCCGGACAGCCUCCUCCGGAGAGAACACCUUAGAAGGCUCUGCCUCUCCUUUGCUCUCUACAAGCUGCUGCGCCGGAGGUUCGAGGACAUCCCCACAACAAGAGAGGAGACCCGGAACUGCCGGAACCUCAUCUUCAAGGGCUUGUUGAAGGAGCAAGAAGGUGCCGAGGUCGCACUGUUCCAAGUCUUCAACGAUGAGACCCAGUUCGUUUGCGAGUACUACCAUUCCGUCCUACCCGUCGUCUUGUCCGACCCUUUCUUCUUCCUGGUCAACUACAUCCUGUUUCCCAUUGUAGUUUCUGCCUUCUGCCUCCUAACACUGAUCAUCUGCGGCAAUGGGAGCGUCCGCUACGCCUACCAGAGCAUCACAAGUGACAACUACAUCAUAUACACUGGCGCGACGACGCUGACCAGAUGCCUCCUGAGAAACAUCGCCCAUUCACCCGAGGUGCUGUUCGCCAGCAUCGACCUAGGCACCACCACUCUGCUCAUCCUGGCCUUCGUCUACGAGGAAGUCGUGGAGGUCCUCGUCUUUAUCCUCUCCAAUUGGCUCAUCGUGUCGCUCCUCUGUCAGUACACCGCCAAGCGCCACUGGCGGCAGAGCCGCAUGGUAUGUUGGCUCAUCCGCGGCAUCCUGUGGGUGCGAAGCAUGCUAAGCCACCCUAACCUCAGCUUCAAGCAGCUCUCCGUGCUAAGGUUCUUCCAACUGUCGUCGCCUUCGCCGAUCAUGGUGCCAACCAAGGCAGUGCCCAAGGAAGUGAUGGAGUCGAUCGUGGAUUAUCUGGUGGUUCACUUGGAUGUCUACGGCAUCGAUGGCCAUGACGACCCUCUCAAUUCGGCCUGGUCCUCCACACUGCAACAGGAGAAGCACAGGGCAUACCGUCCCCUGCUCUUGCCGGUGUGUGAGAGCAAGAGCAUCGCUGAGUUCAUCCUCACCUGUCACAUUGCCACCGCCCUAAUGGAGGUGAGGUACCCGCAGGACGAAAAGGAAAUGGGAUCUCAUCGCAAGGUGGCGACGACGCUGUCCAAGUACUGCACUUACUUGGUGGGCUUUUACCCAGGGCUUCUUCCGGACGACAAGAAUGGGACAAAGCACACUUACAAGAAGAUGAAGGAGGACAUGAACAAGGAGCUUGGAGGGUGCUGGUGGUACCACCUGUCGCUGCAGGGAACCAGGUACAAGAGGCUGAUGGAGAUCGGCGAAUCGAAGCAGAAGGCCGUGACAAUGGUGCGCAACGGGGCCAGGUUAGGGACAGCACUGAUCGAGAAGGCCGAGGAGAACAACGAGGCGCGUGAUCGCGUGUGGGAGCUGCUGAACGACCUUUGGACGGAGGUCAUGGUGUAUGUGGCGCCGUCGGCCGGCGACCUCCACGUGAAAGCCCACAAGGAGGCGCUGGCGCGCGGCGGUGAGUUCAUCACCGUGCUUUGGGUGCUGUGUACGCACACCGGCAUGACCAGGCCAGCCCUCGCACCGUGGGAGGUAGCACGUCAUGCGUUUGAACCAUAGAGCAUUAUUGGCUUCCCGUGUGUGCCGAUCUUUCGAGGACAGCUUGCUUGGGAUGGUUCAUCUCACAUGCUCCAUUCCGCUACUAACGCUAACAUUAGUACCGCGUCAUAAUGUGACCGGUACUAAGGGAGUGGACGAAAGAUAUAUUAAAAAUAGAUAUAUAGCCACCCGUUGUGAAUGCAUGGGUUGAUGCCAGUAAUUCCUAGAAAACGAGGCCAACCACAACCUCUUCAUCCACUUCUCCGACGUGAGCGCACAAUUCUCAACACUAGUAAGAAACAGAGCUUUAGUCCCGGUUUUUUAGUCCCGGUUGGUAAGGAUCAUAGAUCCCAAAAAUCCAAUCGAGACUAACUAUUCAAGGCUAAAUGACUCCUUUAGUCCCGGGUCAUUCACCUGGGACUAAAGGUGCCCUUUAGUUCCGGUUGGUGUUACCAAGCGAGACUAAAAAAAUUCCAAAAAAAAUAAAAAAAGCCAUCCGCGCCCGCCGCCCGCCUGCCUCCCACGGCCGCGCUGGCCUCAUGCUGCCCGCCCGCGCCCACGCCGACCACGUGCUACGACCCGCCCGCACCCACCCGACCGACCGCCCGCGUCGGAGCAUGGAAGAAAGGGAGAGGAGGAAGAAGAAGAGAUAAGGUGGAGAGGCCCUGCGUGGGAGAUAAGAAAGGGAGGGGAGGAGAUAAGUGGAGAGAAAGGGAGGCGACGAGAUUUUGUCUUGGUUGGAAUUUCCAACCGCGACAAAAGAUUUACUUCCGGUUGGAAUUUCCAACCGGGAUAAGGGUGGCGUCGAUGUCAGAUUUUUUAGCUGUUAGAACCAAGCCUACAACCGUGACUAAAGCCCCUUCAGUCGGUGGCCUUUGGUGCCUCAUACCUGGGACUAAAGUCACUUUAGUUCCGAGUCCAAAGUCAACCAAGAUAAAAGCAUCAAGAUGGAAGGUCAGUUCUCUAGUAUUGCAAGCCUAGUGUCUGCCACCUCCUCUCCACCAACAUGUCCCUCUUUCUGCAUGUAACACUUUCACACAUGCAUGUAACUUGAUUAAUCUUCUCAUGCGUGUUCACAACAAACGCAUGGAUGAAAAACAUGUCAAGAUUAAUUUCCAACACUUUUUUCUUCUAUAGAUAGUUUCCACUAAGUGGUUCACCACAUAAUAAAAUUUAGAUACUUGUCUCUGCAUAUCAUCGAUCAAUGUUGUUAGAGGGAUACAACAUUAUCAUUGUGUACAUCAUAUCAAUGACCGAACUUCAACUAUUAUAGAUACUGUUAUACUGUUAGCAAUGCAUAUAUCUCAAAUAUUAUUGCUUCUCUUUAAUUAGCUAAAGAAUAGGAUGCUAGAAUGAAAACGUCAAAAGAAAAAACAUAAUGAUGAAGGCAUCAGGUCCUCUCUUUUGGGGGCCAAGAUUCCUGCUGAUAUUGAUAACAAAAGAAGGAUACCAUGGGUUCUCUCCCAUUUGGAACUAUAUGUGACAAAAGUUAUGCCAGUACCUUAAAUGCUAAGGCUUGCUCAUCUUUUGAAUUUUUGUUCUUUGGCGGCCCCUGUCAUUUGAGCCUUUUGAUAAAGUAAAGGAGAGGAGAAUAAGCGCUAAAGGAAAGACCAACUGCUAUGGUGUUACCCGAACACCAUUGGCGGCAUCUUUCGAUUUACAGUACAUGCAGGCACGCCAAUACUCUCCUUCAAUCGUGUGCUUGCAGAACCUAUGAAAACGAUGCUCAUGCUUUGCAAGGGCACGGAAAUUUCGACUCAGAACGUGUCCAGAGGAAAUGGGCCCACUCGUAUGAUUCAUGGGAACAUGAACAAACAGAGACGUUCAGAUUCAGAAGUAUGGAAUUUGCAAGUCCCCGCAACCCACCGCCCCCACGUUGCUCCCGCAUGAGUGACACUGGUGGACGAAACCCUCGCCGCUGCCGCCCCUUCCUCCCUCUCCCCACCGCUGUGCCACCGCCCAAGCCGGCCGCUGAAAGCCUACGCGUCUCAUGAGGACGGCGGCGGUGGGGCGGCCUGCUUCUCCCCUUGAUCUCCUGGUGGGCGUGGCCGCUGUGGAGGUCAGAGGGAGUCGCCCGUAGGGCGACACACGGCCGUGACAGCGAGGCCGGAUCCGGGGCCCCUGUGGCCGGAUCCGGGGCCCUCGAUGCCGGAUCUGUCUCCAAGUGCGGUGGCGGUGGCUUCCCCCACGCGGGGCAGUGGUCACCCUGCCCGGUGCGGAAGCUGCACGAGCGGUGUGCGCCAGGGUGGAUGCCGCGCGGUGGCGGCUGCGUGGGCCAAGGCUGAGCAAGGGGCGAAGUGGGCGGCCGCGGUCCUAUGGCAAGGUGGGGUCAACGUGCAGGCCUCCUUCGAUGACUACCUCCAGGACCGCACCAUGUUCCCCGACGAGAGCAAGAGCCAGCGGAUCAGUGAUGGGGAGUGGCGGGUCCAGAUGCUGCUGCUGCAAUUCCUCCUCGUCACAGUGCGCCCUGUGGUCAUCAUGCAGCUGCAACACCGCACUGGUGGGCUCGACCCCAGUGGCGACAUCUGCAGUCCUCGGCGGUGAGCUCCUAGGGAGCGGUGACAGUGUGAAGGCGACAACGGCGAUCUGGGUGGUGCGGCGGUGGUCCCGAUGCGAGGCAAAGAAGGCACAUGGUAGCAGGGGCCGCUAGGAGGUGGGGACACGGAGGAGGCGCCGAAGGACAAGACGAGGAGGAGGUGUCGGGCAUACACCUCAGGGCCACGAGUAGGCCUUGUACGGCCCACCCAGGGGCGUACUCGGACAUGAGCAGGAGUUGGAAGCUAUGUCACAGGGUAACGUAGCCUACACGGACUACUGAAGACUAGUCUUGGUGCAUAAGGAAACUACUCUACCUAGUUGGAGUAGGACUCUGUAAUCAUAAUCGACUAGGAUUCCACCCUGUAACCCUGCUCCCCCGAUAUAUAAGGGUAGGCAGGGACCCCCUCCAAAGAACCAACUCAUACGCAAUACAAACAUCACACAAGACGUAGGGUAUUACGCGUUCUAGCGGCCCAAACCUGUCUAAAUCGUGUGCCUUGCAUCACCAUCAACUCCUUGAUUCUCGACGUCUCCACCACACAAAAUACCUCCUAGAGGACUCCCUAAGCGGGUUGCCGGUCUAAAACACCAACAGCUGGCGCACCAGGUAGGGGAAGUCGCCGAGUUUCUUAGCGCGAGAUCGAUGGCACCAAUUGUCAUCAAGCCAGCGCUCGCUUUCAAAGCAGGCGCAACUUUCAUCUUCGACUCCUGGCUUUGCAUCACCAACGGCGCCGGAUCCUUCCAGUGCUACCUCAUCGACAACCGGGAGAAAGAGCAUCUCAACGAAAACCCUCUUCGUAAAGAAGCAGACAGCCUCAUCGAGAAAAUCGACAAAUUCAAUCUCAGAUCAAGAUUCGACUACAACUCGAAGUCCAACGACGACUCCGAGUUCGACUACAACUCGAAGUCUGACUAUGACUCCAUUUUUAGUUUCGAGUUCAACCCCAACUUGGGGUCCAACUACAACUCCAAAUCAUAUCCAGGUCAAACUCCAUUCGGACUCCACAACGCAGCCACGGUCCAUCACUCCUUACUCGAAUCCAAUUCGGACUAGAGUCGAAGGAAGACUAUGCUACGACUCGGAUACACCCGAAGAGUUCAUCAGCAACUGCCACAGCUUCGUCGAUGACGACUUCCACGGGCGGCUCGCCGGUGACUUCUCCGACUACGUCGCGGCGCUCACUUAUGACUAUGGGCGGCUUGCUAACAAUUUCUUGGACUAUGUCAUGGUACUCGCCGACGACUACUUCAACAGGUGGCUCACCGGUGACUUCUCUGACUACGUCGUGGUGCUCACUGAUGAGUACGGGCGGCUCACCGACAAUUUCUCAGACUACGUCAUGGCACUCACCGACGACUACUUCGCUUGGCGACACACCGACGAAAACUUUGUCUGCUCACUGACGACUUCUCCGACUACGACACAGCGCUGGCUGACGACUAUGGGCGGCUCGCCGAUGAUUUCUCGGACUACAUCGUGGCACUCGACGACGGCUACUUCGACGGACGGCUCCCCGACGACUAAUCCGACUUUGCGACGUCCCUCGGCGACCCACCGAUGACUACUUCAACUUCGCGCGGGCGCUCGACAACUCGUUGAUGGCUACUUCGCUCGGCGCACACCAACGAAUACUUCGACUGCUCACCGACGACUUCUUCGACUACGUUGCGAUGCUCGUCAACGACUACUUCGACGGGUGACUCGCUAGUGACUACGUCGACUACUUGUCCCGACUAGAAAACUAGUCGGGGCAGAUUUCGCACCAUCAACGACUGGUCGGAACCGACUCCGACUAGUCAGCUUCGUCAACAACCGUCAUGGUUUCAUUGACGACCACCUUGGCUUCAUCGACAAUCAUCGACGAAUCAAGCUAAGUCUCUUUUCUGACAAUUUCCUAGCUUGAUUUCCUCUUGCGCACAAUACGCGCUCUACUCGCUAGAGGGCAGCAAACUCUCGCGCACAACACGCACUCUACUCACCGGAGGGCAGCAAAACUCUUGUGCAAUCGUGCUUGCUUUUUGUCGCAGCAGCGACUACUCACUUUUGUCUUCUCUUAAGAUCACUACUCUUCUCAAGAUGAACUUGCCUUGACACGUGAACGCCUCAGGUGCACCUGUGACGCCAAAUGCUAGCACACAUACACGAGACCACGCUCUUAGUUGUGCACAUAGCAAUGCCCAUACAUGUAUAUGAGACAACGCUCUCACACAUGCAAUGGCUACGGCUAAAUGGGGACUAAGAGCCUAAACGUAAUAGGCUAAAUGCUCGAGAAGAAUAUGAUCAAAAUAAGAGCAUGACACACAAUAUUUCAUAUUGAUCACUGAAUAACUUUCAGUAGUUUCAAUAUUCUACAAAAAUGCUACAUAUUGUACGCAUCUUUUCUUUCAAGUCAAACUUUGGCGAUGACGCUCGUCGUGUCACUAAGCAUGCCUCUAACGGCAUAGACUAGUUCCCGAACUCGGGGACUAAGCACCAAUCACUACUCGGGAUAUCUCUAGUGACUCAGCUAGCUCCUAGGCUCGGGGGCUAGACGCCGCAAAACUACUCGAUGUGGCUCCUACGGCUCGCCCAGCGCAUAAGCUCGGGGGCUGGAUGCCGCAAAACUACUCGGAUGAUGACUUACGCAGAGAUUCAAGAUCCUUGAGAUGAUUAUUCAAUCAAUUCAAGGCUCGAGGGCUGAUAAGCUACACCCAUCAGUUGAUUUUUUGUCAAGCCGGAAGAAAAAGUUUCAAGAUUUUGACCCUCAGCCUGAUUCUACGAGUCAACCUAAGGCUCAGGGGCUCCUCCAUAUGGAGUGUGAUUGUCAUCGCACUAUCAUAUAAAGAUUCAAGACAAAGGCUACUUGAAGCAACGUUACGCAAAGCAGAGAGUACCUUCCAGCCAUGUGACAGUACUCGGUUACUCGAAGGCUAGCCACCACGAGAAGCGCUCAAAAAGCACCAGAUAGUACUCGGGCAACCUCUUCAAGUACUCUGAGCUGUUCCACUCGACUACAAAGUACUCGGGGGCUUGUCAGGCAUACAUCCCCAGCCCCACGAGUAGGCCUUGUACGGCCCACCUAGGGGCAUAGUCGGACGUGAUCAAUACUUGGAGGCUACGUCAUAGGGUAACAUAGCCUAAACGGACUCCUGAAGACUAGUCACGGUGCAUAAGGAAACUAUUCUACCCAGUUGGAGUAAGACUCUGUAAUCGUACUCGACGAGGAUUCCACCCUGUAACUCUGCUCCCCCGAUAUAUAAAGGCGGACAGGGACCCCUUCCAAAGAACCAACUCAUAAGCAAUACAAGCAUCAUACAGGAUGUAGGGUAUUACGCGAUCUAGCGGCCCAAACCUAUCUAAAUCGUGUGCCUUACGUGACCAUCGACUUCUUGAUUCUCGACAUCCCCACCGCACAAAAGACCUCAUAGGGGACUCCCUAGGUGGGUUAUCAGUCUAAAACACCGAUAGGAGGUGCGAUGGACAAUAGUGACCCAUCUAGAAGAGCUGCAUGGAGAGGAUGCCGGUGCAGAGGACGGCAACGUGGAGAUGGUCGUGCAAGCGAUGAGGAGCGGAGCGGCGGCUCGAAUGCCACGAGGCCAUUCUGGUGCCGCGGGAACCACUCACAUGCUGACGUUGUGGUGGUGUGAGGAUCUACGCUGGUGGUAGUGGGGGCCAUUGUCGCAGAAAGCUUUGUGUUUGCGCACAUGGUACAACUGAGAUUAUGACGGCGGCAAGGUGGAGGUGAAGUUAUUAGAGUAGCUCGGUGGGACCAUGUCACCCUGAUGGAAAAUCAUGUCUGGAUCCUUGGUAUGGAGUCCAGCGGUGGAAGUGGUGAGAUCCCCGUUUGCUUUAAGGUGAUGUGUACGAGGAGUUGUGUGUGGCGGUGAAUGUGGCUAGAACCCCACACAUUUUGAGUUGCCUUGGAGGGCCAGGAUCCGGUGCAGUGUUUUGAUGGUUGGUGUGUACGGUGCGAUAGCAGUGCUUCGGCGUUGGGUCCUGCAGUGCGGUGGUCGUUUCAGUGUGGUGCAGUGUGCUCCUCCUUUGACUUAUGCUAAUACAAAGCCGUGGAUUGGGAGAUCGAUGACCGUGUGUGUGUGACCUGAGGACGACGACGACAUGGUAGAGAAGCCCUAGUAGCUACACGACUUGCAGCGGACUGCGACGGCCAGUCCUACGUGGCUUCGGCUGGUUUGGCUGGGACAUCGUCGGGGACGAUGGCGCUAGCGAUGAGGGCUACUUGGCGGCUUUUCCUGCUCAGUGGUGGUGGCAUGGUGGUCGCUGCUAGCUCAAGCGUUAGCGUUGAGUGGCUUUGCGUCGACGACCACCCAUAGAGUUCUUUUUUUGUUUUGAGUUGAGUCGGCAUUAUCUGUUGGGAGCUACUUCGGUGGCUCUGUUGUUAUACCCAGUCUAGGAUCUUUCUUCUUUUUAAAUAAUCGACAGCUCUCCUGCCUGGUUUGUUUGAAAAAAAUUCAAAAAUACGGUUGGAUGUAAGAUUAACGAGUUAAUCUUCAUGUAGCAUGUACAUAGACAUGUAACCAAGAAACACAAACUUUUUUACAACGGAACUCAAGUGUAUUUGAGUUGUACAGGCAGAGAUAUGACUAUAGAAAUUGGGGAAGCAGCACUUUGCAUGUAAUAUAGGGUUGAAUAAAUCACCUCUACCGUGGUUUAUACGUCAGUACUGUACAACAAAACCUGGCCACCAUCCCUAAAUUACAUGAUAAAAACUCUAUCAUCUACAACCAACAACUCUAGGUACGGUAGUUGUACACAUUACACGAUAUUGGUACGUAUGUUUAACUUGACCUGAAUGCAUAUGUUUAACCUUGGAGAAGAUAGUCCGAUUCAACCCUUAGAAAUCCUUUAAGAGAUGUGUCCAUGUUAAUCUUGCUACUACUAAUUGGAGAUACCGGAGGAUUCUCAAGUUAAGACGCAUGGGCGGCCGUGCUAGAAAAAAUAAGAUCUCAAAAACUCAUGAAAACAGAAAUUGCACCUCAUCACAAGGUGGACACGGUGCCCUACUGCAGCCCAAGCAACUACUACACUUGCAUUGGUGUUCUUUUCAGACAGUGCUCGCUGCAGGACAAAACGCUGACAGAGAUUUGUUGUUGCCAUUCUAGAAUCGUUUUAGCUGUGGCUUCGUUUCAUUCAGGAUUAAUUUGCAAAAAAAAUGUAUUUUCAGUGGAAAAUAAUGUAACCAGAUUGGCUCGAUUGCCCCAGAAAGAUAUAAUAACUCCAUGCAGUAACAUAUACAUGGUCAUACUUUAAUUAUUGUGCGUACAGUUGUACUACAGCAAGGCAUAUAUCUUAGCUGUCUCUUCGCUUUAACUAAAGAAUUGGAUGCUAGGAUGAAAGAUCCAUGGUUUGGGGCCACUAUUACUAGCUUUCUGCUGAUAUUGAUAACGAACGUAGGAUGGCAUGGGUUCCCUCCCUUUCUACAAAUGGGAGAGAACCCUGGUAUCCUUCUUUCGCUAUCAAUAUCAGCAGGAAUCUUGGCCCCAAAAGAGAGGACCUAAUGCCUUCAUCAUUAUGUUUUUCUUUUGACGCUUUCAUUCUAGCAUCGAUCCUAUUCUUUAGCUAAAGCGAAGCAAUAUUUGAGAUAUAUGCAUUGCUACAGUAUCUAUAAUAAUUGAAGUUCGAUCGUUGAUGUACACAGUAAUGUUAUAUUCCUCUAACAACAUUGAUCGAUGAUAUGCAGAGACAAGUAUCUAAAUUUUAGCUCCAAGUAAGUUUUAACCAAAAGUUUAUCUUAAGGGGUUCCACGACCCAAAUCUGUACUCCCCUAAAAAUAAACUUCAAUGGUAGUCCGACGGACUAUAGGGCCACCUGAUUAAACCUAUGAUUAACGACCAACAUAUCUAUCACUUACUCUCACUAUUUCCUUAUUAUUUGGUGAACCGCUUAGUGGAAACAAUCUAUAGAAGAAAAAUGUGUUGGAAACUAAUCUUGACAUGUUUUUCAUCCAUGCGUUAGUUGUGAACGCGCAUGAGAAGAUUAAUCAAGCUACAUGCAUGUGUGAAAGGGUUACAUGCAUGUGUGUGAAUGCAGUGCAUGCAUGCGCGUAUGGAGAAGACUAGGAUCUGCAUGCAUAUGGAAGCUUAGGGAGUUAUGUGUUACUCAAAGAGUCUCUAGACAAUGUGAAUCGAACGUGUCUUGGUACACUGGUAGAAAACUGAGUAUUAGUCCCAGUUGGAACGUUGCAAAUCUCCCAAAAAACCAUCCGGGAUAAAGCAAUCGAGAUAAAAGGGGGUGUCUUUUAUCCCAGGUCCCUCAACCGGGACUAAAGACACCCUUUAGUCCCAGUUGGUAAUACCAACCAGGACUAAAUGGUUUUGCAAAAAAAAUUAAAAAAUAAAUAAAUUCCUGUGGGGUCCUAGGGAGGCCUCCCCGCGACAAGCCACAAGUCAUGCGAUUUUCACGCGAAAUAUGCGCAUGCGCGGCUCGUGGGAUUCGAACCCACGACCUCAAGCCUCGCGCGUAGCUUCCUUGCCAUCCAACCUACACAUCAUAUCUAACUAUAUAGGGGAUCCAAUCCUUUUAUACUAACUUGUGGGGAACCCUUUAAUCCCGGUUGGAGAUACCAAACGGGAUAAAAGACCCCCUUUUAUCCCGGUUUGCAUUACAAACUGAGAUAAAAGGGUCUGGAACAUUUAUUCCUUCCCCGGAGCACAUGUGGGGGACCAUUUUAUCCCAGUUGGAAACACCAACCGGGAUAAAAGACCCUAUUUUAUUCCGGUUGGUAUUACAAACCGGGAUAAAAGGGUCCGAGGCCUUUAGUUCCUUUUCAGCCACCCGUGAGGGACCCUUUUAUCCCGGUUGGAGUUUCCAACCGGGAUAAAAGACCCCAUUUUAUCCCGUUGGUGUUGUGAGCUUUAGUCCCGGAUGAUAACACCAACCGGGAUUAAAAGGGUGACCUUUAGUCCUGGUUAUUCUUACCAUCCGGGACAAAAGGGUCCCCCACAGGUAGCUAAUUUUUUCACCCGGGACUAAAGGGUCCCCCACGGGUGGCUGAUUUUUGAACUGGGACAAAAGGUAACUUUUAGUUCCGGUUGCAAAUACCAACCGGGAGUAAAGCUCUGCGAACGCCCUUUUGUACCAGCCUUCUUUAAACCGGGAUUAAAAGGAAGCGCAUCGAAAGUUAGUUCUCUACUAAUGGUAGUGUGAAACCCGGUAGUUCCUCAGCUUCUCCUGCUUCGAAUCUGAACUCCCCUCCCCGUGCUGACAGAAAAAGGGGUAUUUAUACCCUAGAGACGCCAUGGUAUAAAAGAGAAGUGGGCGAGGUGAAAGCCCAUGCCGAUCGGCCUAGGUGGGUCCAAGCCGAUCGACCUGGCCCUUCCUUUCAUCCCCAAUUGCUCAAUGGAAACUCUCAUUUCAUCAAGUCUCUCAAAGCCUAUGCUAGAACAUUGUCAACCUAUUCUACUUACAAACAAGUGGUAGGCUUAUCUGGAUCUUGGUAGGUAGAAACAGUCCUUGCAAAGUAUAAUAGUCAGAAUAUUAUCAAAUUAGGAAACACUUCUAUUGGGUUGUCAAAAAGGUCAUGGAGAAAUAGUUGCUUAUAGAGAGAGAAUGGAACACACACUUUUUUAGAUGGCGGACAUGUGCAAGGGAAAAUAGGUGAUCCCGAGACACAAAUGAAGUUAUUGUUAUCGAGUUGCAUAUGGUUAGAAAAUUUUAGUGUUAACCCUGCUCUUAAUCAUAUGUAACAAGACAUGGCACUCCAUUUAGAUGUUCAAUUAAUAUUCUAGCUUAUUAUUAUGGAGGAUAGACAUUUUUCAAUGAUGAACAAGCCACAAAGAAUUUAGAACAAUGCUCUCAAAUUUAAAUCAACUUCAGAACUUUUCUUUCAAUGGAGCAUAAUUUUCAAACAGGACUAGAUCAACAUCAGCAACAGAAUUCUUGCAAUUGCUCAAUGGAAACUCUCAGCUCAUCAAAUCUCUCAGAGCCUAUGCUAGAACAUUGUCAACCUAUUCUACUCAUAUAAACAAGUGGUAGGCUUAUCCGGAUCUUGGUAGGUAGAAACAGUCCUUGCAAAGUAUAAUAGUCAGAAUAUUAUCAAAUUAGGAAAUACUUCUAUUGGGUUGUCAAAAAGGUCAUGGAGAAAUAGUUGCUUAUGGAGAGGGAGAGACUGGAACACACACUUUUUUAGAAUGUUGACAUGUGCAAGGGCAAAUAGGUGAUCCCGAGACACAAGUGAAGUUCUUGUUAUCUAGUUGCACAUGGUUGGAAAAUGAGUAUGGAUUUACCUUUAGGGGACUGGGAAAUUUAUGAAGCUCAAAGAACUAUUGAGAAUUUUUAUUAUCAUCUUUCUUUUUGCUCUUUUUCUUCUUUUUCUCAUCUCAUUUUUAAUUUUAUUUUUUAAUUUUUUUCUUUUGCUUCCUUAGAACUUUUUGCAACAUAAUACUUACUUAGCAGUGGUCAGAGAUAACGCGAUGACUCCAACCCCCAUGCUUGAACGAUGCUCGUCCUCGAGUAUGAAAGAGAGAACUAUUGUGACCCUUUUGAGAUUCAUUUGAUGCUUUCAUGAUCAAGAUCACCUGCACUCCACCUAUAUAUGCUAAACUCCUACACUAGUAGUUCACAACAAUUAUCACCCAUCCAUUCCACAAAAUAAAUACUCCACUACAUAUGUUGAUUUCUCUCAAGUUAUCAUUACAAAAGAAACAUGGGCUAUUGAAAAAGAGAGGGACACAUGAAGGUCCCAGUAUAGAAAAAAAUAUGAACACAUGAAGGUCCAAGUAUUAAAAAAAUGAAGAAAAAAAGGAGUCGGACACAUGAAGGUCCAAGUAUGUGAAUAAAGUGGAAGAUAGCCAUGUUCUCAAUAUUAAAUAUGUCCAAAGGGAGAGAGAUUAUAUAAAAUGGAGUUUCCAUACAUUCCCUAUCCACCACCCACAUAUUCACACACAUGCACAUCUUGAUCUGAUUGUAUGACUUGUUUUCUCCUUAAAUCCGGUUUUUGAAUUUGCAAUAUAUGUAAUACAAGUAUGCUUUAUUUUCAUCCCCUACCUUGAGCUCCACAAAAAGCUUUAUUAGAAGUAGGAAGGAAAAGAGGCAAACAAAUGCCUCGGUAAGGAACCAUACACAUUGAGCGAUCUGAGAUAAUCAUUCGAGGAGCAAGUCUAUGCUUUGUUCUGAGAAUAUUUCAAAAACCUAAGAUAUCUGAGUACGAGAAGUUUGUUACUUCUCUUCUUCCUUUUUAUAUAUGUGCUCUUUUAUUGUACACAAUACUAAGCUAUACUACUGUUCAAAAAGGACUAGUAUACAAAUAUUUGACGGUUAAGAUUAAUUGUAUACUACUGAAACCUUCACCUGUGGUAUGGGUAGUAUACAUGACUAGUAUAAGGGUAUUAUGGUAAAAGAACACAAAUGAUAUCACUAAAAUUUUAUUUUUGACACUAGCAUAAAGUUUAAAAUGCCAUUUCAUUUGAAAUAUCACUUUUCACAUGUAAUAAUUACUAAAUCAUGAAUAUUUAUAUCUUAUAUAUACUUAUAUACUACUAAGUAGUAUAAGCAGCAGGGGAUUACCCCUCGUGUUCCUAAAGAUAAAAUAGAUUACAACUCCAGCGGACGUGCUACAAUUCUUCAGGGCGCCGUGCCUGCCCUGAAAAAUUCCUGAAUGAGGGACGAUUUGCCGAUGAAUACUGCUGAAAUCAACAAGCUGGCCAAGAGCCUUAAAAAGUGGUUGAAUGUUGAAAGCUAAAGUAAGCAAAGCGCACUUGAUCAGUCCAACACACAACUUCCACAAAUUAAACAUGAGCUAGCACGAAGCAGUUCAUCACGAGAUCGACACACGACUGUGCGGACAUGAAGUUGUUGAUGCAUGCGGUCUCUGAUCAUCACGUACCAGCAGGCGGUGAUUUACCAUUACCGCCUGCCACUGCUGGCGGAGGAGACGGUGCCGGCGGAGUGCUCCCCCAUGAGACCGGGUACUCCAGUUCUUCUUCCGUCUUGCAAGGGACCUUGCCGCCGUCCGGGGUGCUUGCAUCGCUACGGAGGAAGGUAACCGGCCAGCAGUAAUAGGUCUUGUUGAUGAUCUUCUCCGAGUGAGCACGCUUGUAGCUGGUCUCCACCACCACCAUCACGGGGAAGCUGCGGUGGUGCCUGUCGGAGAGGUAGUGCACCGACGCGUAUUGUCCUUGCCUGUAGAGGCUUACCCACCUCCUGUACCUGUGCGAGCUGUGCGGCUGCAGGUCGAAGAUGACGUUCGUCUCCGGCUGGUACCAUAAGAACUGCACCAUCUCCGUGAAGGAAGCAUUGGGGUUGUCUAUGACCCUGAUGAUGCUGAUGUUGCACUGGAUCUGGCCGCGGCCGCUGGGGUUGAGGGCGUCGACGAUGAUCAGCAUCGGCACCUCUCCCGCUGGCGAGUACACAGACGUGGUGUUGUCGUAAAUCCACCACCAUUGUUGUGUCUGGACAUAGCCGUAGCUCUGGAGGUCCAUCUCCACGGGGCGGUUGACGAAGACGAUCACCAUCACCACCACCGCGACGGCGAGCACGGAGACCACGACGGCCACCAGUGAGCGCACCGUGGCUAGGAAGGGGAAUGUAGUGUUCUGGCCAGCGCGGCAUGUUGCCAUUUUUUCUCACGUAGGUAGCUAGGGCGGUGGAUGAUGGACUUGUCCGCUAGGGACCUGCAGCCAUAUAUACACAUAAAUUACUGACCGAAUGUUCAUUCCCUUUUUUUGGUUAGAUGACUCAGAUUAGUCUACCGGUUAACAGGGGGCUUGGCUAACAAUUAGGCUGCCUAUUAACCUCCUGUUAGGAUCAGCCAUGGCAAAGUUUUGACGGUUAACGAUCUCCCUAUAUAUCUAAACAAGUUCUUAGGUCAUGUUCCGUUCUUUAGGAGCUCCUAAAAUUCAUGUCACAUUCGAUGUGACAUGAAUUUUAGUCUGGACUAAAGAACCAAACACCCCAUUACUCCCCUCCCCCUCCCACCUCCCACACCAAUGUUCAAAAUUUUGGCCGAAAUUUCAUGAAAUUUGAUCUUUUGGUAGUGACCGAAAUUACUAUUUGCCCGAAAUUUCGGUAUGUCAACCGAAAGAUGCACUUUUUGCACCAAAUUUCACAUGAAAUUUCAUGAAAUUAGGUGUUUUCGAUGGGGACUGAAACUUUUCUGAAAACAAAAUCCCAAUCCCUGCCCCACACCGUCCAAGUAGAAUUAGGACACACUCUUUAUACAGUGAUAAUUCAGGCUUCUGCCAACCACAGGAACCGGAGUUGUUUAAUUUUUUGGCAAAAUGUCGUGCAGAUGCUUACAUACAAAGCAUUCGUACAUGCACCAAUUAUGAGUACUUCUGCAACACCGUGUCAUUAUGCUUUCAAUAUCUGGUCUUUAAAAACCUUAGAUUUACCUAUGAUGACUUGGUUAAUUAAUCUCAAGAUCAUCUGCUACCUAGAGUUUUGGUGGCACUGGAUCAUAGGGCACAGUUGUAUGUGUAUUCAUCAGAAUGAGUGCAUGUGCAUCUAUAUGAUGUCCGUGUUUUUUUUAAAAAAAUAAACCUGCGCAGGUCAUGAUGCUUCCACUAUCCUGUCUUAUCUGUUUGGAUACCAGGGGCUAUACUUUAGCUCCUGUCAUAUCAGAUGUUUGAUACUAAUUAGAAGUAUUAAAUAUUGACUAAUCACAAAACUAAUUGCACAGAUGGAGGCUAAUUCGCGAGACGAAUCUAUUGAGCCUAAUUAGUCCAUAAUUUGACAAUAAGGUGCUACAGUAACCAUUUGUUAAUGAUAGAUUAAUUAGGCUACGUCUCGCGAGUUGGUCCAGAAUUUGUGCAAUUAGAUUUAAAAUUAGCUCAUGUUUAAUUCUCCUAAUUAGCAUCAAAACAUUAACUGUGACAAGGGCUAAACUUUAGCCAAGGACAACCAAGCAACAUGCACGCCUAUAUAUGCUCUUUGAUCAGAAAAGGAAAGAAAUAUUCCCAAAAAAAAGGAAUAUGUGCUGCGGUCCAUACACGUUCUUUGAAGAAAUAUUCCAUACUUAUUUUAUGUCAUUGUAGAAGGACUUUGAAUAAGGUUCGAUGGAGUCACGUGGCUGCGUCUGCUGGCAGCUGAUCGAUGAGUCAUAUUACUAUUGGACUUGUGUUUUGGAUGCUUAUGUUUUGGAUUACAUUCAGAAUGUACGGGCAGGGGCGAAGCCACGUAUAAGAUUUUUAUUUACCACUAAUUAGACUCAAAAUUACCAUAUAAUCCUAGCUUGUAAAUUAAAAUUUACAAGUCUCUUGAGCAGUGCACCACGGUCAAUUCAGCGCUAGCUUCGCCCCUUUGUACGGGGAUUAUGCAACCCAGAAACGACGACUAAGAGCCUCAUUUCCGGACAUGCGUCCCUAUGAUCCUUUAUAUACUCCAAAUGUCUGAGUGGCCGGCUCAUACUUGCCAUGGCGAUGUCUAUCCCUCCUCUCAAAGGAUGGAGCAGCAAGCUCCUUGUAGUUGCGGCCAUGAUAGGAACCCUGGUCGUGGUCGCCAUCGCCGCCGUCAUCAUCGUCGGCCUCACUCCGCCACUGGUCUUCUUCUCCAUCCAAGAUGCAAGCCUCCAAGGCGGGCAGUUGAAACAGCAAAAAUUCUACAACUUCACCCUCUAUGCCAACAACACCAGCCGGCGCAUGGAGGUGCACUAUACCAACCUCAACACCGAGAUCUGGAUAGCCCCGUCUGAGUGGUACCCGGCCGAGGUGAGCAUGAGCGGGUUCGAGCAGCCACCGGUGAGCAUCAACGGGUACAAGCAGCCACCGGACAACGUGACCAAGGUCGCCGGGUGGGCCGAGUUCUAUCAGACGACGUCGUUGACGGCGGCGGCGCAGGGCGGCGGCGCGGGGAAUUGGCCAAACUGCACUGUGGUGGUGAUGGCCAAGGUGUUGUUCAAGGUCGGGCUGGCACGCACACGGCCGUACCACAUCAGGGUGUUCUGCUUCCCCGUCAACUUCCUCAAUACGACUCGGUACGCCAAUUGUACAUACUGAUCUCGAUCGACGUGUAUGCAUGCAUCCAUGUUGUUGAACGUGUACAUGACUGUUGUGACGUGCUCCUUUACCAUAGCUUCAGAUCCUGACUUGUAGCAUUGACAGAGUAUGCGUCUAUUAUGGCAGAGAGCCUCUUGUACAUGUAUUUAACUCAAUCCAGAGAUCAAUAAUGAAAGGAUGCGGUUUUUUUUUAGGAAACAGGAGGGGAAGUACCCCUGCUGAUUAUAUAUUAAUAUAUAGUUGACAGUACACUAGUGAUACAAACCUUGUUUAUGACACAAAGAAAGAAACAAAAAAGAUUAAGAAAAUUACAGUGAAUGCUCUAACCAUUGAACCAUUGAUUGUUUCCAAGACUCUCUGACACGAAAUACUACCAAACUGAAAAUCUGUUUGAACCGUUCCUUUGCAGCUUGAUAAGCUGGCACUAGGGCCUUUGAAGAUGCAGUCAUUGCGUGUCAUCCAAAUACUCCAGCUCAUAAUUACGAUAAUUUCCAUAAAGAAAGGCACUUGCAACUGGUUCCAGCUCAUAAUUACGAUAAUUUCCAUAAAGAAAGGCACUUGCAACUGGUUCCAGAAGCUAACGAGAAUAUCAUAAGGUUGUUGCUGCAAAUCCACAAAGAGGCCGAGAUUGAUCCAACACUCCUGUGCGAAUGGACAAUCUAGUAAUAGAUGAAAGAGGGUUUCUUCCUUGUUGUGGUUCCAGAGGACGCAGUUAUAGGAAGGGAGAGCCAUCUGCUUUCGUUUAAGCUCCACUGGCGGCAGAGCCGCAUCCUGUGUCGGCUCAUCCGCGGCAUCCUGUGGGUGCGAAGCAUGCUAAGCCACCCUAACCUCUGCUUCAAGCAGCUCUCCGUGCUAGGGUUCUUCCAACUGUCGUCGCCUUCGCCGUUCAUGGUGCCAACCAAGGCAGUGCCCAAGGAGGUAAUUAAAGAUUUCUUCAUCGGUAAUGUCGCGCGGUUCUUGGUUUCAAGUACUGCCUGUAUUUUUUUAUUUUUUAUUUUUGCCUUGUCAUUUGGUCCGUCAGAACUAAGUUUGUCGAAUUCCUUCUGAAUAAGCUUGAGACGCUGGUCGUGCUUGUUUGUUGGUGUGCCUACGUGCCGCGUAGUUGUCGUAGCAAAUACUUUCGGUUCCAUAUCGCCUGUGACUGGACCGGGAUGUUCUUCAAUCUGUUAUGGCCCUGUAUUCUGUUUUUAUAUGGAUCCCACAUAUAAUCAAUUUCCAACAUUUGCUUUCCUCUGUACAUUCAGCAUGUUGUCUUUUUUUUUUUUUUGAAGCGCAUUCAGCAUGUUUCGCAGAUGUUUGGAAGGAUGAUCCAAAUUCUGAAUGCACAGACCCUGUUGGGAAAUUGAUUUCCCCACUGCGUGUCUGUGUUUACAUGCAUCUUCUAACUGUGGUUCCAAUGGCCCGUCUAGGCCCAUACAGGCCUAUCAGGUGGAUGGGCCGGCCGGCCUCCUGGAUCAACAAGACCGGUAUCCCUUCUUGGCCCGUCCGCCCCCGCUGUAGAAACAAAACCAGAACCAGCAGAUCCCCCGGGCCCUGAAGAGAAAGACGAUGGCAACAGAAGAAAGAGCUCGCGACGAAGCCGGCGAAAGCCCCCCAAACCCUCCCCAGCCCAGGCAGCGGCGGCGCGACGAGAUGGCCGACGACCCCACCGCCGGCGGCGGGAACACCGUCGAGGACGUCGUCCGCGCGGAGGUGAGCAUCCCCGGCCGGCCCUCGUCCUCUUUGCUGCGAGUGCCGGGGAAUCCGAUCUCCGCCCGGGCCGACCUGGCUCUGCUCGGCUGCCUCCCGAUCUGCCCGCGCGGGUGGCGGCGCCUCGCCCCUAGUUCGGUUUCGGGUUAGAGGUGUCCCAGCGUGGUGUCUGGGCGGGGGGAAUCCGGCGACGAGGCGUUCUCCCUCCCGUUGGCUCGGUUGGCGCGGACGGACGCGGUGGGCCUGGUUGGGGAAAUCUGUGCCCGUUUCGAUUUGGGUGUAGAAUAGGUAUACGUCUUCAAAAUUGAUAGAAUUAGGCCCGUUUAUAAAAAAUUGAUAGAAUCUGCCUGCAAGGCGCGGUUUCCCAGCUGGCCCGUCCUCAUUUACUAAUCCCCACCAAGCUUAGCAUCUUUCCUUUCGAUGAAAUAAAAAAAUGUUAAUGUCAACAGCUCCUCGAUUACCGCAUAGAUUAACACCUCUUUAGCCUUUGUGGCACGGCACCUAAUACUUUCCUCACCUUUGCAGUGCCGUGGGCCCGCCACUUCCCUUCUGGCCCACAAGUCAUGGAGGCGCGCGAGGAGGGGUAUCGGUUUCACGAUGAUUAAUCAAGAAAGGCCCAAGACACGUCACGCUGGGGGUGGGGGAGGGAAGACACCGCACCGCAUGCACCUGCAUGCACCUUUGCCUUUGCUUUUCCCCGGCGUCCUAGGGACCUCGAGCUCGCCCGCCUAGGAGCUCCAGCAGCCGGGCCGCUCCGCCGCCGGUGCGGCAACCACGCCGCCGUCAGACCACCUCGCGCGGCCACCCCGCGCCGGUGCGCCGUGCGCGGCGGUGCUGUCCCGCCGCUCCUCCGCCUACCGUCCUCCUGCGCCACCACCAGCUAGCGCACCGGCAGCACCGCGAGCUGCCGCGCCGCCCCGACGACGUUGGUCAUUCCGGAGCCCGGUGUCGUCACCAGCGUCGCCGGAGAAGGUAAUUACCUGAAGCAAUUUGUAGAAACGAAUAGUACUGGUUCGUUCACUUAUUUCAUUGCUCAAACUUAAUUUCUGCUUAUUAGAGUUUGUGCCUUGUCGUGAGACUAAAUUAGCUGCUUAUUCUGCAGGUUGCAUUCAGGAGAUCGAGCUGCCGGAUCGGAGGAGGUCAUAUCAGCCGUGUUGGUUGUGCACUUGUGUUGCUGCCGGCGGAGAAGGAACCAUGGUGAUCGGGCCACUGAUCUCCAUAAUGUAGUUGAACUAAAAUAAUCCCCUUCUGAGUUUAGCAUCUUUCCUUUGGAUGAAAUAAAAAAUUGUUAUUCCGGAUCCGUAAUCUCAACUGCUCCUCCAUUACACAUAGCAUCUUUCCUUGAGUUUAGCAUAUUAUUUCAACAUUUCAAAACUCUAGAUUCAACAUUUCUUGAAACUUAGUGCAACAUUUUAGAUAAAUCGAUUCAACAUUUAGCAUAGUAUUGUUGAAAAUGUUGAGCUAGUAUAUGUUAUUUCAACAUUUCUGCAAAGCUAGCUCAACAUUGAGGUAAUGUAGUUCAACAUUUUGUGUAGUAUUGUUAAAAUAGUGUAUCUAAAAUGUUGAGCUAAUACACAAAAAGUGUUGAGCUAGUAUAUAUUAUUUAAACAUUUCAAAAGUCUAGAUUCAACAUUUAUGGAAACCACAUUUUAGAUAAACUGGUUCAAUAUUUUGCAUAGCAUUGUUGAAAUAGUGUACCUUAAACGUUGAGCUAAAUAUAUAAAAAUGUUGAGCUAAUAUAUCUAAAAUGAUGAAACUAAGAAAAUAAAAAUGAAAAAAAUAUAUACAGUCAUGUGGGAUCUUAAUCCGUUAGAAAAAUUUCGAAAAGGCUCAUAGUUUAAUCGGAAUUAAAAUUAAAUGCACCGUUAGAGAGAUAAGUAAGUUGAAAAGUUCGAAAUCAAAACUCACAUCACCCAACAAGUAGCUGAAACCUAUCCGUCCUUUCAGCAGCUCCACCCACCUCGCACCAGCAUACUAGCACAUGGUGGUCCCCAGCCACCUCGAUGCCGUUGCGUCGAAGGAGAGGGCGGAACCGACGAGGGUCGCCGGCGGCUCCCACCCCGGCCGAACGCGUCCUGACCGACUCCGGCAGGGGGCGGCAGGGCCUCCCGCAGGUGAGCGCUUCCAUCCGUGGUCCGCAGCAGUAAUGUCUGAUUUUUCGCUUUCUUCUCCAGAAUUCGUCGCAUAUACUUAUAUGUCAUCGUCCUCUUAUUUUUCGCUUUCUUCUCCAGAAUUCGUCACAUAUACAAAGCUUUCACGAUUUCGAUGAGAGAUUUGGUCAUGUUUGUGGCCACGGAGACACAGUCUAGCUAGCGUAGUGAAAAGUGGCACUAGUGAUUGCAAUACGCACGGAAAUUGGUUUUUUGUCUGUUCUUUCUCCAUCUCAAUCAUCAAUCAAAUGGGGGUAGUCGUCGGUACGCCGGGUGGGCCGAGUUGGCCAAACUGCACAGUGGUGGUGGCAGCCAAGGUGUUGUUCAAGGUCGGGCUGGCACGCACACGGCCGUACCAUAUCAGGGUGUGUCCUGCUUCCCCGUCAACUUGGGGAGGUGGGCCAAGCGACAGCUAGCUGUGGUGUGGUGGGCAUCCAGCAGGCGCGCAGGGCCCAGCCGUGGCCGUGAUUAUGCGCCGGGGUGAGAGAAGAAGACACGGCACCUAAUACUUUCCUCACCUUUGCAGUGCCGUGGGCCCACCACUUCCCUUCUGGCCCACAUGUCAUGGAGACACGUCAGGCUGUGGUGGACAAGGGAAGACACCGCACCGCACGCACCUCCACCACUUGCCUUGCCUUUGCCUUCGCUUUUCCCACUUGUGCUGUGGGAAGACACCGCAUACACCUCCAGCUCGAGCUCGCCCGCCUAGCUAGGAGCUCCAGCAUCCGGUCCGCUCCGCCGCCGGUGCAGCAACCACGCCGCCGUCAGACCGCCUCGCGCGGCCACCGGUCGUCCCCGCGAUACACCGCCGCCGGUGCGCCGUGCGCGGCGGCGCUGUCCCGCCGCUCCUCCGCCUACCGUCCGCCUGCGCCACCACCAGCGCACCGGCAGCACCGCGAGCUGCUGCGCCGCCCCGACGUUGGUCCUUCCUGAGCCCGGUGUCGUCACCAGCGUCGCGGAGAAGCUAAUUACCUGGAGCAAUUUGUAGAAACAAAUAGUACUGGUUCGUUCACUUAUUUCUUUGCUGAAACUUAAUUUCUGCUUAGAGUUUGUGCCUAAAUUAGCUGCUUAUUCUGCUGGUUGCACGCAGGAGAUCGAGCUACGGGCGUACGGCCGGAUCGGAGGAGGACAUAUCAGCCGGGUUCCUGUUGGUUGUGUACUUGUGUUCCUGCCGGCAGAGAAGCAACCAUGGCCGAGUUACUGAUCGGGCCACUGAUCUCCAUGGUGAAGGAGAAGGCAUCCAGCUACCUGCUGGACCAAUACAAGGUGAUGGAAGGCAUGGAGGAGCAGCGCAAGACCCUGGAGCGCAUGCUGCCAGCAAUCCUGCAAAUCAUCCAGGAUGCGGAGGAGAAAGGAGCCUCCCGAUCUAAAGUUGCAGUUUGGCUUAAAGACCUCAAGACAGCGGCCUAUGAGGCCAACGACGUCUUUGAUGAGUUCAAGUACGAGGCGCUUCGGCGAGAAGCCAAGAAGAAGGGCCACCAAAGCAAGCUUGGAGCGGAGGUAGCAAGACUCCUAGUCCCCGCUCGUAAUUCCAUUGUAUUCCGUUACAGGAUGGGCAAGAAGCUAAGCAGGAUUGUGCAGACCAUCGAGGCCCUGGUCACCGAGAUGAAUAAAUUUGGUUUCAGACACUUGCAGCAAGCACAGCCAUCAAGGCAGUGGCGACAGACAGAUUCCAUAAUCAUUGACUCCGACACAGAUAUUCUUAGCAGAUCUAGAGAUCGGGAGAAGAAGAAAAUCGUGGGGAUGCUCCUUGAUCAAGCUAGCAACAUGGAUCUCAUGGUUCUUCCAAUUGUUGGGAUGGGUGGGAUGGGCAAGUCCACCUUUGUGCAACUCAUUUACAAUGACCCUGCAAUCGAGAAGCACUUUGAGCUUCGGAGGUGGUGCUGCGUGUCAGAUGAUUUCGAUGUCAGUACCAUUGCAAGCAACAUCUGCCAGACCAAUGAGAAAUAUCGUGAAAAAUCAUUGCAGGAGCUCCAGAGUACAAUAAGUGGAAAAAGAUACCUCAUUGUGUUAGAUGAUGUAUGGAAUCGGGAUGCUGAUAAGUGGGGAAAACUAAAGACCUGCCUUAAGCAGGGUGGCAAGGGCAGUGCGGUACUAACAACAACUCGUGAUGCAGAAGUGGCUCGCAUUAUGACCAUGGGUGUAGCUCAAGCCCAUAAUAUCGAGAAUCUGAGUGACGAGCAUUUAAAGGAAAUUGUCCAGAGCAGAGCAUUCAGCUUGCAAAAUCCAAAUAUGGAAGAGCAAGAUGGCAUUCUCAGUGGAUUUGUUCGUCGAUGCGUUGGAUCUCCCUUGGCUGCCAAAGCCUUUGGCUCUAUGUUGAGUAACAGGACUAGUGUAAAUGAAUGGAAGGAUGUAUUAGCUAAAAGUGACAUUUGUAGUGAGAAAACCGGAAUUUUACCGAUCCUCAAGCUCAGUUUUGAUGACCUAUCCUCAGAUAUGAAGCAGUGCUUUGCAUUUUGUGCUUUAUUUCCUAAAGAUUAUGAGAUUGAUGUGGACCUCUUGAUUCGACUGUGGAUGGCACAUGACUUCAUACCUGUGCAGGAGGAUGACAAUCUAGAAACCAUAGGAAAAUAUAUUUUUGAGGAGCUAACUCGGAGGUCAUUCUUUCAAGAUGUCAGGCAAACACUUCAAUUUGACUAUUUUGGAAGCAGGUUGUCGCUUCGUAAGUCAACCAUAUGCAAGAUACAUGAUCUCAUGCAUGACAUUGCUCUAUCUGUUCUGGGGAAAGAAUGUGUCACUAUAGUUGGUAAGCCGAGCGUCAACAAGCUGUUGCUAAAUCCGACCCGCCACGUCUUCUUAUCACUAUAUGGUUUCAAUCCUACUUUCUGGAAAGAACAGGUUACAAGUCUACUAGAUCAUCUAUUGAAGAAACAAACUGCAAUGCUCCAUACGUUGUUUAUCAAAGAUUAUGGUCAACCCCUUGAUAUAUCAAAGUACACUUCACUGCGAGCAUUACACCUUCCAGCAAAUGAAGAGCUAAGGUAUCCUAAUCUGUCGCCACAUGAACAGCUUACAAGACACAUACAACACCUAAGGUAUCUUAAUCUGUCAUCACAUUGGUUCGAGAAACUUCCUGAAGGUAUAAGCAUUAUGUAUCAUCUACAAACGUUGGACCUCUCUCAUUGCAAAUACCUUCGUCACCUUCCAAAGGAUAUGAAGUAUAUGGCAAACCUCCGACACCUCUAUACCCAUGGAUGCAUAUCAUUGACAUGCAUGCCUCCAGGACUUGGACAGAUCACUUCUCUGCAGACUCUAACAUAUUUUGUUAUUGGUGAUGGCUUGGGAUGUAGUACUAUUGGGGAACUUCAAAACUUAAACCUUGGUGGAGAGUUAGAGUUAAGUGGUCUGCAAAAUGUAACAGAAGUGCUUGCAAAAGCAGCCAGUCUUGAAAAUAAAGAGAGACUCACACACUUAUCUCUCGCGUGGAAUGAUGAUGCCCGUGAGAAACCAGAUUCUCAUAAUGAGGUGUUAGAUGCCCUUAAACCUCAUCACCGGCUAGAGAUGCUAAGAAUAAAGUCCUACAAAGGCACCAAAUUACCGUCAUGGAUAACAGAUCUUAGUCUGUUGCAGCACUUGACUGAGCUCCAACUGGUUGGUUGUAGGCUGUGCGAGGAAUUUCCUCAAUUCUGCCAUUUCAAAGCCCUUGAAGUUCUGUAUUUGAAAAAGUUGGACAAAUUGCAAAGCCUAUGCAGUCAUAUGGUGUCUACGCCAUUUCCAGCACUGAAGCAACUCCAGUUACAUGAUUUGGAGAGCUUGGAGAGAUGGGUCGCAACAGAAGGAAAAGAAGAUGAAUUAUCCUUUCCUGUACUUGAGGAGGUUGAAAUAGAGAACUGUCCAAAGUUGACUAGCCUACCUGAAGCACCAAAGCUCAAGGUUGUAAAGCUGGAUGAAGGCAAGCCGCUGCUCUCCUUAGGAAUAGUUAAAUCAAGGCACAUGUCUUCAAUUUCUAAGCUACUACUGCGUGUCCGUGACACAGAAGCACUGCCUCAGAUAGAUUAUAAUUGGGAUUCAUCACAGAAACUGGAACUAUCUUUGGGUGGCACAGAAGCCGCACCUCUGUCACAACUGAGCAUAUUUGGCUGCAACUUUUUAUUCGUAUCAAGCCACUCACAGCUAACACCUGGGGUCUGGAAAUGGUUUGAACAUCUUGCAGUUUUAACAAUUGCAAAAUGUGAUGUGCUCAUCUACUGGCCAGAAGAAGUGUUCCAAAGCUUGGUAUCUUUGAAGUACUUGUUCAUUUUCUCCUGCAACAAGCUAAUAGGGCCCACACAAGCGAAAGGUGACAAACCUACACAAACAACAGAUCAAGUCCUGCCACAUCUAAACAUGAUACGUAUACACAAUUGUGAAAGCAUGGCACAGCUCUUCAUUCUUCCCCCAUCUAUCAGAAUUAUUCAUAUUUUUGAGUGCCCUAAGCUUGAGUUCAUAUGGGGAAAAGAGGAGCAUCUUGACACAUAUGCAUCGCUGGAACAUUGCCGCGACCCUGCAUCCACCACUGGUAACCUAGAGCAAUCGCCGUCUCCAAUUAUUCGCCGUCCAUGCCUUGUAGAUCUAACUAUAAGAGGAUGUGAUAGCCUGGUAACACUUCCAAAUCUACCACCGUCCCUCAAGGAAUUAUUCAUCCGGAAGUGUGAGAAGCUCUGCUCUGUGUCAGGAGACCUGUGUGCACUCGAGACCCUACAGAUUGUUAACUGCAAUAAGUUACAGUCAGUCAAUUCCUUGGGAGACCACCCAUCAUUAGAAACACUGUUUCUUUCUGGCUGCCGAUGCCUUGCAUCUUUAGGAUGUGAUGGUGGUCGUGGGAGUUACUCUGCUCUUCAGUGCCGUGAGAUCGAAGACUGCCCAGCCAUAGAUAUGAAGCAGUUUUACUAACGCCAUCAAACAGCUGCUUGACAGCUUUGAAUAUGAAGACGUAUCACACGUUCAUUCAAGCAGCUCUGAUGAAGGUACGACCUUUCACUUUCCUCUUAUUCAAUUUGUUUCCUUCAAAUUUCCCUUCUUUGCAUGCCCUCCUAUUUUGUUGACGAUCUGGUUUAUAGAUGGGCUUGCGGGGUGGGAUUUUGGGGUUUCAUCUUCGUUCCGGCUUUUAGACGGUCCUUUCUCACUGACGUGACCCCACAUAUAUUUUAGUUUAUACGGCUAUUGGUUUUCAGUCUUCGAUGCAGUUGAAGUGCAUAGGGAAAUUCUGGAAACAUGUUCUAUCCCUUGGUGUUGAGAUCAGCUGAUGCGGAAUCACUGAAGUACUACUGAAACGAGAUCCUGAUCGGUCUCAGUUGUGGAGAGCAAUUUGUGAUGAAUGGAAGCAGUCCCAAGGCUUCAAGAACUCAUGGAGUCGUGCUGUACCAUUCUCCACUGCCAGGGCCUAAACUAGGUACAUGGAAGGCGCACAGGUUGGGAUAGUAAAAAACCAUACCUUUGUCUGUGUUAGAGCAACUCCAAGAGGCUGCUAAUCUUACCCCAAUACCUUUUUUAGGAAAAAAAAAGAGAAAAAAUGAACUCCAACAAUCCACCUAAACCUUCCCCAAUUUUUUAGCGACGCUAAAAAACAGCCUGCCAUCGCGUAUAUUUUAGCGUUGGCGUUCCUUCCCCAAUCCUGAUUCCCGCACACCCGCGCGUCCCUUCCGAUGGGCCCAAUACGAUGACGUGGCCUGUGUUUGAAAUAUUGGGGGCUAUUUAUUAGCGAUCUGUUGUGGACUGAUAUGCUUUUGGGGGAAAUUUUUUUUGGGAGAACCCCCAAUACAUAGUUUUGGGGAAGAAUUUUUUAGGAUACUCUUGGAGUUGCUCUUAGAGCAUCUUCAAGAGUCUGCCAAAAAACUCUUCCCCAAAACCACAUCAUCCCACAAUAGAUCCCUAAUAAUAAAUUUUCCAAUAUUUUAAAAUUUGCCACAUCAGCAUGCGUGGACCCUAAGCUGGGCUGCCCCCUUCCCCCGCUGGAGCGUUUUCGCGCUUUCGCACUGUGGCUGCCUGAGCAGGGGUUGGUCUGUGCUGAUUUGCUGAACCAUGCAUAUUAUAUGCACUGGGACUGUCAUGCCCUCAGAAAAGCAUCAUCAUCUACUGGUAUGACGUCAAUUCAGCCUCAAACUCUCAACACUGAAGGCCUUCGAGGACUAGGACUACGCCAGCGCCACCCAUUGAAUCCCAUCCCCAUCUCGGCCACGUGCCAUGCCAUGCCCAGCCGUGGGGCACUGGGCAGCCCACGUGCAGCCACUUGUGGCCACGGACGCCCAGCCAGACCAUCACCCCCAAGAGGAGGAACGCCUUAUCUUUUCACCAUGAGAAAGCAGAGUCUAACGGUCCGUGGGCAAUAGGAAAAUCAGCACCGGCGGACUCCUGUGUUCACCUUCAUAUUUUUCGUGGUCUAUAUUAUGCGAGUUAUAGCAGUCCUAGGGAAUUUGUUUGGUGUCUCGGAGUUGUCAUAUUCCUAUUAAUGAUUGUGACAGCUUUUAUAGGAUACGUACCACCUUGGGGUCAGAUGAGCUUUCGGGGAGCAACAGUAAUUACAAGCUUAGCUAGCGCCAUACCAGUAGUAGGAGAUACCAUAGUGACUUGGCUUUGGGGUGGUUUCUCCGUGGACAAGGCUCUUGGAGUUGCUCUUAAUCAAUUCUCAUUUAGCACUCUGUUGUUAACAUGUUACCCCCAUGCUUUUCAUUUUUUCUGUGCAGACAUGACCCAUUUAUCCUUAAAAGGCAUAAAGGAGGGCACUCACAUGUACGCACGACUGGCAACUGGAAGCUUCGUUGCAAGCCUCUGCUAACGACCAAGUUUGUUUUCACGCCACUAUACCAGCUGCUGGUAAUUCUCUUGUCACUAAUGUCAUCCUGUCAUCCAUCAAAGCCGUGGAGAAUAUGAUGCCACUCUGAGUCCUUCAGUUUGCCACGUGAGCCGAUGAAGCAGAAACAGAUGAUGAUGAUGGAUGAUAUAACUGCGGGGAUGCAGACUUGCUUUCAACGGUCGAAAUGGAGCUACAAAUGAUUAGUCGUAGUCGUGUGUGGUCCUUCCAUCACCUUGUGUUAUUGAUCCCGUUUGUAUGUGUUGCGUUCUCUAUAUCCCUCCAUAGCUUUUCAGUUGUUGUCUCUUUUACGACUAUUUUGAUUCCUCUUUUCCUUUUUAUUAAUAUAACACAAAAAUCCUCUUGCCAUGUUUUUGAAAAAACAAAAUCGUGAGGAUGCUGCUUCAUGAAGCUAGCAACAUGGAUCUCAUAUGGUUCUUCCGAUUGUUGGGAUUGGUGGGAUGGGCAAGACCACCUUUAAUUUGUGCAACUCAUUUAUGACCCUGAUCGUGAUGCAUUUUGAGCUUCAGAGGUGGUGCUGUGUGUCAGAUUCGAAAAUGUUUUUUGACUCUUUCAUCACCGCCUUCAGUAGCUCAUGCCGGUCAGGUCUUCUCCAGUGACCAGUUCCUUCACCUUGGUUGCGCACCCCCUCACCUGGGCUUGCAGCUAGGUCAUAGCCUUGGCAUUCCGCAUCAUCUCAGCCAUGGCAUAGUCUAGUGCUACGUAGGUUGUGUCCGUCCCGGCUUCAAACAUGUCCUUCAUGAACAUAUCCGUAGAACUCCAAUCAAAUUUAACCAAACUAGUCAUGAAACAUGUCAUAUGUACCUCUUGUGAGAAUUAAAUUGGAGGCUUAAAAUCCUUCAAUUAGUAACAGUAAGAAAUUAAUUAAAAUUUGGAGUUUUGUUGCAUACAAGUUGCCAGUCACCAGUACAGAAAUGACCUUUAGUCCUGGUUAGGAAACCUUGGGAAACCUCAAAGAGCUCGGUUUUCCCGACCGGGAUUAAGUAUUCGGGAUUUAGUCCUGUAACACCAUGUGCUUUGCCUUAUAAUGAAAGCCACUAAAAAUUCGAACUUCUAAAAUUUUCCUAUAAACUAAAAUGUGCCUUGCUAUUUCAUACCUCAAAACCCUUUCAAAAUAAAUUUUACAAAACAACCUUCAUCAAAAUUCACCAUAUGCAUUUUAUUGUGCUUGUUUGAGUGUUGUUUGCUUGUGUGCUUUGUUGAAUCUUUUGGUGGCAACCAACCCCUUGACCUCCUUUCCAAAUUUCCCACAAAUCCUUGUUAAACAUCCCUUCGAAUUCCUCAAAUCCAUUCAAACUCCAUUUCAAAUCUCUUCCAAAAUUAUUCAAACCAUUUCCUUGGGUGCAGGCUCAAUUUCCCUCUCCUCUCCUUUCGGCCUGGCGUGGCUUGCUUCUCCUUCUCCCUUUCAGCCCAGCUCGGCCCGCCCCUCCUCGCCUUCUUCUUUCCCGAGCAGGCCACCUCCUCCUCCUCCUUUACUUCCGCACGGCCCGGUCCAGCCCACAACGGCCGCCACCUCUCUCUUCCUCUCCGCACCAGCACCGCCCAUGAGAAUGGCCCGUGACGACCCGGCUCCCACUCCAUGUCAGCAUUGCGUCCGCACACAGCCGCUGAUGAGUAGGUCCCACUCAAUAGCGUCAUCCCCAACCUCGUGUCGUCUUCCCCAAUGCGUCUCGUUGCCGCCGCCUUGUCCCAUCUCCGCCCGUCGCCUAUGCCGUCGUGCCGGCCCCGAAGAAAUAUCUCGCCGCUCCAUCCCAUCAUGGCCCCACCUGUCAUCCCGCACGGUCCUAAAAGAUCUCCGCCGCCCGCUCCACGGACCUCUGUGCACAAUCGACCUCUCGCGGCUAUAAAAGCUGGCGAGCCCCGCCAUCGCUCCCCGCACCUCAAGCUCGAGCUCCCUCCCUCUUCUUCUGCUCGAGCUCGCCUCCUCCCUCUUUAGUCCUCUCCUCCCUCCACCGGAGCACGGCUUCCUCCGAAGCCACGCCUCGCCGAGCCCUGCCCUUCCCUCUUCCUGUCUAGCGCGCCACCGCACAGAACUGCCAGCCAAGCACUAGCGCCGCCACCGUGACAAACUCGAGGAGGACAAAGUGCCGAGCGACGUUGGAUCGGUAACAAGCGGCCCUGAUCUGCCUGAGCUAAUUCGCGUCCCACACCCGAUGACAAGUAGGCCCGAGUCUAACGCCGAAAAUGCCGUCUGUUGGUGACCAGUGGGCACCACAUCAGCAAGCAAGCUCCCAGACAUCACCAUGGCACUGGGAGGGUGCCUCGCAAGCACCACGCGGACACACCCGUAGCAAAUGACACGUCAUCAUGGGUCCACAUGUGAGUUACUGUGUGACACUGUGCGGUCAACAGUCAACACUGACCAGGGACACACCUGGAGUAACUGUGUCGACGGUAAAAUUACUACGCGUACUCAGGUUAGUGUACACGGAAGUCUCGUUUACCCCUUUCCUUGCACAAGCAAGCUCCCAGACAAAUUGUCACUCGCCAUGGCACUGGGAGGGUGCCUCGCAAGCGCCACGCGGACACACCCGUAGCAAAUGACACGUCAUCAUGGGCCCACAUGUGAGUUACUGUGUGACACUGUGCGGUCAAUAGUCAACACUGACCAGGGACACACCUGGAGUAACUGUGUCGACGGUAAAAUUACUACGCGUACUCAGGUUAGUGUACACGGAAGUCUCGUUUACCCCUUUCCUUGCACAGAAAAAUUUCCAAAAAAUUCCUAAAAAUACUAGAGCCACCCUAUAACCCAUCCAAACCUUUUGCACCCCAUUUCCAUCAUACAAAAUUAUGGGAAAAUAAAUUUCACCACUCAGGCACUCAUAAAUUCCAAUAAAUCACAUAAAUUCCCGAUAAAUUCCCAAAAAUCAUCUCUCCUGUCAAACUCCGUUUCUGUCAAUUCUUCCACCAAAAUUCUUCUAAAAUUAAAUCCUUGAUAUCCCUUCCGGUGCCACCAUUAGUUUCUUUGUUUGAUUCUUGAUUUGUUCAUGUAUUGCUCUUCGACCUGUUAGUCACUAACAUCACACAAACCCCUUAUGCUCAUGCAUGCAUAUACACUGUAGCAUGUAUACAACUAUAUGAGUAUACAUACACCCCCCUUCACACACCUACCACCGAUACUUUUUUUAUUUUUGUUUUUGCAAAAAAAAAAUCAAAACUAUUUAGUCCCAGUUGGUAAUACCAACAGGGACUAAAAGGGGCGGGAGGUAGCCACUGGCGCCGUGAUCGUUUUCUUCCGGUUGGUAUUACCAACUGGGACUAAAAGGGGAUAUUAUAUCCCGGUUUUGGGACCCGUGAUAAAAGACCCCCCUAUCUCGACAAGUUAAUCCUAGAUGCAUUUUCGGAAGAUAUGCACCCUACAAACCGGUACUAAUACCGAAUUUUCUAAUAGUGAAUGGUGCCGGUAGGCGUCCCCUUCAGCUGCAUUCUCUUCCAACCUGCAUACAAAGAGUCACUGGAGAUAGCGUGAUACAACCUCGGUUAGUCAGGCGAUCAAAUGAUAUAACCUCGAGUUAAUCUAGGCCGAAGCCAAUUAGCUUCCGUGUUUCUAUCUGAAGCUGGCAGAGUUAGCGCCUUGUCUGGGCGAGCUAAGACCCGGGUUAUAGGCGAAGGGGAUGAGUUUUGGACAGAUCCCCAACAUCUCGAAAAAUUAAUCUCGGUUGGGCAUUGGAGAGUUAUGCUCCUUCCCAACCGGGACUAAUAGUCAGUUUUCUACUACUGGUUGUGUAGAGGUGAGGAGGCGAGGGUUUUAGGUGAGGACGAUGAGGUGGCACCGCUCCCUUUCUCCGAUUCAACUGUCUCUAUAAAAUUGAUAUGGUUAGAUAUGUCAUAUUCUGUGGUACCACCUCGCGAUCACGAUGUGUGUGCCUCUAUAUAUGUUGUGCCAUUGCAGUCCAUUCGAUCGAGGGAGUACCAUAGCGUGACUGAACUACUGAAAAUGAAAAGCCUACACUUCUGCAACAACACAGUCUACCCCUAUGUUUACAACCUGACUUCCUCCUACAUCGACCAGAACAAUGAGGCCACCAUGGUGACCACCACCUUGGUCAUGUUUAUGCUGGCCGUGUUCGUCUUCAACCUCAACCUCUUCAGCCGCUUCUUGGACGUGAGCGCGAUUCUCAACCCUAGCGUCCGCCUCUUCCUCUCCACCUCCCUGUCCCUCUUCCUGCCGGUCAUGUCCUACCUCUUCUCCGAGGCCAAGAACCAAGGUGCAACGACGACCAUGGCUGCUAGUACUAGUAGCUCCAGUUAUGGCGAGCUCGGUGACGAGCUGUCACUUCGAGCUAGGACGAUCCUCAUGUGGAUGCUUCUUGUGGAGCUCCUACGCAAGAAGGUGGAGGCCGUCCUGGUCAACGUGGGCAUGCAGUGGUACUCAGGCGCCAUCGAUCGCUUCGCCCGCAUUGUUUGGCUCUGCUAGCUCGUCUUCUACAAUGUCAAAAGCCCCGGCAAGAAGGCGAUCUACGGCACCUUAUGGGUCCUCACUGCUGCCAAGUUCCUGCAAAGGGUCGUCGUCAAGAUGGUGCUGGAGCGUUCCUUCGCCUACGGAAGGAACACCCAGCUGCUCAACUCAUACAUGGCCCAGAUCAUCCAACAACAAGAGCAAGAGGAGCACUUGGGGUCAUCGUAGGCGGAGCUGUUGAAGAAGUGCGAGUACACCGUGAUGGGAGAAGACAACCUGGAGAGGACGGCUGGCCGGCAUGCAUGGCUACCAGGUCGAGCUGAACAAGGCAGCCGUUGUCACCGUUGGUGACAUUUGGACGCAGGCAGCAGCCGAGCCGGACAGCCUCCUCCGGAGAGAACACCUCAGAAGGCUCUGCCUCUCCUUUGUUCUCUACAAGCUGCUGCGCCGGAGGUUCGAGGACAUCCCCACAACAAGGGAGGAGACCCGGAACUGCCGGAACCUCAUCUUCAAGGGCAUGUUGAAGGAGGAGGCGGAGCAAGGUGCCGAGGUCGCACUGUUCCAGUCUUCAACGAUGAGACCCAGUUCGUUUGCGAGUACUACCAUUCCGUCCUACCCGUCGUCUUGUCCGACCCUUUCUUCUUCAUAGCCAACUACAUCUUGUUUCCCAUUGUAGUUUGUGCCUUCUGCCUCCUAACAUUGAUCAUCUGCGGCAAUGGGAGCGUCCACUACGCCUACCAGAGCAUCAAAAGUGACAACUACAUCAUAUACACUGGCGCGACGACGCUGACCAGAUGCCUCCUGAGAAACAUCGCCCAUUCACCCGAGGUGCUAGCUGUUCGCCAGCAUCGACCUAGGCACCACCACUCUGCUCAUCCUGGCCUUCGUCUACGAGGAAGUCGUGGAGGUCCUCGUCUUUAUCCUCUCCAAUUGGCUCAUCGUGUCGCUCAUCUGUCAGUACACCGCCAAGCUCCACUGGCGGCAGAGCCGCAUCCUGUGUCGGCUCAUCCGCGGCAUCCUGUGGGUGCGAAGCAUGCUAUAAGCCACCCUAACCUCUGCUUCAAGCAGCUCUCCGUGCUAGGGUUCUUCCAACUGUCGUCGCCUUCGCCGUUCAUGGUGCCAACCAAGGCAGUGCCCAAGGAGGUAAUUAAAGAUUCUUCAUCGGUAAUGUCGCGCGGUUCUUGGUUUCAAGUACUGCCUGUAUUUUUUUUAUUUUUUUUUUGCCUUGUCAUUUGGUCCGUCAGAACUAAGUUUGUCGAAUUCCUUCUGAAUAAGCUUGAGACGCUGGUCGUGCUUGUUUGUUGGUGUGCCUACGUGCCGCGUAGUUGUCGUAGCAAAUACUUUCGGUUCCAUAUCGCCUGUGACAUUCAGCAUGUUGUCUUUUUUUUUUUGAAGCGCAUUCAGCAUGUUUCGCAGAUGUUUGGAAGGAUGAUCCAAAUUCUGAAUGCACAGACCAUGUUGGGAAAUUGAUUUCCCCACUGCGUGUCUGUGUUUACAUGCAUCUUCUUACUGUGGUUCCAAUGGCCCGUCUAGGCCCAUACAGGCCUAUCAGGUGGAUGGGCCGGCCGGCCUCCUGGAUCAACAAGGCCGGUAUCCCUUCUUGCCCGUCCGCCCCCGCUGUAGAAACAAAACCAGAACCAGCAGAUCCCCCGGGCCCUGAAGAGAAAGACGAUGGCAACAGAAGAAAGAGCUCGCGACGAAGCCGGCGAAAGCCCCCCAAACCCUCCCCAGCCCAGGCAGCGGCGGCGCGACGAGAUGGCCGACGACCCCACCGCCGGCGGCGGGAACACCGUCGAGGACGUCGUCCGCGCGGAGGUGAGCAUCCCCGGCCGGCCCUCGUCCUCUUUGCUGCGAGUGCCGGGGAAUCCGAUCUCCGCCCGUGCCGACCUGGCUCUGCUCGGCUGCCCCCGAUCUGCCCGCGCAGGUGGCGGCGCCUCGCCCCCAGUUCGGUUUCGGGUUAGAGGUGUCCCAUCGUGGUGUCUGGGCGGGGGGAAUCCGGCGACGAGGCGUUCUCCCUCCCGUUGGCUCGGUUGGCGCGGACGGACGCGGUGGGCCUGGUUGGGGAAUCUGUGCCCGUUUCGAUUUGGGUGUAGAAUAGGUAUACGUCUGCAAAAUUGAUAGAAUUAGGCCCGUUUAUAUCGGUCCUGGUACUUGGGCCAUGACGCUUUGGAUCGCCCACAAAAAUCCACAAACGCAGGCAGGGCCGGUCAUCCCGGAUAAAUCCAAAAUGAUUUUUACCGGUUACCGACCCCGGCGGUUUCGAUUUUUACCGAAAACCGGUCGGUAACCGGUAAAAACUGGACGAAUUCAAAAGACGAAUUGCCAGCGCAACUGGUAAAAACCGCUCGGUAACCCGCCCGAAUUCAAACCGCUUGGUAACGGUAAAAACCGCAUAGUAAACUGCCUGAAUUCAAAAUUUGAAAAUUUUGAAUUCGAGCGGUUUACUGUGCAGCUGAACCGGUGCUGGACCGGAGCGGUUGUUUUCGUCGGUUUUGUAAAUCCUAUUUGUGAUUCGGUGGGAGCAUUGCGCUAAAGACUCGGGCAUAAAGAUAGAUAAAAGCAACAAAAGAAACGGUUUCCCAGCUAAAGGUGGUGGGCCAAGUGACAGCUAGCAGUGGAGAGGGGGGCAUUCCAGCGGCCUGCAAGGCGGUUUCCCAGCUGGCCCGUCCUCAUUUACUAAUCCCCACCAAGCUUAGGGGGUGUUUGGAUCCCGGACUAAAUUUUAAUCCCUGUCACAUCGAAUGUUUGACACUAAUUAGGAGUAUUAAACAUAGGCUAAUUACAAAACCAAUUUCACAACCCCUAGGCUAAAUCACGAGACGAAUCUAUUAAGCCUAAUUAGUCCAUGAUUUGACACUAUGGUGCUACAGUAAACAUUCGCUAAUGAUGGAUUAAUUAGGCUUAAUAGAUUCGUCUCGCGAUUUAGCCUAGGGGUUCUGCAAUUAGUUUUGUAAUUAGCUCAUGUUUAGUCCUCCUAAUUAGCAUCCGAACAUCCGAUGUGACACAGACUAAACUUUAGCUCCAGGAUCCAAACACCCCCUUAGCAUCUUUCCUUUCGAUGAAAUAAAAAAAUUGUUAAUCUCAACUGCUCCUCGAUUACCGCAUAGAUUAACACCUCUUUAGCCUUUGUGGCACGGCACCUAAGGCUCCGUUUUCUUCCAUUGACUUAUUUUUAGCACCCGUCACAUCAAAUAUUUAGAUACUAAUUAGGAGUAUUAAACGUAGACUAUUUACAAAACCCAUUACAUAAGACGAAUCUAAACGGCGAGACGAAUCUAUUAAGCCUAAUUAGUCCAUGAUUUGACAAUGUGUUGCUACAGUACCAUAGUGUCGUAUCGAUGGCAUUAAUGAGCCUUAAUUAGGCUUAAUAGAUUCGUCUCGCCGUUUAGAUUCCACUUAUGUAAUUGGUUUUGUAAAUAGUCUACGUUUACUACUCCUAAUUAGUAUCUAAACAUUCGAUGUGACACGUGCUAAAAAUAAGACACGGGAAGAAAACGCCCCCUAAUACUUUCCUCACCUUUGCAGUGCCGUGGGCCCGCCACUUCCCUUCUGGCCCACAAGUCAUGGAGGCGCGCGAGGAGGGGUAUCGGUUUCACGAUGAUUAAUAAAGAAAGACACCGGCACACCGCACCGCAUGCACCUCCACCACUUGCGUUGCCUUUGCCUUUGCUUUUCCCCGAGCUCGCCCGCCUAGGAGCUCCAGCAGCCGGUCCGCUCCGCCACCGGUGCGGCAACCACGCCGCCGUCAGAUCGCCUCGCGCGGCCACCGGUCGUCCCCGCGAUACACCGCCGCCGGUGCGCCGUGCGCGGCGGCGCUGUCCCGCCGCUCCUCCGCCUACCGUCGGCCUGCGCCACCACCAGCGCACCGGCAGCACCGCGAGCUGCCGCGACGCCCCGACGUUGGUCCUUCCUGAGCCCGGUGUCGUCACCAGCGUAGCGGAGAAGCUAAUUACCUGAAGCAAUUUGUAGAAACGAAUAGUACUGGUUCGUUCACUUAUUUCUUUGCUCAAACUUAAUUUCUGCUUAGAGUUUGUGCCUAAAUUAGCUGCUUAUUCUGCUGGUUGCACGCAGGAGAUCGAGCUACGGGCGUACGGCCGGAUCGGAGGAGGACAUAUCAGCCGGGUUCCUGUUGGUUGUGUACUUGUGUUCCUGCCGACGGAGAAGCAACCAUGGCCGAGUUACUGAUCGGGCCACUGAUCUCCAUGGUGAAGGAGAAGGCAUCCAGCUACCUGCUGGACCAAUACAAGGUGAUGGAAGGCAUGGAGGAGCAGCGCAAGACCCUGGAGCGCAAGCUGCCAGCAAUCCUGCACAUCAUCCAGGAUGCGGAGGAGAAAGGAGCCUCCCGACCUGAAGUUGCAGUUUGGCUUAAAGAC
RNAcentral lists this long non-coding RNA (155461 nucleotides) under Setaria italica (foxtail millet). RNAcentral's name for it is "long non-coding RNA (SITA_LNC006295)". The record is from RNAcentral. Lineage: Eukaryota; Viridiplantae; Streptophyta; Magnoliopsida; Poales; Poaceae.